CAUACCAGCACUAAUGCACCAGAUCCCAUCAGAACUCCGCAGUUAAGCGUGCUUGGGCGAGAGUAGUACUAGGAUAGGGGACCAACCAGAAAGUCCUCGUGGUGCAUCCCACUUUUUCUUUCGGUUUUUCUCUAUUUUGUUUUGUUAAAAAUGUAUGACUCUAUAACGUUUAGACCGUGAGGCAAAACUUGGAAUGUGAUACCUUUUCGGAAAGCCCAAAGAGAGCUCUCCGAUAAAUGAGGAAGGAAAAUGGAAUUCUUCUAUUGGUUUUUUAUUCUACUCCAAAUUUUGACCUUAAUGUACUUUUUUGGUCUUUUUGGUGAUCUUUGCUAUAUGACAGGGCGAAAAUUAUAUGAUCGGACAUUGUUUUCGAAUAUUUUGCAUGUAUCAAAGCUCUUAUAAACAAGAUAGGGUAUUCCUACAUAGCUGGUGGGAGCCACGGCAAAUGGAUCUUAAAGUCUUCAAAAAAAGAAUAGAUACGAUUGCAUUGGAUGUAGUAAACGGAUGCGAUCAUACCAGCACUAAUGCAACGGAUCCCAUCAAAACUCCGCAGUUAAGCGUGCUUGGGCGAGAGUAGUACUAGGCUGGGUGACCUCCCGGACAGUCCUCGUGUUGCAUCCCUCUUUUCUUUUUCGGUUUUUCUCUAUUUUGUUUUGUUAAAAUUGUAUGACUCUAUAACUUUUAGACCGUGACGCCAAACUUCGCAUGUGAUACCUUUUCGGAAAGCCCAAAGAGAGCUCUCCGAUGAAUGAGGAAGGAAAAUGGAAUUCUUCUAUUGGUUUUUUUGCUAUUCCAAAUUUUGACCUUAAUGUACUUUUUUGGUCCUUUUCGUGAUAUUUGCUAUAUUACAGGGCAAAAAUUAUAUGAUCGGACAUUGUUUUCGAAUAUUUUGCAUGUAUCAAAGCUCUUAUAAACAAGAUAUGGUAUUCCUACAUGGCUGGUGUGACCCACGACAAAUGGAUCAUAAAGUCUUAAAAAAAAAGAUAGAUACGAUUGCAUUGCAUGUAGUAAACGGAUGCGAUCAUACCAGCACUAAUGCACCGGAUCCCAUCAAAACUACGCAGUUAAGCGUGCUUGGGCGAGAGUAGUACUAGGCUGGGUGACCUCCCGGAUAGUCCUCGUGUUGCAUCCCUCUUUUCUUUUUCGGUUUUUCUCUAUUUUGUUUUGUUAAAAUUGUAUGACUCUAUAACUUUUAGACCGUGAGGCCAAACUUUGCAUGUGAUACCUUUUCGGAAAGCCCAAAGAGAGCUCUCCGAUGAAUGAGGAAGGAAAAUGGAAUUCUUCUAUUGUUUGUUUUUUCUAUUCCAAAUUUUGACCUUAAUGUACUUUUUCGGGCUUUUUCGUGAUCUUUGCCAUAUUACGGGGCGAAAUUAUAUGUUCGGACAUUGGUUUUGAAUAUUUUGUAUGUAUCAAAGCUCUUAUAAACAAGAUAUGGUAUUCCUACAUGGCUGGCGUGACCCACAGCAAAUGGAUCAUAAAGUCUUCAAAAAAAGAAUAUAUACGAUUGCAUUGCAUGUAGUAACGGAUGCGAUCACACCAGCACUAAUGCACCAGAUCCAAUUAAAACUCCGCAGUUGAGCAUACUUGGGCGAGAGUAGUACUAGGAUGGGUGACCUCCCGGAAAGUCCUCGUGUUGCAUCCCUCUUUUCUUUUUUUUGUUAAAAAUGUACGACUUUAUAACUUUUAGACCAUGAGGCCAAACUUGGAAUGUGAUACCUUUUCGGAAAGCCCAAAGAGAGCUCUCCUAUGAAUGAGGAAAGAAAAUGGAAUUCUUCUAUUGGUUUUUUAUUCUACUCCAAAUUUUGACCUUAAUGUACUUUUUUGGUCUUUUUCGUGAUCUUUGCUAUAUGACAGGGCGAAAAUUAUAUGAUCGGACAUUGUUUUCGAAUAUGUUGCAUGUAUCAAAGCUCUUAUAAACAAGAUAGGGUAUUCCUACAUAGCUGGUGGGAGCCACGGCAAAUGGAUCUUAAAGUCUUCCAAAAAAGAAUAGAUACGAUUGCAUUGCAUGUAGUUAACGGAUGCGAUCAUACCAGCACUAAUGCAACGGAUCCCAUCAAAACUCCGCAGUUAAGCGUACUUGGGCAAGAGUAGUACUAGGAUGGGGGACCUACCAGAAAGUCCCCGUGGUGCAUCCGACUUUUUCUUUCGGUUUUUCUCUAUUUUGUUUUGCUAAAAAUGUAUGAUUCUAUAACGUUUAGACCGUCAGGCCAAACUUGGCAUGUGAUACCUUUUCGGAAGCCCAAAGAGAGCUCUCCGAUGAAUGAGGAAGCAAAAUGGAAUUCUUCUAUUGUUUUUUUUUUCUAUUCCAAAUUUUGAGCUUAAUGUACUUUUUCGGGCCUUUUCGUGAUCUUUGCUAUAUUACGGGGCGAAAAUUAUAUGUUUGGACAUUGUUUUCGAAUAUUUUGCAUGUAUCAAAGCUCAGAUAAACAAGAUAGGGUAUUCCUACAUACCUGGUGGGACCCACGGCAAAUGGAUAGUAAAAUCUUCAAAAAAGAAUAGAUACUAUUGCAUUGCAUGUAGUAAUGGAUGCGAUCAUAUCAGCACUAACGCACCGGAUCCCAUCAAAACUCCACAGUUAAGCGUGUUUGGGCGAGAGUAGUACUAGGAUGGGGGACCUACCAAAAAGUCCUCGUGGUGCAUCCCACUUUUUCUUUCGGUUUUUCUCUAUUUUGUUUUGUUAAAAAUGUAUGACUCUAUAACGUUUAGACCGUCAGGCCAAACUUGGCAUGUGAUACCUUUUCGGAAAGCCCAAAGAGAGCUCUCCGAUGAAUGAGGAAGCAAAAUGAAAUUCUUCUAUUGUUUUUUUUUCUAUUCCAAAUUUUGACCUUAAUGUAGUUUUUCGGGCCUUUUCGUGAUCUUUGCUAUGUUCGGACAUUGUUUUCGAAUAUUUUUCAUGUAUCAAAGCUCUUAUAAACAAGAUAUCGUAUUCCUACAUGGCUGGUGUGACCCACGACAAAUGGAUCAUAAAGUUUUCAAAAAAGAAUAGAUACGAUUGCAUUGCAUGUAGUAAACGGAUGCGAUCAUACCAGCACUAAUGCACCGGAUCCCAUCAAAACUCUACACUUAAGCGUGCUUGGGAGAGAGUAGUACUAGGAUGGGUGACCUCCAAGAAAGUCCUCGUGUUGCAUCCCUCUUUUCUUUUUUCGGUUUUUCUCUAUGUUUUUUUGUUAAAAUUGUAUGACUCUUUAACUUUUAGACCGUGAGGCCAAACUUCGCAUGUGAUACCUUUUCAGAAAGCCCAAAGAGAGCUCUCCGGUGAAUGAGGAAGGAAAAUUGAAUUUUUCUAUUGGUUUUUUUUUCUACUCCAAAUUUUGACGUUAAUGUACUUUUUGGGGCCUUUUCGUGAUCUUUGCUAUAUUACGGAGCGAAAAUUAUAUGUUUGGACAUUGUUUUCGAAUAUUUUGCAUGUAUCAAAGCUCUGAUAAACAAGAUAGGGUAUUCCUACAUAGCUGGUGGGACCCACGGCAAAUGGAUCGUAAAGUCUUCGAAAAAGAAUAGAUACGAUUGCAUUGCAUGUAGUAACGGAUGCGAUCAUACCAGCACUAACGCACCGGAUCCCAUCAAAACUGUGCAGUUAAGCGUGUUUGGGCGAGACUAGUACUAGGAUGGGUGACCUCACGGAAAGUCCUCGUGUUGGAUCCCUCUUUUCUUUUUUCGAUUUUUGUCCUCUUUUUUUUGUUAAGAAUGUAUGACUCUAUUACUUUUAGACAGUGAGGCCAAACUUCGCAUGUGAUACCUUUUCGGAAAGCCCAAAAAGAGCUCUCUGAUGAAUGAGGAAGGAAAAUUGAAUUCUUCUAUUCUUUUUUUUUCUACUCCAAAUUUUGACGUUAAGGUACUUUUUAAGGCCUUUUCGUGAUCUUUGCUAUAUUACGGAGCGAAAAUUAUAUGUUUGGACAUUGUUUUCGAAUAUUUUGCAUGUAUCAAAGCUCUCAUAAACAAGAUAGGGUAUUCCUACAUAGCUGGUGGGACCCACGACAAAUGGAUAGUAAAGUCUUCAUAAAAGAAUAGAUACUAUUGCAUUGCAUGUAGUAACGGAUGCGAUCAUAUCAGCACUAACGCACCGGAUCUCAUCAAAACUCCGCAGUUAAGCGUGUUUGGGCGAGAGUAGUACUAGGAUGGGUGACCUCCCGGAAAGUCCUCCUGUUGCAUCCCUCUUUUCUUUUUUCGGUGUUUCUCUAUUUUUUUUUGUUAGAAAUGUAUGACUCUAUAAGGUUUAGACAGUGACGCCAAACUUCGCAUGUGAUACCUUUUCAGAAAGCCCAAAGAGAGCUCUCCGAUGAAUGAGGAAGGAAAAUUGAAUUUUUCUAUUGGUUUUUUUUCUACUCCAAAUUUUGACGUUAAUGUACUUUUUUGGGCCUUUUCGUGAUCUUUACUAUAUUACGGAGCGAAAAUUAUAUGUUCGGACAUUGUUUUCGAAUAUUUUGCAUGUAUCAAAGGUCUUAUAAACAAGAUAGGAUAUUCCUACAUAGUUGGUGGGACCCAUGGCAAAUGGAUCGUAAAGUCUUCAAAAAAGAAUAGAUACGAUUGCAUUGCAUGUAGUAACGGAUGCGAUCAUACCAGCACUAAUGCACCUGAUCCCAUCAAAACUCCGUAGUUAAGCGUGCUUGGGGCGACAGUAGUACUAGGAUGGGUGACCUCCCGGAAAGUCCUCGUGUUGCAUCCCUCUUUUCUUUUUUCGGUUUUUCUUUUUCUUUUUUUGUUAAAAAUGUAUGACUCUAUAACUUUUAGACAGUGAGGCAAAACUUCGCAUGUGAUACCAUUUUGGAAAGCCCAAAGAGAGCUCUCCGAUGAAUGAGGAAGGAAAACUGAAUUCUUCUAUUGUUUUUUUUUCCAACUCCAAAUUUUGACGUUAAUGUACUUUUUUGGGCCUUUUCGUGAUCUUUGCUAUAUUGCGGAGCAAAAGUUAUAUAUUCGGACAUUGUUUUCGAAUAAUUUGCAUGUAUCAAAGCUCUUAUAAACAAGAUAGGGUAUUCCUACAUAGCUGGUGGGACCCACGGCAAAUGGAUCGUAAAGUCUUCAAAAAAGAAUAGAUACGAUUGCAUUGCAUGUAGUAACAGAUGCGAUCAUACCAGCACUAACGCACCAGAUCCCAUCAAAACUGUGCAGUUAAGCGUGCUUGGACGAGAGUAGUACUAGGAUGGGUGACCUCCCGGAAAGUCCUCGUGUUGGAUCCCUCUUUUCUUUUUUCGGUUUUUGUCCUCUUUUUUUUGUUAAGAAUGUAUGACUCUAUUACUUUUAGACAGUGAGGCCAAACUUCGGAUGUGAUACCUUUUCGGAAAGCCCAAAAAGAGCUCUCUGAUGAAUAAGGAAGGAAAAUGGAAUUCUUCUAUUGGUUUUUUUUUCUACUCCAAAUUUUGACGUUAAUGUACUUUUUUGGGCCUUUUCGUGAUCUUUGCUAUAUACGGAGCGAAAAUUAUAUGUUCGGACAGUGUUUUCGAAUAUUUUGCAUGUAUCAAAGCUCUUAUAAACAAGAUAGGGUAUUCCUACAUAGCUGGUGGGACCCAUGGCAAAUGGAUCGUAAAGUCUUCAAAAAAGAAUAGAUACGAUUGCAUUGCAUGUAGUAGCGGAUGCGAUCAUACCAGCACUAACGCACCGGAUCCCAUCAAAACUGUGCAGUUAAGCGUGUUUGGGCGAGAGUAGUACUAGGAUGGGUGACCUCCCGGAAAGUCCUCGUGUUGGAUCCCUCUUUUCUUUUUUCGGUUUUUGUCCUCUUUUUUUUGUUAAGAAUGUAUGACUCUAUUACUUUUAGACAGUGAGGCCAAACUUCGGAUGUGAUACCUUUUCGGAAAGCCCAAAAAGAGCUCUCUGAUGAAUAAGGAAGGAAAAUGGAAUUCUUCUAUUGGUUUUUUUUUCUACUCCAAAUUUUGACGUUAAUGUACUUUUUUGGGCCUUUUCGUGAUCUUUGCUAUAUACGGAGCGAAAAUUAUAUGUUCGGACAGUGUUUUCGAAUAUUUUGCAUGUAUCAAAGCUCUUAUAAACAAGAUAGGGUAUUCCUACAUAGCUGGUGGGACCCAYGGCAAAUGGAUCGUAAAGUCUUCAAAAAAGAAUAGAUACGAUUGCAUUGCAUGUAGUARCRGAUGCGAUCAUACCAGCACUAACGCACCRGAUCCCAUCAAAACUGUGCAGUUAAGCGUGUUUGGGCGAGAGUAGUACUAGGAUGGGUGACCUCCCGGAAAGUCCUCGUGUUGGAUCCCUCUUUUCUUUUUUCGGUUUUUGUCCUCUUUUUUUUGUUAAGAAUGUAUGACUCUAUUACUUUUAGACAGUGAGGCCAAACUUCGGAUGUGAUACCUUUUCGGAAAGCCCAAAAAGAGCUCUCUGAUGAAUAAGGAAGGAAAAUGGAAUUCUUCUAUUGGUUUUUUUUUCUACUCCAAAUUUUGACGUUAAUGUACUUUUUUGGGCCUUUUCGUGAUCUUUGCUAUAUACGGAGCGAAAAUUAUAUGUUCGGACAGUGUUUUCGAAUAUUUUGCAUGUAUCAAAGCUCUUAUAAACAAGAUAGGGUAUUCCUACAUAGCUGGUGGGACCCAUGGCAAAUGGAUCGUAAAGUCUUCAAAAAAGAAUAGAUACGAUUGCAUUGCAUGUAGUAGCGGAUGCGAUCAUACCAGCACUAAUGCACCGGAUCCCAUUAAAACUCCGCAGUUAAGCGUGCUUGGGCGAUAAUAGUACUAGGAUGGGUGACCUCCCGGAAAGUCCUCGUGUUGAAUCCCUCUUUUCUUUUUCGGUUUUUCUCUUCUUUUUUUUGUUAAAAAUGUAUGACUCCAUAACUUUUAGAUAGUGAGGCAAAACUUCGCAUGUGAUACCAUUUCGGAAAUCCUAAAGAGAGCUCUCCGAUGAAUGAGGAAGGAAAAUGUAAUUCUUCUAUUGGGUUUUUAUUCUACUCCUAAUUUUGACCUUAAUGUACUUUUUCGGGCCUUUUCGUGAUAUUUGCUAUAUUACAGGGCGAAAAUUAUAUGAUCGGACAUUGUUUUCGAAUAUUUUGCAUGUAUCAAAGCUCUUAUAAACAAGAUAUGGUAUUCCUACAUGGCUGGUAUGACCCACAGCAAAUGGAUCUUAAUUCUAGACUUUUUGUAAUCCCGAUUUCUCUUUAUCUAUUCAGUAUUCAGUAUUCAGCUUUUGUUCUUGAUUUCGUUUACUGUUGUUCAUUCUGUUAUCAUCAUGUUGUUACACUGUUGUUAUCAUGUCUUCCACCUGUUCAACGUUUAUGCUUUCUGUUAUGAUGUCUGAGUAGUGAAUAGGUUUUUGAGGAUGGCUUAGAGUAGUGUAGGAUUCUCAGUAUGCUAGGUGAUUGAGUAUUGAUUGAUAGAUCCCUUCUGGAUUAGUUGUUCUUAAUGCCUAUUGCUUUCUGAUCAACUGGAAUUUGAGCCCAGACAUUUCCGUGCCCAAAAGGUGUUCGAUGAAAUGUUUGAACCACUAAUUCCAGAGAUUCGUGACCCUGUACCAAGGUAUUGGUUGCAAGGAGCGUUUUGGCUUUAACUUGUUGAUUCGUAAUGCCUGUUAGGUUAGCUCUCGUCAAUGGUGAUUGAGUCUGGGACUAGGUUAACUUGAGGGUCUCAGUUGCGGUGGCACUUAGAUUUGGUUAAUGAACUUGUUAUCUAAGGUUAAUUUACUGAGCAUGUCAAUCACCUGUAAACUGAGAAAACGAAACUACUCAAUUACCCCAUCCUCAGGAAUUCUUUAUCUGAUUGAAUUCUUUGUUUACUCUACUGUUGUUUACUGCAUCUUGUUAUCUGUUGCUUAAUUUCUUCAGUUCUUUCUUGUUACUCGACCUCAUACUCGACCACCUAGUUGUUUGGCAACAGACUGUACAGUCGAGUAUCUGUGUUUCAUUUUCUGUCUGUUACUCGACCUGUCACUUGACCUCACCCAGUGUUCUGCAAAGAGCUGUGUUGGUCGAGUGUUUUACUGUUUCUGUUUGAUUUUCUGUUUUCUGCAUGUUCACUUAGAACUGCUAGAACACACCAAAACCUGUUAUUGCUUGGCUUGACUUAGUGACUUCUGAUCACAUCUUGAUUGUUAGCAUCACACCCAUUUGGAUUGACAACCUAAAAUACUACAACGAUAUGAUUGGUGUUUUAGGAUAAUUGACUAAAAAACCUAUUAUCAAUUUGGCGCCGUUGCCAAUUGGGUGUUUGUUUGUUACAUUUGAGAUUUCAGACUUGCUUAGAUCAAGUUCUUUUUCAAUUUUCUUUUCGGUUACUAACUGUGUGUUUUUCUUGUUGUCUUCUUGAUCCAGGUACACCUCUGCUGUAUGCGAAUUCGAUCAACAGGCAAUCAGAACCUCCUUUUCGACGACAACAUCAACCGCAUAGCUCGCGAACUCAGAAAAAGGAGAACCACAGUCACCCCUGUAUCUCAGCAACCACUCGAAAUGGCUGAAGAACAGAAUCAACAAAAUGGCCCUGCCAACAUUGGUGCUGGAGAUGCACCACGUGAUCACCGCCAGAGGAAAGGAAUUGCACCUCCUGCGAUCCAGAACAACAACUUCGAGAUUAAGAGUGGUCUCAUCUCGAUGAUUCAGGGGAACAAAUUCCAUGGUCUGCCAAUGGAGGAUCCACUCGACCACCUUGAUGAAUUCGAUAGGCUCUGCAACCUAACAAAGAUCAAUGGUGUCAGUGAAGACGGAUUCAAGCUCCGUUUGUUCCCAUUCUCCUUGGGCGACAAAGCACACAUCUGGGAGAAGAAUCUGCCCCAUGACUCAAUCACCACCUAGGAUGAUUGCAAGAAGGCUUUUCUAUCAAAGUUCUUCUCCAAUGCCAGAACUGCAAGACUCAGAAAUGAGAUUUCUGGUUUCUCACAGAAGACUGGUGAAAGCUUCUGUGAAGCAUGGGAGCGUUUCAAGGGGUACACCAACCAAUGCCCUCAUCAUGGCUUUACUAAAGCCUCUCUGCUCAGCACUCUUUACAGAGGAGUCCUACCACGCAUCAGAAUGCUUCUGGAUACAGCUAGCAAUGGGAAUUUCCAGAACAAGGAUGUUGAAGAAGGCUGGGAAUUGGUUGAGAACCUCGCUCAAUCAGAUGGCAAUUACAACGUGGACUGUGAUACGUCAGAGGAACAGCUGAUUCUGAUGACAAACACAGGAAGGAGAUCAAAGCGCUGAAUGACAAGCUGGACAUGAUUCUUCUUAGCCAGCAGAAGCAUGUGCACUUCCUUGUUGAUGACGAGCAAUUUCAAGUCCAAGAUGGGGAGGGUAACCAGUUGGAAGAAGUCAGCUACAUAAAACAACCAGGGUGGCUACAAAAGAUACAACAACUAUCGCUUGAAACUCUUUCCAAGAAAACUUAAAUCCAGAUGUUCUGGCCCAUUCUGUAUCACUGAGGUCCGUCCUUAUGGAGCAGUCACUCUAGCUGGUAAGAGUAGAGAUUUUACAGUAAAUGUUCAAAGGCUCAAGAAAUACUUAGCAGACCAAAUCCUUCCAGAGGUGACAUCGGUUCAUCUCCAAGAACCUCUUGAUGAUUAAAGGAGUAAAGGAGUCAAGCUAAUGACUUUAAACAAGCUCACUUGGGAGGAAGUCCCAUGAUUAUCUCUGUAAAUAAAAAAUUUCUUGUCUUGUUAUUUUUGAUUUGUUUUAAUUGUGUUUGUGGUUUUCAGAGAAAAGGGAACAACGUGGAGAUAGAGUAAAAAUUCAAAACUUUUACUCUACAGAAGACCUGGAGAUUGAGUGUAUAACCUGGUGGAGUACAAAAUUUAUAAAGUUUUCUGCUGCGUCUGGAGACACGGAAUUCGAGUACAUCAGUCGAGUAUACGUGAUGUUUAAAAUCCAAAAUUUUAAAAAAACAUCAUUGUACUCGACCAACAGGAGCUACAGAGACUUGCAAGGAUUUCUUGCAGUUUACAGUAGAUCUUCUGCAUAUUUUUUCAGUCAACAGAGUGUGGACCACGCGCUGAGGAUAAGCUGGAGAGAGAAUCUAAAACUCAACCUAGACCACUCAUUUAAAAACAUCACUCGACUUCACAAAAUCCACUCGACCUACCUCUUUUCAUUUCACCACCGACACUCUAAUCUCUCUACACCACGAAUCGCCGUCCAAAGAGAUACUCGAUCCUGACAAUAUCACUCGGCCUCCGAGAGUUACUCGACAUCCGCGCCGCCGUCACCAGAUCAUAUCUUCCGUCACUCGACCUCCGGGAACCACUCGACCUCUGCGCUUCCGUAAUCGAGUACUCCUCCUCGUUCACCGUCGAAGUCUCCGUGACCACUUGAUUACGACCAAGCUACUAGACCACAAACUAUCACUCGACCUCGAGUAUUCACUCGACCUCUGCAGCAGCAACUCGACCUCUUGUUCUUGAAAGCAACAGAGCCCUGAAGAACUGUCAGAGUGUUUACUCGACCUCUAGGCUUCACCGGCUGAACUCAACCUCCACAACUUACUCGAUCUCCUGAAGCAUACCCACUCGAAUCCGGAGACGAUACUCGAUCCAAAUCGUCUAAAGGGAACUCAAGAACAGCUCAGUCUACUCGAGUACAGAAUUGUACUCGACCAAUAGGGUUUAUUUCAUUGCCUAUUGAUAACAAUUUUGGUUUCAUUGCUAUCUUUGAGACUAACCUAUUGACUUUGAGCUUUGAGUUCUAAAUUUUUACAGGAGAAUCAUGAGCAAUUACAGUGGCAGUUCUUCUGUUGAUCCUGACUACAACAUGGAUGAGACAGAGUCAACAUCUUCAAGGCCAGAGAGAGAACAAAGAGAAUAUGAAAGCUUCAGAAGGAAAGCUGAGAUAGCCCGAGGGAAGAGAGCGAUCACUGAGAGGUAUGAGCUUAUAGACGAAGAUCAGGAAGACGAGUACAUGCCUGAACAGACUCGUAGAGCUACCAAACUUCUGCACAAGCCCGACGUAUUGCCUGCUGAGGAAUAUGUUAGGCUUUUCAAGCUGAACGAGUUCUGUAGCACGAGGUAUCCUUACUCGACCUCACUUGCACAACUCGGAUUGUUGGAAGAUGUUCAACACCUGUACCAGAGUUGUCAUCUGGACACUCUGAUGGCUUAUCCGUAUGUAGCGUAUGAAGAUGAGACAAUACAAUUUCUUUCCACGCUGCAAGUAGAGCUCUACCAAGGUAUGACCUCUGAUGAGUUGGAUUGUGAAGGAUUGGGAUUCUUGCAAUUUUCUGUGUAUGGCCAUGAGUAUAGGUUAUCAAUCAAGCGCUUGGAAGGAUUGUUUGGCUUCCCCAGUGGAACGGGAUCUAAGCCCAAGUAUGACAGAGAAGAGUUGAAAGACUUGUGGAUCACCAUUUGCAGCUCUGUACCGCUGAAUGCUUCUAGGUCAAAGAGCAAUCAGAUACGCAGCCCUGUCAUCAGGUACUUCCAGCGUUCUAUAGCCAAUGUACUCUACUCCCGAGAGAUCACAGGGACUGUUACUAACUCUGAUAUGGAGAUGAUCGCAAUGGCCCUCAAGGGAACUCUUCGCCAAACGAAGAAUGGUAUGUCUCUCCAAGGUGAAAUCAAUGACACACCUCUCUCUGUACUUCUUCUGAUCCAUCUGUGUGGAUACAAGAGUUGGGCUGUCAGCAAUAACCGCAAGAGAGCACGAGGCGCUCUGUGCAUAGGUGGUGUUGUGACACCGAUUCUGAUAGCUUGUGGAGUCCCAAUCAUAUCUGCCGGACUCGAGCCGCGAGCAAUGGAUAUCGAGCACCUACGUCACUGCGAAUUCCUAGAGUUUGCAAUGGUUGACGACUUCCACAGGUUCAGGUUUGAGCACUCUACAGACAGGAGAGCUAACAUCCUUCUCCCUAGCCCUGAGGUUACACGGAUAAUAGAGGGAGAUAAUAUUGAUUUUUGGCCUGAGGUUGGACGCCUCUACUAUGAGAACGCUCCGCCAUUCAAUGAGGAGGAUCUUCUAGAAGAAGCUGUUUCGGAUGGGAUGGAUGACGAUUGCGCAGUGGAGUUCGACACUAGCAUGUAUCACUUUGGUGAAGAUGUACCUCCAGCGAGGCAGAGCAAGAGCUUGACCGAAGCUCAUAAGAACAAAAGUAAAUUGCAGAAGUGGUGCAAGAAGCAGGACAAGUUGCUCGCCAAGUGUUUCAAGGCUAUCAAGCUUCUGACAGAUAAGCUGAGUUGUUCCUCCUCCACCACAGCUAUUCCACAGGUAUUGCCUCCUCUGGAGAUGCCAUCGAGGAGAUUUGAUAAGCCUGCGCACAAGCCUGAGCUUAGCGAGCAGAGAGUCUCUCAUGCCCCGGUUAGGCAUUUGUCAUUCGAGUCCCGGGAGCACAAGAGAAGAAGGAAGGCUACACUCACUUGAUCUAGGAGCAGAUCACACCUCAUUCACUCGAGGAGAUCACUUGACCGCGGUGCCGGCCGUAGCAGAAGGAGAGAGGUCGAGUAUCCUCAGAGCGGUGCUGGCCGCCACAGAGCUAAUGAGGUCGAGUACCCACCUGCUGGAGCUGAUACAGAACAAGGUGGUUCGUCUAUGGCCUGGGAGCAAUCACAGGCAGCCAUUGACGAGCAACUACGUUCAUUCUUCGAUUGAGGUACGCGCCUCACUUCACCAUUGUAUUAUAUCAUCUGUUGUGAUUUGUUUCUUCAUUUCGUUUCUGUGAUUGGAUUUGUCCUGAGUACUCUCUUCCAAGUUUAUUCGCAUAGUGGACUGUGUGAUUUAAGUUUGGGGGAGGGCUCAGGAAGUGUGUGUUAUAUUUUUGAGUCUGCAUUCAUCUAAGGGAUAGAAAAACCAAAAAAAAUUGAAAAAUUUUAGAAAAUGAUUUGACAAAAAAAGAGUGUUCAUGUAGUUGCAUUACAUUUAGGAUCGAGUCUAGAGUGUUUCAUUUAGGAUUGUUGCAUAUGCAUAGGGGAUGAUGAUGAGAUAGCCUUGUAAGCAUUUUGAUUCACAGGAUAAACUCAGUGCCCUCGUUGCUAGUUGUCUGUUGCGUAGUCAAUGAAUUUGAAAUAAAACUGAACCAUGCCUAGAUUGCUCUAUUCGACCACACUAUCAUGAUCUGAUACCAUUCCCUAUCAAUUUGAACCUGAAUCUGAUCUUUAAUUAUCAUGUCUGCAUCAAAUUUGAACUCAUGGAUACCCUAAAAUACUUGGAUUUUCUUAUUCAUUUUGAUCACUCUUGUUAAUCCAAGUAGCUGACUCUCCUUAUUAGAGCAGUUAACCCAAACCCAAACCUAGACUUUCUUUCAAGCCCUAUAUCACUUGUGAGUGUUUGUGAGGUCUUAUUCCGAUUAAGCUUGGUAGAAAGUGUUAGGUUCGUAACGACAGAGAUAGUGUCUCAUGUAGUUCUAGUUCGCAUUUUUUGGACUAGAUAGGACUAGGUGGGCGCUUAUACUUUGGGUUGGGAUGUGUUUAAAAGAAAAAAAAAAGGUUGAUUUAUUGAUAAGAAAAGGUAAAAGACUCUAGGUGAAGUAAGCUAAAGAAGCAGAAAAAGUCUACUAAAGGUUUUGGGAUUUGUAAAGAAAAGAAAGAGUUCUUGUUAGCUAUUGAAGAUGGGCAAAAGCCCUUGGUUUUAAAAUGUUAAAAACAGGAACCUUAGUUGUUAAAGAAAUCCAAAUCCGCUAGAUGUAUCAAAGUGUUGAGAAAGCUUCUCCUAGAGUUAAGAGAAAAGAAAAGAAUGAUUAGAAAAAGGGCUUAAAAGAUUCAUGAAUGCAAAGGGUAGAGUUUAGUUCUUGUAUUGGGAUUGGAGAUGGGAUUACCAUUAGAGCUUCAUUUGAUGUACUCUGGGUAGAUGGGAUCUUAUCUCUGUAUGCAUAGCUUGGGACUUACCUUUAGCAUUCUACUAAAGCUUAAUCAUUUUUUGAGAGAUCCCCUGUUAUUGAAGCCUAUUCUGUAAGGGACCAUCUUUGUCUCUUGACCUUUUACCUUAGCCAAAUGAGUUCUUUGAUGAUGCAUUGCUUGAUUCACGUUCCAGAACUAAUGAAUGUUAAAGGGAUUGGUAGAUUUGAAAACUUGUGUAGGUCGAGCAUAUGAGUCGGAUUGAUUGAUUGAUGAGGCAUAACUAACUUUUUUAAGUAGAAUUCGAUCUUGCAGCUUAGAACUUUCAACUUGGACAUUGAUUUCAUCUGGUCUAUCUGGUGCUUUGGCUCUGAGUCCCCGCUUUCAAACCUCACCUCCAGCUUGUUCUUGAUUGUUUGCUUGAGGCAAGCAAAGACUAAGUUUGGGGGAGUUGAUAAGUUUGUAUUUUGCAUGUUUUGAGCAUCCAUUUGUCAUCAUUUUAGCAUCAUAUCAUCACUGUUUUAUACCAUUUCACAUCAUUUGUCAUCACUUUGCAUGUUUAGGAUAGUUUUGCAUGCAUGUUGCAUAUUUGUGUUGUUUUCAGGUGAUUUGGAGCUGUCGACGAUCUAACUGGAAGAAGCGGACCUGAUCAUGACAAACCACUCGACCAAGAGGUCGAGUAGGAGCUUCAAGAUCUCAAGAGACCACUCGACCCCCAGGUCGAGUAGAAGACACCACCACUCUAUCACAUCACUCGACCCCCAGGUCGAGUGUCUUCAUCUCCAUCUCUUGACCACCACUCGAUCACAUCACUCGACCCCCAGAUGUAGUGACUUCAUCCCAUUGCUAGACCUCUACUCGACCUCAUCACUCUACAUGGAAGUCGAGUAUCACCAUCACACCACUCGAUUGCAUACUCGAUGACAAGCUUCAGAGCCUUCUUCAUUCCGCACUCAACCAGACACUCGAGCACAAGAAAGAAAAGAAGACUCCAGCUAUUCACUCGACCUCCCACUCGACCACAUGGGUCGAGUACAGUUCUUAAUCCGUCCCAAUACUUUGUCGUUUUGAGUAUUAGGGUUUCGGAAUAUUUGGCUAUAAGUAGCAUGUACUUCUCAUUUUCGCAGACAAGAAAUUUUUAUCUAGUUUUAUUCUGCAGACCUUGUGUUCUAGACUUUUUGUAAUCCGGAUUUCUCUUUAUCUAUUCAGUGUUCAGUAUUCAGCUUUUGUUCUUGAUUUCGUUUACUGUUGUUCAUUCUGUUAUCAUCCUACUGUUACACUGUUGUUGUCAUGUCUUCAACCUGUUCAACGUUUCUGCUUUCUAUUAUGAUGUCUGAGUAGUGAAUAGGUUUCUGAGGAUGGGUUAGAGUAGUGUAGAAUUCUCAGUAUGCUAGGUGAUUGAGUAUUGGUUGAUAGAUCCCUUCUGGAUUAGUUGUUCUUAAUGCCUAUUGCUUUCUGAUCAACUAGAAUUUGAGCCCAGACAUUUCCGCGCCCAAAAGGUGUUCGAUGAAAUGUCUGAACCACUAAUUCAAGAGAUUCGUGACCCAGUACCAAGGUAUUGGUUGCAGGGAGCGUUUUGGCUUUAACUUGUUGAUUCGUAAUGCCUGUUAGGUUAGCUCUCGUCAAUGGUGAUUGAAUCUGGAACUAGGUUAACUUGAGGGUCUCUGUUGCGGUGGCACUUAGAUUUGGUUAAUGAACUUGUUGUCUAGGGUUAAUUUACUGAGCAUGUCAAUCACCUGUAAACUGAGAAAACGAAACUACUCAAUUUCCCCAUCCUCGGGAAUUCUUUAUCUGAUUGAAUUCUUUGUUUACUAUAUUGUUGUUUACUGCAUCUUGUUAUCUGUUGCUUAAUUUCUGCAGUUCUUUCUUGUUACUCGACCUCAUACUCGACCACCUAGUUGUAUGGCAACAGACUGUGCAGUCGAGUAUCUGUGUUUCAUUUUUUGUCUGUUACUCGACCUCACCCAGUGCUCUGCAAAGAGCUGUGUUGGUCGAGUGUUUUUUACUGUUUCUGUUUCAUUUUCUGUUUUCUGCAUAUUCACUUAGGACUGCUAGAACACACCAAAACCUGUUAUUGCUUGGCUUGACUUAGUGACUUCUGAUCACAUCUUGAUUGUUAGCAUCACACCCAUUUGGAUUGACAACCUUCAGUACUACAACGAUAUGAUUGGUGUUUUAGGAUAAUUGACUAAAAAAACUAUUAUCAAUGCCCUUUGUGCUGACUAAUGCACCAGCCACCUUCCAAUCAGUGAUGAAUGAGCUGUUUAGACCAUAUAUGCGCCGGUUUGUUUUAGUGUUCUUUGACGACAUUCUGGUAUACAAUCUUGAUGUAGAGACACAUCUCAAACACUUAGAGGUUUUUCUUCAGAUUCGGUUACAGAACAGGUUCUACGCCAAUGAGAAGAAAUGCCACUUUGGUUGCACAAGGAUAUCAUAUUUGGGCCAUAUGAUCACUAGCGAAGGAGAUUCUACAGAUCCCACAAAGAUAGAAGCUAUGGUAAAGUGGCCACAGCCCAAGAAUAUAACAGAGCUGCGCGGGUUUUUAGGCCUUACUGGUUACUACAGAAGGUUUGUGGCAGGUUAUGGGAAGAUAGCAAAGCCACUGACAGAAUUACUCAAGAAAGGGAAAUUUGAAUGGUCUGUUGAAGGUACAAGUACUUUUGAGGCUUUAAAAGAGGCGGUUAUCUGUCUUCCAACGUUAGCAUUACCAGAUUUUGAGAAGCCAUUUGUGAUAGAGACUGAUGCUUUAGGCACGGGUAUAGGAGCAGUUCUAUCUCAGGAUAAGCGUCCCAUUGCGUUCAUUAGCCAAGGAUUCUCCAGUAAAGGCAGAGUUAAAUCAAUAUAUGAGAGGAAACUUUUGGCGAUUGUUUUUGUAGUGGAUAAGUGGAAGCACUACCUCACGGGAGAAAAGUCAUUAUCAGGACUGAUUAGAGAAGCCUGAAACACUUACUCAACCAGAAGGCAGUGUCAGCCAUACAACAAAGGUGGGCUUCGAAAUUAGUUAGCCUGGACUAUGAGAUUGAGUAUAAGCAUGACUCAGAAAAUAGAGUAGCAGACGCGCUAUCUAGACGUCCAGUAACCGAGCAAAUAAUGAACAUGCUGUUUCUAGCUUCGGCGACAGUGAACAAGGAAGAACUGUAGGCACAGGUACAAAAUGAUCCCAGCCUCAAACUCAUACAGGAACAACUGCUUAGAGGAGAGGAAGGGGAGAAAGGAUACAGUCUGGUAGCUAACACCUUAUAUAAGGAUGGCAGAAUUGUUAUGCCAGAAAGCUCUCCUUUUAUCCCAAAAUUGCUGGAACAGUUUCAUACUAGUCCCAUUGGAGGACAUGAAGGAGCGUUUAAGACAUUUAAAAGGUUAUCUAGUGAAGUUUACUGGAAAGGCAUGCGCAAGGACGUGGUGGAGUUCCUCAAGGGUUGUCAAGUUUGUCAACAAAACAAGUAUUCUACAUUGUCUCCAGCCGGCCUCUUGCAACCAUUACCCAUUCCGACUAAGGUAUGGUCCAAUAUCAGCCUUGAUUUCAUUGAAGGGCUUCCAGUUUCAAGUGGAUAUGAUGCGGUACUCGUCGUGGUAGAUCGGCUCAGCAAGUAUGGUCAUUUUAUUCCCCUUAAGCAUCCUUACACAGCUAAAUCAGUAGUAGAAGUGUUUAUUAAAGAGAUUGUUAGACUUCAUGGAUUUCUAGAGAGUAUGGUUUCAGAUCGGGACAAGAUUUUUGUCAGUCACUUUUGGUCUGCUCUUUUCAAGUCCCAAGGAACACAUCUGGCUAAGAGCACAGCAUACCACCCACAGUCGGAUGGCCAAACCGAGGUCCUAAACAGAUGCUUAGAGACUUACCUUCGCUGUUUUGUUAAUGGAAAGCCAAAAUCUUGGGCUCAAUUGUUUUCCUGGGCAGAAUACUGGUCUAACACUUCGUUUCAUUCUGCCAUCAAGAUGACUCCAUUUCAGGCCUUGUACGGAAGAGAACCACCGAAACUGUUACGAUUUGGUGACAUCCCAAAAGCUAACGCGGUGGUAGAGGAGAUGCUACAAGAAAGGGACAGAGUGGUCACGAUGCUGAGAGAAAAUCUGCAGGCAGCUCAAGCCCGAAUGCAAAAAUCAGCUAACAAGCAUAGAAGGGAGCUGGAAUUCAUAGUUGGCGAUUGGGUUUAUCUAAAGUUAAGACCUUACAGGCAGGUAACCGUGGCACAGCGUCGCAAUGAGAAGCUAUCUCCCAGAUUUUUUGGUCCUUAUCAGAUUCUUCAAAAAAUAGGUGCAGUAGCCUACAAACUUCAGUUACCAAGCAGCAUCUCCAUACACCCGGUCUUCCAUAUAUCACAGCUGAAGCAUGCGCAACCAAGUUCAGCCCAAGCUCAACCUCUCCCAGCGAUUAUGACUUCUAACUUGGAGUGGGAACCUGAACCUGAAGAUGUACUAGAGAUAAGGGAAAGCAGCACGGGCGCAGAUACUGAGUUAUUGAUUAAAUGGAGAGGUCUGCCAGAGUGUGAGAAUACAUGGGAGCCAAUGAAAGUCAUCAGGCAGCAGUUCCCAGCAUUUCACCUUGAGGACAAGGUGGCUUCGUUACGGGGGAGUAAUGAUAAGGUGGAGACUAUGGAAGGAGAAGCAAGGAAAGGAGAUAGAGCAACAAGGAAGAGGAUUCAAAGAAGAUCUUUGACCCAAGUGGCUAAAGAGAGUUUAAGAAAGUGCAAGGAAACACUCUGUCGCAUCCAGAGGCUUUGAAGUGUCAAAGAAAUAAGUAUGCUAUAGUUCAUAUUAACUGUAUGUUGUUUAAGUAAGAGUCUGAGAGAGUGUGUGUAGUUUUCCAUAGGGAAACUACUAUAAAUGUUGAACUCUACUUUAGGGUUAAGGUAUCAAAGUAUUAAUCAAACUUCCUAUUAUUACUCUCCUCUAUCCUUUAUCCACUCUAUCUUCUUCUUCUUCUUCAUCCGAUUCUAUCUCUUUCUGUUCUUAAUCUUCUUGAUAGGUUCACCACUUAUCACUCGACUUCCUUGUAGAGUGGUGUGAUCGAGUGAUGGUCAAGUGUGGAGGUGAUGAUACUCGACCAGGUGGUAGAGUGAUCGAGUGAAGGUGAUGAAGGUAGUCGACCAUGUGGUAGAGUAGUGUGAUCGAGUGAUGGUCAGGUGGUGGAGGUUAUGAGACUCGACCAGGGGGUCGAGUGGUGAGGUGAAGUGGUGAAGUCCUCUACUCGACCAGGGGGUCGAGUGGUCUGUUGAGGUCGUGAAGCAUCUACUCGACCUGGGGGUCGAGUGGUUUGACAUGAUCAGGAACGCUUCUUCCAAUUAGCUCGUCAACAGCUCCAAAUCACCUGAAAACAACACAAAUAUGCAACAUGCAUGCAAAACUAUCCUAAACAUGCAAAGUGAUGACAAAUGAUAUAAAACAAUGAUGAUAUGAUGAUAAAGUGAUGACAAAUGGAUGCUCAAAACAGGCAAAAUGCACACUUAUCAACUCCCCCAAACUUAGUCUUUGCUUGCCCUCAAGCAAACAAUUAAGAACAAGUAGGAGGUGAGAGUUGAAGGCGGGGACUUUGAGCCAAAGCACCAGAUAAAUCAGAUGAAAUCAAUGUCCAAGUUGAUAGUUCUAAGCUGCGAUAUGAUUGAAUUCUACUCAAAAACGUUAGCUAUGCCUUGUUAUCAAUCAAUCCGACUCUUAUGCUCAGCCUACACAUGUUUUCAAAUCUACCAAUCCCUUUAACAUUCAUUAGUUAUGGAACGUGAAUCAAGCAAUGCAUCUAUCAAUGAACUCAUUUGGCUAAGGUAAAGGUCAAGUGACAAAGAUGGCCCCUUACAGAAUAGGCUUCAGCAAAAGGGGAUCUCUCAAAAAAUGAUUAAGCUUUAGUAGAAUGCUAAAGGUAAGUCCCAAGCUAUGCAUACAGAGAUAAGAUCCCAUCUACCAAGAGUAUAACCAAUGAAGCUCUAAUGGUAAUCCCAUCUCCAAUCCCAAUAUAAGAACUUAACUCUACCCUUUGCAUUCAUGAAUCUUUUAACCCCUUUUUCUAAUCAUUCUUUUCUUUUCUCUUAACUCUAGGAGAAGCUUUCUCAACACUCUGAUACAUCUAGCGGAUUUGUAUUUCUUUAACAACUAAGGAUCCUCUUUUCAAUUUUUAAAACCGAGGACUUUUGCCCUUCUUCAUUAGCUGACAAGAACCCUUUUCUUUUCUUUACAAAUCCCAAAACCUUUACUAGACUUUUUCUACUUCUUUAGCUUACUUCACCUAGAGCCUUUUACCUUUUCUCAUCAAUGAAUCAACUCUUUUGUUUUUUCUUUUUCUUUUAGACACAUCCCAACCCAAAGUAUAAGCACCCACCUAGUCCUAUCUAGUCCGAAAAAUGCGAACUAGAACUACAUGAGACAUUAUCUCUGUCGUUACAAACCUAACACUUUCUACCAAGCUUAAUCGAAAUAAGACCUCAGAAACACUCACAAGUGAUAUAAGGCUUGAAAGAAAGUCUAGAUUUUGGUUCGGGUUAACUGCUCUAAUAAGGAGAGUCAACUACUUGGAUUAACAAGAGUGAUCAAAAUGAAUAAGAAAAUCCAAGUAUUUUAGGGUAUCCAUGAGUUCAAAUUUGAUGCAGACAUGAUAAUUAAAGAUCAGAUUCAGGUUCAAAUUGAUAGGGAAUGGUAUCAGAUCAUGACAGUGUGGUCGAGUAGAGGAAUCUAGGCAUGGUUCGGUUUUACUUCAAUUUCAUUGACUACGCAAAAGACAACUAGCAACGAGGGCACUGAGUUUAUCCAGUGAACCAAAAUGCUUACAAGGCUAUCUCAUCAUUAUUCCCUAUGCAUAUGCAACAAUCCUAAAUGAAACACUCUAUACUCGAUCCUAAAUGUAAUGCAACUACAUGAACACUCUUUUUUUUUGUGAAAUCAUUUUCUGAAAUUUUUCAAUUUUUUUUUGGUUUUUUUAUGCCUUAGAUGAAUGCAGACUCAAGAGUAUAAACAAUGCAACACACACUUCAUGAGCACUCCCCCAAACUAAUCUUGGAAGAGAGUAACUCAGGACAAAUCCAAUCACAGAAACAAAAUAAAGAACAAAUCACAAAAGAUGAUAUAAUACAAUGGUGAAGUGAGGCGCUUACCUCAAUCAAAGAAUGAACGAAGUUGGUCGUCAAUGGCUGCCUGUGAUUGCUCCCAAGCCAUAGACGAGCCACCCUGUUCUGUAUCAGCUCCAGCAGGUGGGUACUCGACCUCAUCAGCUCUGUGGAUACUCGACCUCUCUUCCUCUGCUGCGGCCAGCACCGUGGUCGAGUGAUCUCCUCGAGUGAAUUAGGCAUGAUCUACUGCUAGAGCGAACGAGUGUAGCCUUCCUUCUUCACUUGUGCUCCCGGGACUCGAAUGACGAAUGCCUAGCAGGGACAUGUGAGACUCUCUGCUCACUAAGCUCAGGUCUGUGCUCAGGCUCAUCAAAUCUCCUCAAUGGCAUAUCUAGAGGAGGCUGUCCCUGUGGAAUAGCUGUAGUAGAAGAGGAACAGCUCAGUUAAUCUAUCAGAAACUUGAUAGUCUUAAAGCACUUGGCGAGCCGCUUGUCCUGCUUCUUGCAACACUUCUGCAGCUUAUUGUUGUUCCUAUGAGCUUCACUCAAGCUCUUGCUCUCCCUCGCCAGAGGUACAUGUUCAUCAAAAUGAUACAUGCUAGUGUCGAACUCCACUGCUCUGUCUUCAUCCAUCCCAUCCUAAGCAGCUUCUUCUAUAAGAUCAUCCUCAUCCAAUGGCGGAGCGUUCUCAUAGUAGAGGUUUCCAAGCUCAGGCCGAAAAUCAAUGUUAUCUCCCUCUAUUAUCCGUGUAACCUUAGGGCUGGGGAGAAGGAUGCUAGCUCUCUUAUCCGUAGAGUGCUUAAACCUAAAACAGUGCAUGUCGCCAACCAUUCCGAACUUCAGGACGUAGGAUGCUAACUCCAGGACUUCGCAGUGACGUAGAUGCUUGAUAUCAAUUGCCCGUGGCUCGAGUCCAUCAGAUGUGAUUGGGACUCCACAAGCAAUCAGAAUCGGUGUCACAACACCGACUAUGCAAAGAGCGCCUCGUGCUCUCUUGUGAUUAUUGCUGACAGCCCAGCUCUUGUAUCCACACAGGUGGAUUAGAAGAAGUACAGAGAAAGGUGUGUCAUUGAUUUCACAGAUAUGUUGUUCUUAGUUUGGUAGAGAGUGCCUUUGAGAGCAUAUAGCGAUCAUCUCCAUAUCAGAAUUGGUAACAGUCCCUGUGAUCUCUCUGGAGUAGAGGACAUUGGCUAUAGAACGCUGGAAGUACCUGAUGACAGGGCUGCGUAUCUGAUUGCUCUUUAACCUGGAAGAAUUUAGCGGUACAGAGCUGCCAAUGGUGAUCCAUAAGUCUUUCAACUCUUCUCUGUCAUACUUGGGCUUAGUACCCGUUCCACUGGGGAAACCAAAAAGUCCUUCCAAGCGUUUGAUUGAUAACCUAUACUCAUGACCAUACACAGAGAAUCUCAAGAAUCCCAAUCCUUCGCAAUCCAACUCAUCAGAGGUCAUACCUUGGUAAAGCUCCACUUGCCGUGUGGAGAGGAAUUGAAUUGUCUCUUCUUCAUAUGCUACAUACGGAUAAGCCAUCAGAGUGUCCACAUGACUACUCUGGUACAGGUGUUGAACAUCUUCCAACAAUCCAAGUUAUGCAAGUGUGGUCGAGCAUGGAUACCUUGUGCUACAGAACUCAUUUAGUUUGAAGAGUCUGAUAUACUCCUCAGCAGGUAAUACAUCUGGUUUGUGAAGAAGCUUUGUGGCUCUACUAGUAUGCUCAAGCAUGUACUCGUCUUCUAGAUCCUCAUCUAUAAGCUCGUACCUCUCUGUCAUUGCUCUCUUCCCUCGAGCUAUCUCAGCUUUUCUUCUGAAGCUAUCAAAUUCUAUCUUUUCUCUCUCUGGCCUUGAAGAUGACGACUAUGUCUCAUCCAUGUUGUAGUCAGGAUCAACUGAAGAAUUGCCACUGUAAUUACUCAUGAUUCUCUUGUAGAAGAUUUAGAACUCAAAACUCCAAUAUCAAUAGGAUAGUCUCAAAGAGAACAAUCAAACCAAAAUUGUUAACAACAGACAAUAUAGACCCAAACGGUCAAGUACAAUCAAAUACUCAAGUAAGCUUAACUUUUUCCAAGUUUCUCUUUCACGGGUUGAAUCGAGUGGCUCAGAUAUAAGAGGUCGAGUAAUGUUGAGGAAGUAGUGUGCAGAUGGUGAAUCAGGUUGGUCGAGUAUACCAUAGGUGAGCCAAAAUUGGCAGGGACGAAACCUCAAAUCGACGAUCGAGUACAGUGGAUGUAAUCGAGUAGCUCUUGAGACGACGACGGUAAACGAGGUGGAGACUCGACUUAGACGGGAAGUGACGGUUAACGGCGAAGUGAAGUGGUUGAGUGAUUCAAGGUGAAACGUAAUCGGUGGUCGAGUGGGACUUUGAACUCGACUGCGGCGGCUGUAAUUCUUUCCAGCUGCGGUCGAGUGGUUUCGGCGAGGUCGAGCGUGGCUUGGUUUCAGAGGUCAAGUUGAUUCUUGCGAUCGAGUGGUGGAAAACUGAAUAGAGGUUGGUCGAGUGAAAUUUCAAAAGCAGUGGUGGAGAUUGAGUUUGAGAUUCUCUCUCCAUCUUAUCCUCAGCGCGUGGUCCACACUCUGUUGAUUGGGAAAACUGCAGGAAAUCUACAGUAAACUUGAUUAACUCCCUGUAAGGCUCUGUAGCUUCUGUUGGUCGAGUAAUAUGAUGAUUUAAAAUUUUUUGGUUUUAAACAUCACUCAUACUCGACCAAUGUACUCGAGUGCAAGGUCUCCAUGUGCAACAGAAAAUUUACAAAAUUUUGCACUCCAACGGGCUAUACACUCGAUCUCCAGGUCUUUUGUAAAGUAAAAGUUUUGAAUUUUUACUCUAUCUCCACCUUGUUCCUUUGUUCCUGAGAACCACAAACACAACUAAGACAAAUCAAAAAUAACAACAAAAGAAAAAUUUAUUUACAGAGAUAGUCAUGGGACCUUCCUCCCAAGUGAGCUUGUUUAAAGUCUCUAGCUUGACUGCUCACACUUAUCAAGAAGAAAAUGAAUGAUAGAGAGGGUCUGCAUAGUCCUCUCGGAUAUCAUCAUCAUACUCAGCGUCCUCCCUGGAGAGGUCUGCAGCAGAACACUCAAUUCCCCUUUCUUCAAAACAGGCUUCUUUCUCUUCUAGAGGGUAAUCUAUCUCUUCAGACCAUCUUGAAGUGAACCUUUUUCUCGGGAUAAUGUCAAUUCCGCCUUUAGGUUGAGCUUUCUUCUGCAUCUGAUUCAGCUUACUCUUAAGCUCCUCAAUAGUGUGGGCUAGCUUCCCUAUAGUUUCAUCUUGCUUAUCAGACCUCUUUUUAAGCUCCCUUACUUUUUCAGUCUCAUACGCUUCUCUUGGGAUCACUCUAUCGUCUCCAGAGGGUUUUUCAUAUUCUUUUGACUCUUCUGGAGUUUUGUUGAUGUCAAAUUGCAACUUGAUGUGCUUUCCAAGGUUGAGACUUAUUUUUUCUUCCCUGACAUCUAUCACUGCUCCCACUGAGGCUAAGAAGGGUCUUCCCAGGAUUAAGGGAUCCUUAUGCUCUUCUUCCAUAUCCAGCACCACGAAGUUUGUAGGCACUUCCACUCCAUUAAUCAUGACUGGUAGAUCUUUCAACAUGUCGGAGGGUUUUCUUGAAGACCUAUCUGCAAGGAUCAAAGUCAGGUCACAAGGCCUGUACUAAAUAAAUUCCAACCUUCUUGCCACAGAGAGUGACAUUAAGGUGACAGAGGCUCCGAGAUCGCACAGGCAAUCGCUGAAAGCUAAUUCCCCAAUUGAACAUGGUAGAGUAGAAUAUCCAGGAUCUUCUAACUUUUCUUGAACAAUCCUCUUAUCAGCAACUCGAGAUGGAGUAGCGUCACUAUCAUCAUCUGAAUCGUGAUACAUCUUAAUCCUUUCCAGUAUCAGAUUUCUCACAUCUUUGUGAGGAUCAGGAAUCAGGUUGAGAACUUCCAUCAGUGGCAUCACUGUUUCAUUCUCGUCUAGCUGUUUCGCUGCAACAGACUUGUAUCUCUCCAUCCAUGCUUUCCUGAAUUUCAUGGAAGAGCAUGUGAGGGUAAUGGAGUAGGUUUGAAUCGUUUUACCAUUCUCUCGAUUAUGGCUGCUUUCUCUUCCGAGGUGGAUUAAAUGAGAUGGUGAGAACCAGCAGAAUGGUUGAAUUCUACAACAGAGACCUCAAUCUUGGUUGAAGGCUCCCCUUCUUGAACAUCACUGUCCCCAGUGAUUAAGUCAGGGACAGGUCGAGUUGGCUGCUCUCGAUCCUGGCAGAUAGUGAUGGCGUGAGCAGUUGCAUACUCCUUUGGAUUUUGUAUUGACUUCCCAGGAAGUCCUGUAACUUUAGGACCAGAGGUAGAUGUUGAUUGUCCUUCCAAGUAUCUGACUUUGGUAUUCAAUGUCUCCACUUUGGCAUUCAGGUCAUUGUAGCUAUAGUCCAGCUUAUGGUGCAAUUCAAAUAACUUCUUAGCAAUUUUCAUGGAGCUAGAUGCUUGUCCCUGUAGCAGCUGUUGUACCAUCUGUUUCAUUUCGGGAUCAGGAGCUGCAAGACCUUGGUUUUGCUGAGGUGCAAACCCAGGUGGUGGUUGCGGCUGGUAGUUCCCCUGAAAUUGUUGGGAACAAAUCCUUGAUUGUAAGGAACAAAAGGUUUGUUCUGACCUUGUUGUUGAUGUGGAGGAUACACCUGAUCCUGAGGAUUCGCAACGUUGGUGCUCCGGUAGGAGAGGUUGGGGUUGUUGGUUUUGAAGUUGUUAUACCCUUUGUAGCCACCCUGGUUGUUGUUGAUGUAGCUGACCUCUUCCAACUGGUUACCCUCCCCAUCUUGGACUUGAUACUGCUCGUCAUCAACAAGGAAGUGCACAUGCUUCUACUGGCUAAGAAGAAUCCUUUCCAGCUUGUCGUUCAGCGCUUUGAUCUCCUUCUUGUGUUUGUCAUCAGAGUCAGCUGUGCUUCUGAUGGUCCUAUCGUAGUCCUCAUUGUAAUUACCAUCUAAUUGAGCUAGGUUCUCAACCAAUUCCCAGCCUUCUUCAACAUCCUUGUUCUGGAAAUUCCCAUUGUUGGCGGUAUCCAGAAGCAUUCUGAUGCGUGGUAAAACGCCUAUCUAUGGAGUGCUUAGCAGAGAGGCUUUCGUGAAGCAAUGAUGAGGGCAUUGGUUGAUGUAACCUCUGAAACGCUCCCAUGCUUCAUAGAAGCUUUCACCCGUCUUCUGUGAAAAAUCAGAAAUCUUAUUUCUGAGUUUUGCAGUUCUGGCGUUGGAGAAGAACUUUGAUAGAAAGUCCUGUGGAGUAAACAAUAAAAUCAAUCAGAUAAAGAAUUCCCGAGGAUGGGGUAAUUGAGUAGUUUCGUUUCCUCAGUUAACAGGUGACUGACAUGCUCAAUAAAUUAUCCCUAGACAACAAGUUCAUUAACCAAAUCUAAGUGCCACCGCAACAAAGACCCUCAAGUUAACCUAGUCCCAGACUCAAUCACCAUUGACGAGAGCUAACCUAACAGGCAUUACGAAUCAACAAGUUAAAGCCAAAACGCUCCCUACAACCAAUACCUUGGUACAGAGCCACAAAUCUCUGGAAUUAGUGGUUCAGACAUUUCAUCGAACACCUUUUGGGCGCAGAAAUGUCUGGGCUCAAAUUCUAGUUGAUUAGAAAGCAAUAGGGAUUAAGAACAACUAAUCCAGAAGGGAUCUAUCAAUCAAUACUCAACCACCUAGCAAACUGAGAAUUCUACACUACUCUAAUCCAUCCUCAGAAACCUAUUCACUACUCAGACAUCAUUAUAGAGAACAUAAACGUUGAACAGGAUGAAAACAUGAUAACAAUAAUAUAAUAGCAAAACGAUAACAGGAUGAACAACAAUAAACGAAAUCAAGAACAAAUACUGAAUACUGAGUAGAUAAAGAGAAAUCCGGAUUACAAAAGGUCUAGAACACAGUGUCUGCGGAAUAAAACUAGAUAAAAACCUCUUCUCGAAAAUGUAAAGUACAUGCUUAUUAUAGCAAAAUAUUCUGAAACUCUAAUACUCAAAAUGACGCAGUAUUGGGACGGAUUAAGAACUGUACUCGACCCUGAUGGUCGAGUGAGAGGUCGAGUGAUAUGCUGGAGUCUUCUAUUCUUCCUUGUGCUCGAGUGUCUAGUUGAGUGCAGAAAUGAAGAAGACUCUGAAGCUCGCCAUAGAGUAUGUAGUCGAGUGGUGGUGGUGAAGACACUCGACCUGGGGGUCGAGUGAUGUGAUCGAGUGACUGGUCAGGUUGUGGAGGUGAAUACACUCGACCAGGUGGUCGAGUGAGGUGAUCAAGUAUCUCUCGUGGUGGUACUCGGCCAGGGGGUCGAGUGAUGAGAUGAAAUUGUGAAGUCCCCUACUCAGCCAGGGGGUCGAGUGGUCUGUUGAGGUCUUGAAGCUUCUACUCGACCUCGGGGUCUAGUGGUUUGACAUGAUCAGGUCCGCUUCUUCCAGUUAGCUCGUCAACAGCUCCAAAUCACCUGAAAUCAACACAAAUAUGCAACAUGCAUGCAAACCUAUCCUAAACAUGCAAAGUGAUGACAAAUGAUGAGAAAUGGUAUUAUACAGUGAUGAUAUGGUGCUUAAGUGAUGACAAAUGGAUGCUCAAAACAUGCAAAAUACACACUUAUUAACUCCCUAAUAAUAUGUUUUUAGUCAAUUAUCCUUAAACACCAAUCAUGUCUUUGUAGUAUUUUAGGUGUCAAUCCAAAUGGGUGUGAUGCAAACAGAUGAGAUGUGAUCAGAAGUCACUAAGUCAAGCCAAGCAAUAACAGUAUUGGGGUUUCUUACAGUCCUAAGUGAACAUGCAGAAAACAGAAACAAUAAUAGAAUUACUAAAAUCACCCGACCACAACAGGCUGAUGCAAGAAGUAGGAUGUGAUCGAGUAAGAGGCAGGAUAUGAAACAAAUAUACUCGAUUGCACAGUCUAUUGCCAGACACUGGGUCUGGUCGAGUAUACAUGUCGAGUAACAGACAGGAAAUGAGACAGCUGUACUCGAUUGCACAGUCUGUUGCCAGACACUGGGUGUGGUCAAGUAAGUUGGUCGAGUAAUUGCAAAAACUAAGAAACAGGCAAUGAAAACGAUUAAGUGAUAACAAUAAAACGGAGAAAUCAGAUAGACGAGAAAUUCCUAAGGAUGGGGUAAUCAAGUAGAGUUGUAUCCUAGCCUAUUCGAAUGGUUAACAAGCGCAAUCAAGCUAUCCCUAGACUGAUCAAUUAACUCCCGUGAUAGAAAUCCUCAAGCAAAGCUAGCCCAGACUAAUUUCUAUUAACGGAAUCUAACUAUGCAGGCAAUAAGAACAGACUGAUAAAGUCAAUAAACGCUCUAAUCGGCCAAUCCCUUGGGAUAGAGACGAAUAUCUCAGGAACUAGUCGAUCGAACAUUCCAUCGAACACCUUCUGGGUGCGGGAAUGCUUUGCUUGAAUUCCAGUUGAUCAGAAAGAAAUAAGCAGUAAACGCAACUAGUCCUGAAGGGAUUCAAUCAAUUCUAAAAUUUAACCAUUCUACAGACUACGGAUUCCACAAAUACUCUAUCCCAUCCCUAAGAAUUCUAAGUCACUACUCAGACAACAUGCUCAAAGACAUAAACGCAGAUAAAUGAUAAUAUUGCAUAAGUAAAGAGAUAAAGAGUAGAGAAACAAGAUGACAGAUGAAAUCAAAUGCGGAAUCUGAAUAACUUGGAAAAAUCUCGAAUUACUGGUUGCAGAAGCAAAAGCGGCACAGCAGAGUAAAACAGAAAAUAAAACUGAAGCAAAAACUCAAUGUCGACUAGAUGUCUCAGGACAGAACCCUAAGACAUCUAUUUAUACAAAACGAAAUAAAAUGAUAGUAGACGGGCCAAUAACCUAAUCGCCCGGCCCAUAGAAUGAUAAUGGGCCGAGAUGGGCUUCGUGAUCCGAUGGAGGUCUAGGCCGCUUCUAAACACUUUGUCUUCUCCUCUUCUCUUCCUUGUGCUCAGCUUGUCUGGUUGAGUGCGGAUUUGAUUAGACUAUAAAGACGUGAUCGAGUGUCCGGUCGAGUGAUGGUGAUGGUGGUGAGUGAUGAUACUCGACCAGGGGGUCGAGUAACUUGGUAGAGUGAAUGGCUGAGUGUGGUCAGGUUGUGUGGCGAAGUGAUAUUCGACCAGGGGGUCGAGUGGCGUCAUCGAGUGGCCUGAGCUGAGGAUACUCGACCAGGGGGUUGAGUAGGUGGGAAGAAUAGCUCCAAAGUUACUCGACUUGGGGGUAGAGUAUAGUGCUGGAUGCACACGACCUGGUGGUCGAGUAUGUCUUCUGGUUCUGGCUCGUUUCUUCAAAUUUGCUCGCAAACAGCUCCAAAUCAUCUGAAAACAACUCAGAAAUGCAAUAUGUAUGCAAAGCUAUCCUAAUCAUGCAAAGUAUGCAAGAAUGAUGAGAAAUGAUAUAAAACAGUGAUGAAUGAUACAAAACUGGACUCAAAACGAUGAUGAAUGGACACUGAAAACAUGCAAAUUAUAGACAUAUCAACUCCCCCAAACUUAGUCUUUGCUUGCCCUCAAGCUAAUAAGAAGACAUAGUUGAAGGAGAGGUUUGAAGGCGGGGACUCAGAACCAAAGCAUAUGAUAGAGCGAAUAAAAUCAAUGUCCAAGUUGGUAGUUCUAAGAUGCGAUAUGAUUGAAUUUUACUCAAAAACGUUAGCCAUGCCUUGUUAUCAAUCAAUCCGUCUCUUAUACUCGACCUACACAUGUUUUCAAAUCUACCAAUCCCUUUAACAUUCAUUAGUUCUGGAACGUGAAUCAAGCAAUGCAUCAUCAAUGAACUCAUUUGGCUAAGGUGAAGGUCAGGAGACAAAGAUGGUCCCUCACAAAAUAGGCUUAAGUACCAAGGGAUCUCUCAAGAAUGAUUGAGCUUUAGUAGAAUGCUUAAGGUAAGUCCCAAGUUAUGCAUAUAGAGAUAAGAUCGCAUCUACCCAGAGUAUAACAAUGAAGCUCUAAUGGUAAUCCCAACUCCAGUCCCAACUUAACUCUACCCUUUGCACUCAUGAAUCUUUCAAACUUUUUUUUUUCUUUUUCAAAUCAUUCUUUUCUUUUCUCUUAACUCUAAGAGAAGCUUUCUCAACACUCUGACACAUCUAGCGGAUUUGGAUUUCUUUAACAACUAAGGUUCCUGUUUUUAAUCUUUAAAACCAAAGGCUUUUAACCCUUCUUCUUUAGCUAACAAGAACCUCAUUCUUUUCUUUAACAUUCCCAAAACCUUUACUAGAUUUUUUUUCUAACUUCUUUUAGCUUACUUCCCCUAGAAUUCUUUCCCUUUCCUUAUCAACAAUGAAUUCACCCUUUUCUUUUAAACACAUCCCAACCCGUGAUAUAAGCGCCCACCUAGUCCUAUCCAGUCCGAAAACGCGAACUAGAACUACAUGAGACACUAUCUCUGUCGUUACGAACCUAACACUUUCUACCAAGCUCAAUUGAAAUAAGACCUCACAAACACUCACAAGUGAUAUAGGGCUCGAAAGAAAGUUUAGGUUUUGGUUCGGGUUAACUGCUCUAAUAAGGAGAGUCAGCUACUUGGACUAACAAGAGUGGUUAAAAUGAGUAAGAAAAUCCAAGUAUUUUAGGGUAUCCAUGAGUUCAAAUUCGAUGCCAAGACAUGAUAAUUCUAAAUCAGAUUCAAGUUCAAAUUGAUAGGGAAUGGUAUCAGAUCCAAACAGUGUGGUCGAGUAGAGCAAUCUAGGCAUGGUGCAGUUUUACUUCAAUUUCAAUGACUACGCAUCAGACAACUAACAACGAGGGCACUGAGCUUAUCUGGUGAACCAAAAUGCUUACAAGGCUAUCUCAUCAUUAUCCCCUAUGCAUAUGCAACAAUCCUAAACGAAACACUCUAGACUCGUUCCUAAAUGCAAUGCAACUACAUGAGCACUCUAUUUUUGUGAAAUCAUUUUCUGAAAUUUUUCAAUUUUUUUGUUUUUUCCUAUGCCUUAGAUGAAUGCAGACUCAAGAUUAUAUACAAUGCAACACACAUUGCCUGAGCCCUCCCCCAAACUUAAAUCACACAGUCCACUGUGUGACCAAAUUUGGAAGAGAGUACUCAGGACAAAACACAUCACAGAAACAAAAUAAAAACAAGAGAUGGUAUAUUACAAUGGUGGAGUGAGGUGCAUACCUCAGUGGAAGAAGGAGCAGAGUUGGUCGUCAAUAGCUGCCUGUGAUUGCUCCCAGGCCAUCGAAGAAUCUCCCAGUUGUGUCUCAGCUUCCCCCUAGGGGUACUCGACCUCUGCUCCUUCGUCGCGGCCCGCACCGCUCUGAUGAUACUCGACCUCUCUUCUUCUGCUGCGGCCAGCACCGUGGUCGAGUGAUUUACUGACAUGGAGAAGUUUUGAUUGCACCACUCGCUAUACUCGAUCACAUCGUCAUUCAGUCCCUGUAGGGUGUGGUCGAGUGAUUUCAUGGGGUGGAGAAACCAGAACAAUGUCGAGUAUCCUUGAUUGCUCUUUGGUCGAGUGUAUUGCUGUUCCCUCAAAGCCAGAAUCUAUUUCCGUCAGCUCUUCAUACUUAUCGCCUGAAAACACUAACAAGAUGCAUCAAAAACAACAAGAAAAAUUAAAGAUAUGUACAAAGAUAGGCAUGGGACUUCCUCCCAAGUGAGCUUGUUUUAGGUCUCUAGCUUGACUCUUCAUACUCAUUAGGCGUUUAUAGGCUCAUCCAAAGGAACAGAAGUUCCUUCUGGAAUAAACUGAUCUAUCAUGUAUUUCUUGAGCCGUUGUCCAUUGACUGUGAAGUCUCCAUUCUUUCCAGCUAGAGUGAUAGCACCAUAAGGUCGGACUGCAGUAACAGAGAAAGGACCAGACCAUCUAGACUUGAGCUUGCCUGGAAAAAGCCUCAAGCGAGAGUUGAACAGCAACACUUGAUCACCAACCUUAAAAUCUCUUGAGACUAUCUUCUUGUCAUGGAAAGACUUGGUUCGCUCCUUGUAGAUUUUGGAACUCUCAUAAGCUUCUAAGCGAAUCUCGUUGAGAUCGUUCAGUUGGAUCAAUCGCUUCUCCUUGGCGGUUUUAAUGCCAAAGUUCAGGAGUUUAACUGCCCACAUGGCUUUAUACUCGAGUUCAACAGGCAAAUGACAGGAUUUUCCAUAGAGGAGGUUGAAAGGAGUCGUUCCAAUAGGGGUCUUGAAGGCUGUUCUGUAAGCCCAUAGUGCGUCAUCGAGCUUAGUAGACCAAUCUUUCCUUGUAAUUCCCAUUGUUUUCUCUAAAAUUGCUUUUAUCUCCCUGUUGGAGAUUUCCACCUGCCCGCUCGUCUGUGGAUGAUAAGGAGUGGCUACCUUGUGCUUUACUCCAUGCUUCUUCAAAAGGUUCUCAAAAACCUUGUUGAUAAAAUGUUUCCCUCCGUCACUGAUCACAACUCUCGGGACUCCAAAUCUAGGGAAGAUAAUUGUCUUGAACAGCUUUAGCACAACUCUAGCAUCAUUGGUGGGGCUGGCUAUGGCUUCCACCCAAUUGAUACAUAGUCUACUACGACCAGUAUGUACUUGUUCCCGUAAGAAAAAGGAAACGGACCCAUAAAAUCAAUUCCCCAAACGUCAAAGAUCUCAACUUCUAAGAUCGGAUUCUGAGGCAUCUCAUUCCUUCUGCUGAUGUUCCCUUUCCUUUGACAUGAGUCACAUUUCGAGAUAAAUUCCUGAGCAUCCUUAAACAUUGUCGUCCACCAAAAACCAGCUUGCAAGAUUUUUGACACUGUCUUGAACGUUGCAAAGUGGCAACCAUAGGCGGACCCAUGGUAGUGCAGUAGGAUGCCUUCGAUUUCGUCUUCUGAAACGCAUCUCCUGUAGAUCUUAUCCUUGCAGAGUGUGUAGAGAUAAGGUUUGUCCCACUAGAAGUGGUUAAUGUCCUUGAAGAACUUCUUCUUCUCAUAGCUCGACAAAUUCGGAGGCUCUUCACCACUAACCAAGUAGUUGACGUGAUCAGCAUACCACAAAAGCUUUUCUUCAAUUGCACAUACUUGAUCGAGUGAUUUCCGAAUUUGAGCACUCUCGUUAAGUUGCUGAAUUGCCAUUAGCUGUUCUUCUGGCAUGGAAUCGUCAAUAGGGACCUCGUCUUCAAUUCUCAUUCUAGUUAGAUGAUCAGCUACACCGUUUUAAAUUCCCUACUUAUCAAUUAUCUCCAUAUCAAACUCUUGGAGCAAUAAGAUCCAUCUCAACAGCCUAGGUUUGGUAUCCUUCUUCGCGUAUAUAUGCCUCAGAGCAGCAUGAUCAGUGUAGACUGUCACCUUAGAGCCGACUAGGUAGCUUCUAAAUUUUUCGAAUGCAAAUACCACAGCUAGCAGUUCCUUCUCUGUAGUGGCAUACCUUACCUGUGCAUCAUCCAUCGUUCUUCUCGCGUAGUAUAUCACAUGCAACGUUUUAUCAAUCCUCUGGCCCAAAACUGCUCCUACUGCAUAAUCUGAAGCAUCGCACAUGAUCUCGAAUGGGAAGUCCCAGUUUGGAGCUUGGACUAUUGGGGCCGUGACCAAAGCUUCCUUGAUUAACUUAAAGGCUGUCAAACAUUCUUCAUCAAAUGUAAACUCGGCUUCCUUGCACAGUAGUCUUGUGAGCGGUCUUGCCAACUUGGAGAAAUCCUUGAUGAAUCUUUUGUAAAACCCUGCAUGUCCAAGAAAACUCCUGAUGUCCUUGACAGUCUUUGGUGGCUAUAACUACAUCAUCACGUCAACCUUAGCCUUAUCAACCUCUAUCCCCUCCUCAGAAAUUUCGUGCCCCAAAACGAUGCCUUCUCUAACCAUGAAAUGGCAUUUCUCCGAGUUCAGCACCAGGUUUGUCUCUGCACAUCUUUUGAGUACCCUUCAUAGGUUCAACAAACACGAGGAGAAGGAAGAGCCAUACACAGAAAAAUCAUCCAUGAAUACCUCUACCAUCUCCUAUAUCAAAUCCGAGAAAAUGGAAGUCAACCACCGCUGAAAAGUAGCAGGUGCAUUACAGAGACCGAAAGGCAUACGCUUGUAAGCAAAGGUCCCAUAAGGACAAGUAAAAGUAGUUUUCUCUUGGUCAUUUGGGUGAAUAGGGAUUUGAAAAAAUCCGCUAUAGCCAUCCAACAAGCAAUAGUAAGGAUGGUUUGCUAAUCUUUCUAGCAUUUGAUCAAUGAAGGGCAAUGGGAAAUGGUCUUUUCUAGAGGCAGCAUUUAACUUCCUAUAGUCAAUACACAUCCUAUGUCGAGUUAUAGUCCUAGUGGGUAUCAGUUCAUCUUUAGCAUUUUUAACAACUGUCAUACCUCCCUUUUUAGGAACGCAGUGAACUGGAGAUACCCAAGUGCUAUCAGAGAUAGGGUAAAUAACCCCAGCAUCUAAUAGUUUAAGUAUCUCCUUUUUCACAACCUCUUUCAAGUUUGGAUUUAAUCUCCUUUGAGGUUCAAUGCUAGAGUAGGAUUCAUUUUCAAGAUGGAUUCUAUGGGUGCACAAGGUGGGUGAAAUCCCCUUAAUAUCAUCUAACGAAUAUCCUAUAGCUUUCCUAUACUUCUUGAGCUCAGUUAUCAGCAGGUUUACUUGAUCAGCAGUUAGCUCAUCAUUCACUAUGACAGGAUAAGUAGAGUUUAGUCCAAGAAAAACGUACCUUAGCCCUUUUGGUAGCGGUUUCAAAUCUACUUUGGGUGCCUUGAGUUCAGACCAGUCAUCGGAUACUAAGUUGGCUUCAGAGGAGGGGUUGUGGUCGAGUAGUUCGGUCGAGUACACUGAAUGGACUGUUAGUCGAGUGAUGUGGUCAAGUAUAUAUUCCUUCCUUGCUCUUUCACCCAAAUCUUCAUAUUCUCCUGGAUUCUCAACUGCUUUGUGUUCAUCUAACAGCUUCUGGUACCCUAGAGUCUCCAAAUGUAAAUCUCCUUCUUAGCUAUCCUUUGUUAGAGCACUCUGUUGAUGAUCUGUUUCUCUUAGCUCUUCUAGCAUUUCGUCAGCUAACAUAUCCAUCUCUUCAAUCCAGAAAACAUUUCCUUCUAUUGUAGGUUUCUUCAUGGUGUUGGUGAUAUCGAAGGUCAUCUUGAGAUCUCUCCCGAGGUUAAGAUCGAUCUUUCCCUUCUUAACAUCAAUGAUAGCUCCGACUGUAGCUAAAAAUGUUCUUCCCAAUAUCAAAGGGUCUUUAGGUUCUUCAUCCAUUUCUAGAACCACAAAGUCUGUAGGUACUUCGACCACGCCUUUCAUGACUGGUAAGUCUUCCAGGAGACCAUGGGGAAUUCUAACAGAUCUGUCAGCCAGGACCAGGGAUAUUUGUUUGUGUGAAACCAGAGAUAUCAUUCCUUAGUCUCGCAGUCCAGGAGUUUGAGAACAACUUAGCCAAGAAGGCUUUCUUGCAGUCAUUCCUGGAGGUGAUAGAGCCUUGAGGAAGCGAUUUUUCCCACUGAUGGGCUUUGUCUCCAAGAGAGAAUGGAAACAAUCUGAGCUUGAAGUCAUCCUCACUAACUCCAUUGAUCUUUGUUAGGCUGCAGAGCCUAUCAAACUCGUCCAGGUGAUCGAGUGGAUCCUCCAUAGGGAGGCCGUGGAAGUUGUUGCUCUGAACCAUGGCAAUGAGACCGCUAUUGAUCUCAAAGUUGUUGUUCUGCACUGGUGGAGGCACGGAUCCAUUACGCUGAUUGUGGUUGCGUGGUGCAUCGCCUGCACCUAUGUUGUUUGGUUGCACUUGCUCAUCUACAACUGUAGCCAUUGUGUCUGUUUCUGUCUGUGUUCUGAGUUGGCGUGCAAUACGGUCGAUAUUAUCGUUGAACAGGAGAUUCUGAUUUCCUCGUGACCGUGUUUGCAUACAACGAGUACCAACUGAUGAAGCUAGUGAUAGAAAUCCUCAAGCAACAGGUUUAACAACAAAUCAAUUCACUCCCGUGAUAGAAAUCCUCAAGCAAAGCUAGCCCAGACUAAUUCCCAUUAACGGAAUUUAACUAUGCAGGCAAUAAGAACAGACUGAUAAAGUCAAUAAACGCUCUAAACGGCCAAUCCCUUGGGAUAGAGACGCAUAUCUCAGGAACUAGUGGAUCAAGCAUUCCAUCGAACACCUUCUAGGUGCGGGAAUGCUUGAGAUCGAAUUCCAGUUGAUCAGAAAGAAAUAAGCAGUAAACGCAACUAGUCCUGAAGGGAUUCAAUCAAUUCUAAAACUUAACCAUUAUACAGACUACGAAUUCCACAACUACUCUAUCCCAUCCCUAAGAAUUCUAAGUCACUACUCAGACAACAUGCUCAAAGACAUAAACGCAGAUAAAUGAUAAUAUUGCAUAAGUAAAGAGAUAAAGAGUAGAGAAACAAGAUGACAGAUGAAAUCAAAUGCGGAAUCUGAAUAACUUGGAAAAAUCUCGAAUUACUGGUUGCAGAAGCAAAAGCGGCGCAGCAGAGUAAAACAGAAAAUAAAACUGAAGCAAAAACUCAAUGUCGACUAGAUGUCUCAGGACAGAACCCUAAGACAUCUAUUUAUACAAAACGAAAUAAAAUGAUAGUAGACAGGCCAAUAACCUAAUCCCCGGCCCAUAGAAUGAUAAUGGGCCGAGAUGGGCUUCGUGAUCCGAUGGAGGUCCAGGCCGCUUCCAAACACUUUGUUUUCUCCUCUUCUCUUCCUUGUGCUCAGCUUGUCUGGUUGAGUGCGGAUUUGAGUAGACUGUGAAGACGUGAUCGAGUGUCCGGUCGAGUGAUGGUGAUGGUGGUGAGUGAUGAUACUCGACCAGGGGGUCGAGUAACUUGGUAGAGUGAAUGGCCGAGUGUGGUCAGGUGGUGUGGCGAAGUGAUACUCGACCAGGGGGUUGAGUGGCAUCAUCGAGUGGCCUGAGCUGAGGAUACUCGACCAGGGGGUCGAGUAGAUGGGAAGAAUGGCUCCAAAGUUACUCGACUUGGGGUCGAGUAUGGUGCUGGAUGCACAGGACCUGGUGGUCGAGUAUGUCUUCUAGGUCUGGCUCGUUUCUUCCAAUUUGCUCGCAAACAGCUCCAAAUCACCUGAAAACAAAUCAGAAAUGCAAUAUGUAUGCAAAGCUAUCCUAAUCAUGCAAAGUAUGCAAGAAUGAUGAGAAAUGAUAUAAAACAGUGAUGAAUGAUACAAAACUGGACUCAAAACGAUGAUGAAUGGACACUGAAAACAUGCAAAUUAUAGACAUAUAACUCCCCUAAACUUAGUCUUUGCUUCCCCUCAAGCAAACAAUUAAGAACAAGCUGGUGGUGAGGUUUGAAAGCGGGGACUUAUAGCCAAAGCACCUGAUAAACCAUAUGAAAUCAAUGUCCAAAUUGAUAGUUCUAAGCUGCAAUAUGAUCGAAUUCUACUCAAAAACGUUAGCCAUGCCUUGUUAUUAAUCAAUCUGACUCAUAUGCUCGACCUACACAUGCUUUCAAAUCUACCAAUCCCUUUAACAUUCAUUAGUUCUGGAACGUGAAUCAAGCAAUGCAUCAUCAAUGAACUCAUUUGGCUAAGGUAAAAGGUCAAGAGACAAAGAUUGUCCCUUACAGAAUAGGCUUCAGUAACAGGGGAUCUCUCAAAAAAUGAUUAAGCUUUAGUAGAUUGCUAAAGGUAAGUCCCAAGCUAUGCAUAUAGAGAUAAGAUCCCAUCUACCCAGAGUAUAUCAAAUGAAGCUCUAAUGGUAAUCCCAUCUCCAAUCCCAAUAUAAAAACCUAACUCUACCCUUUGCAUUCAUGAAUCCUUUAUGCCCUUUUUCUAAUCAUUCUUUUCUUUUCUCUUAACUCUAGGAGAAGAUUUCUCAACACUUUGAUACAUCUAGCGGAUUUGGAUCUCUUUAACAACUAAGGUUCCUGUUUUUAGCAUUUUAAAACCGAGGGCUUUUGCCCAUCUUCAAUAGCUAACAAGAACUCUUUCUUUUCUUUACAAAUCCCAAAACCUUUACUAGAUUUUUUCUGCUUCUUUAGCUUACCUUACCUAGAGUCUUUUACCUUUUCUCAUCAGAAAAUCCAAGUAUUUUAGGGUAUCCAUGAGUUCAAAUUUGAUGCAAACAUGACAAUUAAAGAUCAGAUUCAGGUUCAUAUUGAUAGGGAAUGGUAUCAGAUCAUGACAGUGUGGUCGACUAGAGCAAUCUAGGCAUGGUUCAGUUUUAUUUCUAAUUCAUUGACUACGCAACAGACAACUAGCAAAGAGGGCACUAAGUUUAUCCGGUGAACCAAAAUGCUUACAAGGCUAUCUCAUCAUUAUCCCCUAUGCAUAUGCAAAAAUCCUAAAUGAAACACUCUAGACUCGAUCCUAAAUGUAAUGCAACUACAUAAACAUUCUUUUUUUUGUGAAAUCAUUUCUGAAAUUUUUCAAAAUUUUUUUGGUUUUUCUAUGCCUUAGAUGUAUGCGGACUAAAAAAUAUACACAAUGCAAUACACACUUCCUGAGCCCUCCCCAAAACUUAAAUCACACAGUCCACUGUGUGGAUAAACUUGGAAGAGAGUACCCAGGACAAAUCCAUUCACAGAAACAAAAUAAAGAACAAAUCACAAGAGAUGAUAUAAUACAAUGGUGAAGUGAGGCGCUUACCUCAGUCGAAGAAUGAACGAAGUCGGUCGUCAAUGGCUGCUUGUGAUUGCUCCCUGGCCAUAGACGAACCGCCCUGUUCCGUAUCAGCUCCAGUAGGUGGGUACUCGACCUCCUCAGCUCUGUGGCGGCCAUCACCGCUCUGAGGAUACUCGACCUCUCUUCUUCAUGUAAACUACGAGAAUGCAGAAGUCGUCUACCCUUGUUGUUAGAUUGAGUGAGUGUGGUCCUCCUCUUCCUCCCAGAUUCAUGAGGCUCGAAUGAUGAAUGCCUCGCAGGGACAUGCAGAAUCUCCUGCUCUCUAGGCUCAGGUUUGCGCCGAAUUGGCUCGGGCGCGUCAUAUCUCCUCGAAGGCAUGUCCUGAGGGAGCUGUCCCUGUGGAAUAGCUGUAGUGGAAGUGGAGCAGCUGAUCUUAUCCUUCAGAAACUUGAUAGCCCUGAGGCACUUGGCGAGAAACUUAUCCUGUUUCUUGCACCACUUCUGCAGCUUGAUGUUAUUCCUGUGAGCUUCGCUCAAACUCUUGCUUUCCCUCGCUGGAAGUAUAUGCUCACUGAAAUGAUACAUGCUCGUGUCAAACUCCGCCUAAUCUAUGUCAUCUGUCUCAUCAACAUCUUCUGUUAUAGCUCCUUCGGUGUGACUAAUCUCCUCAGUUGGCAGACUGCCCUCGAAAUAAAGAUCUUCAAGCGCAGGCUUGAAGUCAAUGUUCCUGCCCUCAAGAAUCCUAGUAGCAUCAAUGUAGGGGAGAAGAAUGUUGGCGAUUCUAAUCGAUGAAUGCUCGAACCUGUAGCGGUGAAAGUCGCUAGCCAUGUCAAACUCCAAGAACUCACAUCGGCGCAAGUGAUCCAAGUCCAUCAUUCUCGGUGCUAACCCUGGUUCCUUAAGCGGUACUCCACAAGCUUCCAGAAUUGGCGUCACAACGCCAUCCAUGCAUAGUGCUCCUGUCACCUUAUUCUUGUCGUUCGUCAACGCCCACUUCCUAUAUCCACACAGGUGGAUCAACAGAGGCAUGACUAGUGGUGCGUUGUUGAGAUCGCCUCUCAAGACAUUCUUUCCCUUUGUACAGCAGAGAAUCCCUGUAAGCGCGGAAUCUAUCAUCUCCAUGUCCGUGUUAGACACGGUGCAUGUAGACUCCCUAGAGUAAAAAACGUUGGCAACCGAGCGGUGAAAGUAGCGGAUCACAGGACUCCGGAUUUGGUUGCUUUUGGACCGCGCCAAGUUUAGCGGUAAAUUAUUCCCAAUAGUAGCCCACAAAUCCUUAAGCUCUUCCCUGUCAAACCUGGUUUUGGUUCCCUUUCCACUAGGGAAACAAAACAGUUCUUCCAACUUCUUGAUCGAAAGCUGAUACCACUGUUCAUCCAUUGAGAACGUCAAGAACCCUAACCCUAAACCCUAAACCCUAAACCCUAAACCCUAAACCCUAAACCCUAAACCCUAAACCCUAAACCCUAAACCCUAAACCCUAAACCCUAAACCCUAAACCCUAAACCCUAAACCCUAAACCCUAAACCCUAAACCCUAAACCCUAAACCCUAAACCCUAAACCCUAAACCCUAAACCCUAAACCCUAAACCCUAAACCCUAAACCCUAAACCUUAAACCCUAAACCCUAAACCCUAAACCCUAAACCCUAAACCCUAAACCCUAAACCCUAAACCCUAAACCCUAAACCCUAAACUCAAUGUAUGUGAGUCCCUCAUACAUCUCCACUUGCAGUGUGGAAAGAAACUCGAUUGUCUCCUCCUUAUAGGAAGCGUAAGAGUAAGACAUGAGUGUUUCCAGAUGCCACUUCUCGAACAGAUGCUGCACGUCCUCCAGUAACCCCAGCUGGGCUAAAGUCUCAUAGUAGGGAUACCUCGUUCCCCAUAAAUCAUUCAUCUCAAAGAAUCUGAUAUACUCCUCCACUGUAACCUAUUCGGGUUUGUUCAGUAGCUUCGUCUUCUUGCACCAUGACUUUGGCUCAUACUCAGUUUUGAUGUCCUCAUCAAUCAGCUCAUAUCUACUGGGCAUCGCUCUCUUCCCUCUGGUGAUUUCUGCUCUUCUCUGAUUACGUCGAGCAGAGGAGCGUUGAAAUUCAUCCCUGAAGCUCUCGUAAACAUGUUCCUCUCUCUCCGGUCUAGAGGACCAGGACUCAGCUUCAUCCACAUUAUAAUCAGGAUCCAUAGAGGAUUCUCGACUGUAGUUACUCAUGAUCAAACCUGUAAACAAUUGAAACUCAAAGAUAAACGUUAAUAAGUUAGUCUCAACAAAACCAAAAACACAAACCAACACAGUAAACCGGUCGAGUGAUGUAAUCGAGUAAACCUUCGUUUAAUUUUUUUUUUUUUUUCUUUUCUUUCGGUUGAUCAAGUGAUUUCGUACGACCGAGUGAAGUUCGUUUCGUGGUAAGAGUGAUGCGUAGGUCGAGUGGUGAGCUUGAAGAGGAGGAGAUAUGGUGAUGCGGUUUGAAAGAGGUUAAGUGAAAAUGGAGGAGCGGUGAUUCGAGUGAUUGUGGUGGUUGAGAGGCGAGGUGAGCUGAAUGAUUCCUCGGUUGCGAAUGUGAGAAGAGAAGACGCGAUCGAGUGAAGAGGCGAUGAAGAAGUUUAUUAUGAGGGAUCGAGUGAAGUGGAGCUCACGGAAGAAGAGAAGAUGGUGGUGGCUUUGGUGAAGAGGUGAGUUGCCGCAAUCGAGUGGUUGUGAGCUUGGAGGUCGAGUGAUUAAAACGAACACUUGAAGACUUGAAUUGCAAUGAGCGACGAUGGGAGAUGAGAGAGUUGCGAAAAGUUUGGUGUGUGGAGAAAGAUGUUGAGGUCGAGUAUAUGAAGAGGAUGGUGAGGAGGUCGAGUGGAUGAGAGUAUGAGAGUUGGGUUGUUGGUUGUAAUGAAUGAGGAGGGAUGGGGUCGAGUUAAUAGGUGUGGAGGAGAUAACGAGGUCGAGUAAGUGAUAGGUGUGGGAUGGGGAUGGCGUCGAGGUUGAGUGGAGAUAGGAUAAGGUGAGGGGGUCGAGUGGUUGUGAGAAGAAAGAGUUGGAUUUCUUGUCUGUUGGUUAGGAGCGUGGGAGACAUAGGGUGCAGCAGUGGGUCCCUCGUCUGUCUCCUUAUUCUAAAUUAUUAUUCUUUCUUCACUAGGAAAGUCUCAGGAAAUCCAACAAUCUUCUGUAAACUUAAUAAACUUCCUGUAAGAACUUGUAGCUUCUGUUGGUCGAGUGAAAUGAUGAUUUAAAAGUUUUAGAUUUUAAACACUCAACCAAUGUACUCGGUCCCUAGGCCGUCUGUAGAGUAAAAGUUUUGAAUUUUUACUCUAGCUUUACGUUAUUCCUCUGUUCCUGAGAACCACAAACACAACUAAAAUAAAUCAAAAAUAACAAGAAAGUAAAAAUUAUUUACAAGGAUAAUCAUGGGACUUCCUCCCAAGUGAGUUUGUUUAAAGUCUCUAGCUUGACUCCUCACACUUAUCAAGAAGAAAAUGAAUGAUAGAGAGGGUCUGCAUAGUCCUCUCUAAUAUCAUCAUCAUACUCAGCGUCCUCCCUGGAGAGGUCUACAGCAGAAUACUCAAUUCCCCUCUCUUCAAAAUAUGCUUCUUUCUCUUUUGGAGGGUUAUCUAUCUCUUCAGACCAUCUUGAAGUGAACUUCUUUAUAGGGAUAGUGUCAAUCCCGCCUUUAGGUUGAGCUUCCUUCUGCAACUGAUUCUGCUUACUUCUAAGUUCCUCAACAGUGUGGGCUUGCUUCUCUAUAGUUUCAUCUUGCUUCUCAGACCUCUUUUUAAGUUCCUUUACUCUUUUAGUCUCAUAUCCUUCUCCUGAGAUCGCUCUAUCAUUUCCAAAGGUUUUUCCAUCUUCUGUUGACCCUUGUGGAGUUUUGUUGAUGUCAAACUGCAACUUGAUGUGCUUUCCAAGGUUGAGACUUAUUUUCCCUUCCCUGACAUCUAUCACUGCUCCCACUGAAGCUAAGAAGGAUCUUCCCAGGAUUAAGGACCCUUAUGCUCUACUUCCAUAUCCAGCACCACGAAGUCUGUAGGCACUUCUACUCCAUUAAUCAUGACUGGUAGAUCUUUCAGCAUGUCGUAGGGUUUUCUUAAAGACCUAUCCGCAAGGAUCAAAGUCAGGUCACAAGGUUUAUACUGAAUAAACUCUAACCUUCUUGCCACAGAGAGUGGCAUUAAGCUGACAGAGGCUCCGAGAUCGCACAGACAAUCGCUGAAAGCUAAUUACCCAAUGGAACAUGGUAGAGUGAAAGAUCCAGGAUCUUCUAACUUUUCUUGAACAAUCCUCUUAUCAACAGCUCGAGAUGGAGUGGCAUCACUUUCAUCAUCUGAAUUGUGAUACAUCUUGAUCUUUUCCAGUAUCAAAUUUCUCACAUCUUUGUGAGGAUCGGGAAUCAGGUUGAGAAUUUCCAUCAGUGGCAUCACUUCUUCAAUCUUGUCUACCUGCUUCGCUGCAACAGACUUGUAUCUCUCCAUCCACGCUUUCUUGAAUGUCCACGGAAAAGCACGUGAGGGUAAUGAAGUAUGUUUGAAUCGUUUUACCAUUCUCUCGAUUAUGGCGGACUUCUCUUCUGAGGUGGAUUGAAUGAGAUGGCGAGAACAAGAAGAAUGGUUGAAUUCAAGAACAGAGACUUCAAUCUGAGUGGAAGCCUUCCUUUCUUGAACAUCACUGUCCCUAGUGAUUAAGUCAGGGACAUGUCGAGUUGGCAGCUCUCGAUCAUGGCAGUUAGUGAUGGCGUGAGCAGUUGCAUACUCCUUUGAAUUCUGUAUUGACUUCCUUGGAAGUCCUGUGACUUUAGGUGCAGAGGUAGAUGCUGAUUGUCCUUCUAAAUAUCUGACUUUGGUAUUCAAUGCCUCCACUUUGGCAUUCAGGUCAUUGUAGUUGUAGUCCAGCUUAUGGUGCAAUUCAAAUAAUUUCUUAGCAAUUUCCAUGGAGCUAGAUGCUUGUCCCUGUAGCAGCUGUUGUACCAUCUGUUUCAUUUCAGCAUCAGGAGCAGCAGGAUCUUGGUUUUGCUGAGGUGCAAACCCAGGUGGUGGUUGCGGCUGGUAGUUCCCCUGAAAUUGCUGCUUAGGAACAAAACCUUGAUUGUAAGGAACAAAAGGUUUGUUCUGAUCUUGUUGUUGCUGUGGAGGAUACACUUGAUCUUGAGGAUUAACAACGUUGGUGCUGCGGUAGGAGAGGUUGGGGUUGUUGGUUUUGAAGUUGUUAUACCCUUUGUAGCCGCUCUGGUUGUUGUUGAUGUAGCUGACUUCUUCCAACUGGUUACCCUCCCCACCUUGGACUUGAUACUUCUCGUCAUCAACAAGGAAGUGCACAUGCUUCUGCUGGCUAAGAAGAAUCAUGUCCAGCUUGUCAUUCAGUGCUUUGAUCUCCUUCCUUUGUUUGUCAUCAGAUUCAGUUGUGCCUCUGACGGUCCUAUCACAGUCCUCGUUGUAAUUACCAUCUGAUUGAGCAAGGUUCUCAACAAUUUCCCAGCCUUCUUCAACAUCUUUGUUCUGGAAGUUCCCAUUGCUGGCGGUUUCCAGAAGGAUUCUCAUGCGUGGCAAAACGCCUCUAUAAAGAGUGCUGAGCAGAGAGGCUUUAGUGAAGCCAUGAUGAGGGCAUUGGGUUGUAUAACCCUUAAAACGCUCCCAUUCUUCACAGAAGCUUUCACCAGCCUUCUGUAAAAAGCCAGAGAUCUCAUUUCUGAGUCUUGCAGUUCUGGCGUUGGAGACGAACUUUGAUAGAAAAGCCUUCUUGCAAUCAUCCCAGGUGGUGAUUGAGUCAUGGGACAGAUUCUACUCCCAAAUGUGAGCUUUGUCGCCCAAGGAGAAUGGAAACAAACGGAGCUUGAAUCCGUCUUCACUGACACCAUUGAUUUUUGUUAGGUUGCAGAGCCUAUCGAAUUCAUUAAGGUGGUCGAGUGGAUCCUCAAUUGGCAGACCAUGGAAUUUGUUCCCCUGAAUCAUCGAGAUGAGACCGCUCUUAAUCUCGAAGUUGUUGUUCUAGAUAGCAGGAGGUGCAAUUCCUUUCCGCUAACGGUGAUCACGUGGUGCGUUUCCAGCACCAAUGUUGGCAGGGCCUUUUUGAUGAUUCUGUUCGUCAGCCAUUUCGAGUGGUUGUUGUGGUAUUAGGUUGACUGUGUUUCUCUUUUCUCUGAGUUCGCGAGCUAUGCGGUCGAUGUUGUCGUUGAAAAGGAGGUUCGGAUUGCCUGUUGAUCGAGUUUGCAUACAGCAGAGGUGUACCUAGAACAAGAAGACAACAAGAAAAAUACACAGUUAGCAACCGAAUUGAAAAUUGAAAAAGAACUUGAUCUAAGCAAGUCUGAAAUCUCAAAUGUAACAAAAAAACACCCAAUUGGCAACGGCGUCAAAUUGAUAAUAGAUUUUUUAGUCAGUUAUCUUAAAACACGAAUCAUGUCGUUGUAGUAUUUUAGUGGCUUGCUAGAACACUGCUAGAACACCAAUCAUACAGCAGAGGUGUACCUAGAACAAGAAGACAACAAGAAAAACACACAGUUAGCAACCAAAUUGAAAAUUGAAAAAGAACUUGAUCUAAGCAAGUCUGAAAUCUCAAAUGUAACAAACAAACACCCAAUUGGCAACAGGGACAAAUUGAUAAUAGGUUUUUUAGUCAAUUAUCUUAAAACACCAAUCAUGUCGUUGUAAUAUUUUAGGUUGUCAAUCCAAAUGAGUUUGAUGCUAACAAUAAGGAUGACUUGAUGGCAUGUGUAUGAUUGGUGUUCUAGCAGUGUUCUAGCAAGCCACUAAGUCACUAAGUCACUAAGUCAAGCCAAGUAAUAACAGGUUUUGGUGUGUUCUAGCAGUCCUAAGUGAACAUGCAGAAAACAGAAAAUCAAGCAGAAACAAUAAAACACUUGACCAACACAGCUCGUUGCAGAGCACUGGGUGUGGUCGAGUGACAGUUCGAGUAACAGACAGAAAAUGUAACAGGGAUACUCGAUUGCACAGUCUGUUGCCGGACAACUGGGGGGUCAAGUAACAGGUCGAGUAACAGUAAAGAAUUGCAGAAACUAAGCAACAGAUGAAAAGAUGCAGUAAACAACAGUAGAGUAAACAAUAAAAUCAAUCAGAUAAAGAAUUCCCGAGGAUGGGGUAAUUGAGUAGUUUCGUUUCCUCAAUUUACAGGUGAUUGACAUGCUCAAUAAAUUAUCCCUAGACAACAAGUUCAUUAACCAAAUCUAAGUGCCACCGCAAUAGAGACCCUCAACUUAACCUAGUCCCAGACUCAAUCACCAUUGACGAGAGCUAACCUUAUAGGCAUUACGAAUCAACAAGUUAAAGCCAAAACACUCCCUGCAACCAAUACCUUGGUACUGAGCCACGAAUCUCUGGAAUUAGUGGUUCAGACAUUUCAUCGAACACCUUUUGGGCGCGGAAAUGUCUGGGCUCAAAUUCCAGUUGAUCAAAAAGCAAUAGGGAUUAAGAACAACUAAUCCAGAAGGGAUCUAUCAAUCAAUACUCAACCACCUAGCAUACUGAGAAUUCUACACUACUCUAACCCAUCCUCAGAAACCUAUUCACUACUCAGACAUCAUUGAAGAGAACAUAAACGUUGAACAGGAUGAAAACAUGAUAACAACAGUGUAAUAGCAAAACAAUAACAGGAUGAACAACAAUAAACAAAAUCAAGAACAAAUACUGAAUACUGAAUAGAUAAAGAGAAAUCCAGAUUACAAAAGGUCUAGAACACAAUGUCUGCGAAAUAAAACUAGAUAAAAACCUCUUCUCGAAAAUGUAAAGUACAUGCUACUUAUAGCAAAAUAUUCGAAAACCCUAAUACUCAAAACGAUGCAGUAUUGGGACAUAUUAAGAACUAUACUCAACCCAGAUGGUCGAGUGAGAGGUCGAGUGAUAUGCUAGAGUCUUCUUUUCUUCCUUGUGCUCGAGUGUCUAGUUGAGUGCGGAAUGAAGAAGACUCUAAAGCUUGCCAUAGAGUAUGUAGUCGAGUGGUGGUGGUGAAGACACUCAACCUGGGGGUUGAAUGAUGUGAUCGAGUGACUGGUCAGGUGGUGGAGGUGAAUACACUCGACCAGGUGGUCGAGUGAGGUGAUCGAGUAUCUCUCGUGGUGGUACUCGGCCAGAGGGUCGAGUGAUGAGAUGAAAUUGUGAACUCCCCUACUCGACCAGGGGGUCGAGUGGUCUGUUGAGGUCUUGAAGCUUCUACUCGACCUCGGGGUCGAGUGGUUUGACAUGAUCAGGUCCGCUUCUUCCAGUUAGCUCGUCAACAGCUCUAAAUCACCUGAAAUCAACACAAAUAUGCAACAUGCAUGCAAACCUAUCCUAAACAUGCAAAGUGAUGACAAAUGAUGAGAAUGGUAUAAAACACUGAUGAUAAGGUGCUAAAGUGAUGACAAAUGGUAUGCUCAAACUUGCAAAAUACACACUUAUCAACAUGAUAGCAACAAAGUAAUAGCAGGAUGAUAAUAGGAUGAACAACUUGGUAAACCAAAUCAAAAGCAAAUACUGAAUACUGAAUAGAUUAAGAGAAAUCCGGAUUACAAAAACGUCAAGAACACAGUGUCUGCGGAAAAUAAAACUUAGGUAAACGAAAAUGUAAAAUACAUGGUACUGAUAGCGAAAUAUUAUGAAACCCUAAUACUCAAAACGACACAAUAUUGGGACGGAUUAAGAACGGUACUCGACCCAGGUUGUCGAGUAAUUUGUCGAGUGAUAAGCUGGAGUCUUCUUCUCUUCCUUGUGCUUGAGUGUUGGUUGAGUACGGAAUGGAGAAGACUCUAAAGCUGGAAGUCGAGUAAGAAGUCGAGUGAUUGAGAUGGUGGUACUCGGCUUGGUGUUAAAGUGAUCGUAGAGUGUGUGAUGAUGGUGGGACUCGGUCGUGUAAUCGAGUGAGUGAUCGAGUGAUUGUGAUGGGGAUGCUCGACCAGGGGGUCGAGUGGUGUGAUCGAGUGAUUGUCAGGUGGUGUGUUGAAGUCGUUAAGCCAUGUACUCGACUAGGUAGGUCGAGUGGUUUGAUAUGAUCAGGUCCGCUUCUUCCAAUUAACUCGCCAAUAGCUCCAAAUAUCCUGAAAGCAACACAAAUAUGCAACAUGCAUGCAAAACUAUCCUAAACAUGCAAAGUGAUGACAAAUGAUGAGAAAUAAUAUAAAAAAAUGGUAAUAUGAUGCAAUAGUGAUAACAAAUGGAUGCUCAAAACAUGUAAAAUGCACACUUAUCAAGUAGAAGAGCUAGAACCGCAACCGGAUUUUGAAAACCCAAGUAGUGUUUCCUUGUUAGAAGAUACAAAGCCCAAGACUCAUACGGACUUCGGUUACACCAUUAAAGCUUUGAGAAGCAAGAAGAAGUUUGGUUUGUGUUUUUCAGUCAAAUAUGACCAGAUGUCAUUUGUAUGAUUGAGUAUAAGAACUCAAACCACAGCCGGAUCUUGAAAGCCCAAAUAGUGUUUCCUUGAUAGAAGAUACAAAGCCAAAUUCUCAUACGAACGUCGGCUACACCAUCAAUGCUUUGAGAAGCAAGAAGAAGCUUGGUUAGUGUUUUGGAGUCAAAUAUGACUUUAUGUCAUGUGUAUGUUUAAGUAUUAGAACUUAAACUACAAACGGAUCCCAAAAGCAAAAUUAGUUUUUCCAUGCUAGAAGAUACAAAGCAAAAUAUUCAUACUGACUUCGACAUCACCAUUAAAGCCUUAGGGAGCAUGAAGAAGCUUGGUUGGUGUUUUGAAGUCAAAUAUGACUUGAUGGCAUGUGUAUGAUUGAGUAUAGGAACUCAACCACAACCGGAUCUUGAAAGCCCAAGUAGUGUUUCCUUUUUAGAAGGUACAAAGACAAAGACUCAUACGGACUUUGGGUACACCAUCAAAACUUUGAGAAGCAAGAAGAAGCUUGGUUAAUGUUUUGGAAUCAAAUAUGACUUGAUGUCAUGUGUAUGAUGGAGUAUAAGGACGAGAAUUGCAACCGGAUCUUAAAAGCCUAAGUAGUGUUUCCUUGUUAGAAGAUACAAAGCCAAUGAAUCAUACGGACUUUCGCUACACCAUCAAAGCUUUGUGAAGCAAGAAGAAGCUUAGUUAGUAUUUUAGAGUCAAAUAUGACUUGAUGUCAUGUGUAUGAUUGAGUAUACGAACUAGAACCUUAACUGGAUCUUAAAACCCAAAGUAGUGUUUCCUUGUUAGAAGAUACAAAGCAAAAGACGCAUGUGGACUUUGGUAACACUAUUAAAGCAUUGAGAAUCAAGAAGAAGCUUGGUUAGUAUUUUGGUGUCAAAUAUGACUAGAUUUCAUGUGUAUGAUUUGAGUAUAAGAACUAGAACUGCAACCCGAUCUUUAAAGCCUAAGUAGUGUUUCCUUGUUAGAAGAUACAAAGCCAAAGACUCAUACGGACUUCAGCUACACCAACAAAGUUUCGAGAAGCAAGAAGAAGCUUGGUUAGUGUUUUGGAGUCAAAUAUGACUUGAUGUCAUGUGUAUGAUUGGGUAUAAGAAUUAUAACCGCAACCGGAUCUUAAAACCUAAGUAGUAUUUAUUUUUUAGAAGAUACAAAGCCAAACAUUCAUACGGGCUUUGGUUACACCAUUAAAGCUUUGAGAAGCAAGAAGAAGCUUGAUUAUUGUUUUAGAGUCAAAUAUGCCUAGAUGGCAUGUGUAUGAUUGAGUACAAGAACUCGAACCACAACUGGAUCUUGAAAGCCAAAGUAGUGUUUCCUUGUUAGAAGAUGCAACGCCAAUUACUCAUACGGACUUCGGCUACACCGUCAAAGCUUUGAGAAGCAAGAAGAAUCUUGGUUUGUGUUUUGGAGUUAAAUAUAAAGUGAUGUGAUGUCUAUGGUUGAAUAUUAGAACUUGAACCGCAAACGGAUCCAAAAAGGAAAAGUAGUGUUUCCAUGCCAGAAAAUACAAAGCCAAAGACUCAUACGGACUUCGACAUCACCAUCAAAGCCUUAGGAAGCCAGAAGAGGCUUGGUUAGUUUUUUGGAGUCAAAUAUGACUAUGAUUGAGUAUAAGAAUUCAAACUGCAACCGGAUCUUGAAUGCCGAAGUAGUGUUUCUUUUUUAGAAGAUACAAAGCCAAAUACUCAUACGGACUUUGGCUACACCAUCGAGAAGCAAGAAGAAGCUUGGUUAGUGUUUUGGAGUCAAAUAUGAAUUGAUGUCCUGUGUAUGAUUAAGUAUAAGACCUAGAUUGGCAACCAGAUCUUGAAAGCCUAAAUAGUGUUUCCUUGUUAGAACAUACAAAGCCAAUGAUUCAUACGGACUUCAUCUACACUAUCAAAGCUUUGGGAAGUAAGAAGAGGCUUAGUUAGUGUUUUAGAGUCAAAUAUGACUUGAUGUAAUGUAUAUGAUUGAGUAUAAGAACUAGAACCACUACCAGAUCUUAAAAGCCUAAGUAGUGUUUCCUUGUUAGAAGAUACAAACCAAAGACUCAUACAGAUUUUGAUUACACCAUUAAAACUUUAAGAAGCAAGAAGAAUCUUGGUUAGUGUUUUGGAGUCAAAUAUGUCCAGACGACAUGUGUAUGAUUUAGUAUAAGAACUCGAACUACAACCUAAUCUUGAAAGCCCAAAUAGUGUUUCCUUGUUAGAACAUACAAAGCCAAUGACUCAUACGAAUUUCAGCUACACUAUCAAAGCUUUGAGAAGCAAGAAGAGGCUUAGUUAGUGUUUUAGAGUCAAAUAUGACUUGAUGUCAUGUGUAUGGUUAAGUAUUUGGACUAGAAAUGGAAACUGAUAUGUCUAUAAUUUGCAUGUUUUCAGUGUCCAUUCAUCAUCGUUUUGAGUCCAGUUUCGUAUCAUUCAUCACUGUUUUAUAUCAUUUCUUAUCAUUCUUGCAUACUUUGCAUGAUUAGGAUAGCUUUGCAUACAUAUUGCAUUUAUGAGUUGUUUUAGGUGAUUUGGAGCUGUUUGCGAGCAAAUUGGAAGAAACGAGCCGGAACCAGAAGACAUACUCGACCCCCAGGUCGAGUGACUUCGGAGCCAUUCUUCCCACCUACUCGACCACUUGACAACACUCGACCGUUCACUCUACCACAUCACUCGACCCCAUGGUCGAGUAUCACUUCGCCACACCACCUUACAACACUCGACCGUUCACUCUACCACAUCACUCGACCCCAUGGUCGAGUAUCACUUCGCCACACCAUCACCAUCACUCGACCGGACACUCGAUCACGUCUUCACAGUCUACUCAAAUCCGCACUCAACCAGACAAGCUGAGCACAAGGAAGAGAAGAGGAGAAGACAAAGUGUUUGGAAGCGGCCUGGACCUCCAUCGGAUCACGAAGCCCGUCUCGGCCCAUUAUCUUUCUAUGGGCCGGGUAAUUAGGUUAUUGGCCCGUUUACCAUCAUUUUAUUUUGUUUUGUAUAAAUAGAUGUCUUAGGGUUCUGUCCUGAGACAUCCAGUCGACAUUGAGUUUUUGCUUCAGUUUUAUUUUCUGUUUUACUCUGCUGCGCCGCUUUUGCUUCUGCAACCUGUAAUUCGAGAUUUUUCCAAGUUAUUCAGAUUCCGCAUUUGAUUUCAUCUGUCAUCUUGUUUCUAUACUCUUUAUCUCUUUACUUAUGCAAUAUUAUCGUUUACCUGCGUUUAUGUCUUUAAGCAUUUUGUCUGAGUAGUGACUUAGAAUUCUUAGGGAUGGGAUAGAGUAGUUGUGGAAUCCGUAGUCUGUAGAAUGGUUAAGUUUUAGAAUUGAUUGAAUCCCUUCAGGACUAGUUGCGUUUACUGCUUAUUUCUUUAUGAUCAACUGGAAUUCAACCCAAGCAUUCCCGCACCCAGAAGGUGUUCGAUGGAAUGUUCGAUCGACUAGUUCCUGAGAUAUUCGUCUCUAUCCCAAGGGAUUGGCCGAUUAGAGCGUUUAUUGACUUUAUAAGUCUGUUCUUAUUGCCUGCAUAGUUAGAUUCCGUUAAUGGGAAUUAGUCUGGGCUAGCUUUGCUUGAGGAUUUCUAUCACGGGAGUGAAUUAAUCUGUUGUUGAACCUGUUGUCUAGGGAUAGCUUGAUUGCGCUUGUUAACCAUUCGAAUAGGCUAGGAUACCACUCUACUCGAUUACCCUAUCCUUAGGAAUUUCUCGUCUAUCUUAUUUCUCUGUUUUAUUGUUAUCGCUUAAUCGUUGUCAUUGCCUGUUUCUUAGUUUUUGCAAUUACUCGACCAACUUACUCGACCACACCCAGUGUCUGGCAACAGACUGUGCAGUCGAGUGCAGUUGUUUCAUUUCCUGUCUGUUACUCGACCAGUAUACUCGACCACACCCAGUGUCUAGCAACAGACUGUGCAGUCGAGUAUAUCUGUUUCAUAUCCUGCCUGUUACUCGACCACAUCCUACUCCUGGCAUUAGCCUGUUGUGGUCGAGUGAUUUUAGUAAUUCUGUUAUUCUUUCUGUUUUCUGCAUGUUCACUUAGGACUGUUAGAAACCCCAAAACUGUUAUUGCUUGGCUUGACUUAGUGACUUCUGAUCACAUCUCAUUUGUCUGCAUCACACCCAUUUGGAUUGACACCUAAAAUACUACAAUGACAUGAUAGGUGUUUUAGGAUAAUUGACCAUAAAAACCUAUUAUCAAUUUGGCGCUGUUAUCUUUUUCAUUUUUUCUGAAAGUUACUAACUUUGUGUUUUUUCUGUUUGUCUGUUUUGAUUUAGGUACUACGAUACCAGCUUUACAAGUUGGUACUCGUUGUAUGCAAAUACGGUCACGAGGAAAUCAGAAUCUCCUGUUCAACGAUAACAUCGACCGUAUUGCACGCCAACUCAGAACACAGACAGAAACAGAGACAAUGGCUGCAGUUGUUGAUGAGCAGGUGCAACCAAACAACAUAGGUGCAGGCGAUGCACCACGCAACCAGAAUCAGCGUAAUGGCAUCGUGCCUCCACCUGUGCAGAACAACAACUUUGAGAUCAAGAGCGGUCUCAUUGCCAUGGUUCAGAGCAACAAGUUCCACGGCCUCCCUAUGGAGGAUCCACUCGAUCACCUGGACGAGUUUGAUAGGCUCUACAGCCUAACAAAGAUCAAUGGAGUUAGUGAGGAUGGUUUCAAGCUCAGAUUGUUUCCAUUCUCUCUUGGAGACAAAGCACAUCAGUGGGAAAAGUCACUUCCUCAAGGCUCUAUCACCUCCUGGAAUGACUGCAAGAAAGCCUUCUUGGCUAAGUUUUUCUCAAACUCCAGGACUGCGAGACUAAGGAAUGAUAUCUCCAGUUUCACUCAAACGAAUAAUGAGACUUUCUGUGAAGCAUGGGAGCGCUUCAAAGGUUAUCAGACGCAAUGUCCUCAUCAUGGUUUCUCCAAAGCUUCACUUCUCAGCACUCUCUAUAGAGGUGUCCUUCCCAAGAUCAGAAUGCUUCUUGAUACCGCUUCCAACGGGAACUUCCUCAACAAAGACGUUGAAGAAGGAUGAGAGCUGGUAGAGAACUUAGCUCAGUCGGAUGGCAACUAUAAUGAAGAUUAUGACAGAAGCAUCCGCACCAGCUCUGAUUCUGAUGAGAAGCACCGCAGGGAAAUGAAAGCCAUGAAUGACAAACUGGACAAGCUACUCCUUGUGCAACAAAAGCACAUUCAUUUUCUGGGUGAUGAUGAGACAGUCCAAGUGCAGAACCAAGGAGGUCAGCUAUGUGCAGAACCAAGGAGGUUACAACAAAGGUUUCAACAACUUCAAGCAGAGCCAUCCAAAUCUGUCUUACAGGAGUACAAAUGUUGCAAACCCGCAUGACCAAGUCUACCCUUCACAGCAGCAAAAUCAACCCAAGCCCUUUGUUCAUACAACCAAGGUCAGGGGUAUGUUCCUAAGCCGCAGUAUCAGGGCAACUAUCAGCAGCAACUUCCACCACCUAGGUUCACACACCAGCAACAACAACUAGCUUCAACAACUCCAGAUUCAGACUUGAAGAACAUGUUACAGCAGAUUCUCUAGGGACAAGCUGCAGGUGCAAUGGAUCUUGCCAAAAAGAUGGCAAAAAUCCACAACAAGGUUGAUUGUACUUUCAAUGAUCUGAAUAUCAAACUUGAGGCACUUACCUCUAAGGUCAGAUACAUGGAAGGACAAACAGCGUCAACUUCUGCUCCAAAAGUAACAGGACUUCCAGGAAAGUCAAUACAGAACCCGAAGGAAUACGCCACCGCUCACGCUAUCACCAUCUGUCAUGAUCGAGAGCUGCCUACUCGACAUGUUUCCACAUCAAUCACCGAGGACAGUGAUGUUCAGGACGGGGAGGCUUCUACUCAGAUUGAAAUUUCAGUGGUUGGACUCGACCAUUCAGCUGGAUCCCGUUUUCAAACCGAGUCCAACCUAGACGAGAAAGCAGCCAUCAUUGAGAGGAUGGUAAAACGAUUCAAGCCAGCACCAUUACCUUCACGUGCUCUUCCAUAGAAAAUUCAGGAAAGCAUGUAUAGAAAGAUACAAUUCUCUUGCAGAGAAGCAGCUUGAUGAGAUGGAAACGGCUUGAUGAGAUGGAAGCGGUGAUGCCUCUAAUAGAAGUUCUCAACCUAAUCCCGGAUCCUCACAAAGAUGUGAGAAAGUCAAUUCUGGAAAGGAUCAAGAUUCAUCAAGAUUCAGAAGACGAAUGUGAUGCUAUUCCGUUUAGGACCACUGCUAAGAGGAGUGUUCAAGAAAAACAGGAAGAUCCAGGAACUUUCACUCUACCAUGUUUCAUUGGUCAAUUGGUUUUCAGCCAUUGUCUUUGUGAUUUGGGAGCUUCAGUAAGCUUAAUGCCACUCUCCGUGGCAAGGAAGCUGGAAUUCACUCAGUACAGGCCUUGCGACCUGACUUUGAUCCUUGCUGAUAGGUCUUCAAGAAAACCCUUUGACCUUCUACAAGAUCUGCCAGUAAUGAUUAAUGGAGUGGAAGUGCCUACGGAUUUCGUUGUUCUUGAUAUGGAAGCAGAACCUAAGGAUCCUCUAAUCCUAGGAAGACCUUUCUUAGCCUCAGUGGAAGCGAUGAUAGAUGUCAGAGAUGGGAGAAUAAGUCUUAACCUUGGGAAGCACAUCAAGAUGCAGUUUGACAUCAACGAAACUUCGCAAAGGUCAGCUGUAGAAGAAAAGAUCAGGGCUCAACCUCAACGUUCGAAUUCAAUCACCAGACCAAGCACAGCCUCUACACCUAACUUGCGAGAUCUCAAAAAGAAAUCUGAUGAGCAAGAAGAGACCAUAGAGAAGCUAGCUCAGACAGUUGAGGAACUUAAGAGUAAACUGGAUCAUAUGCAAGAGAUAGCUCAAUCCAAAUGCGGGAAUAACACUAUCCCGAGAAAAAAGAUUACUUCAAGAUGGUCUAAGGAGAUAGAUUAUCCACCAGAAGAGAAAGAGGCCUAUUUCGAGGAAAGAAGAAUUGAGUAUUCUGCUACUCAUCUCUCAAGAGAGGAUGCUGAAUAUGAUGAUGAGAUCAGAGAGGACUAUGAAGAUCCUCUCUAUCACCCAUUUUCUUCUUAAUGAGUGUGAGGAGUCAAGCUAGAGACUUUAAACAAGCUCACUUGGGAGGAAUUCCCAAGACUGUUUCUGUAAAUAAAACUUUUAUUUUCUUGUUAUUUUUGAUUUGUUUUUGGUUGUGUUUGUGAUUCUCAGGAACAGAGAAACAGCGUGGAGGUAGAGUAAAAAUUUAAAAAUUUUACUCUACAGAGCAACAGGAGAACGAGUAUGUCAGAAAUUCAAGAGUUUGAAAAACUUUUGUUGCACUAAGAGGCCAUGAGGUCGAGUAAGUUUGGUCGAGUAUUAGUGAUGAUUUUAAAAAAACCCAAAAUUUUUAAAUCAUAUCUAUACUCGACCAACAGAAGCUACAGAGACUUGCAGGGAGUUUAACAAGUUUACAGAGGAUUACAGAAGGUUCUAGUCAACAGAGAACAGCGCUUCAGGACAAACAGACAGAGCGUGGCCAACCACCUCUCACCUUUGUUCCCCCACGCGUUUUUAGAGAUAACAAAAUCUCUUCCCUCUUUCCCAACCACUCGAUCUCACUCUAUCCCUAUCCUCUCCCACCGACAUCAUCUCUCUCCCUCUCCAAACACUCGACCAAGAAGAUUCACUCUACCUCACGUUUCUCACUCGACCAAACCUCACCAUCUCUCUUCCUCUCCAAGCACUUGACCGCACCAUCACACUCGACCUCACCGUUCACUCGAUCUCUCCCCUCCGGCUUCACCAUCUCUCGCUGCUUUGUCACCCUCUCACUCGACCAAACCUCACUCGUCAUCUCUCGCACCGCCUCCCAUUUACUCGAUUGCAACGCCCUCCUCUCCAUCCGCCGCUUUCUCGACCUCGUCGUCCCAGCUCUCACUGCUCACGCCUCCGCCCUCUCUCUCUCAUUCACUCGACGACGGGACAGGUUUCAUCUUCACUCAACCGCUACUCGACUUCUUUCACUCGACCGCAUCGCAAUUUGGACAAAGAGGCUCUUCAUUCGAUUUUCGAUAAACGGCCAGAGUUUCUCUCUCUCGUUCUCGCAAGCUAACUCGACUUCGCCGGAGCUUCUCGUCGUUCACUCGACCACUCCGCCCUUCACUCCGCCGGACUCUCACCGUCGCCUCCUUUUCACUCGAUCUCGCCGCUCCAACUUCAACAUUCCUCACUCGAUCUCGCCUCCCAUUCACUCGACCGCAAGAGCACCUCAGCCUCUACUUCGAUCUCUUUCUCUCAACUCUCCGUUCUCACCGUUCACUCGACCUCGCCAUUCACUUCGCCUCCGUUCAUCUCUUCACUCGACCGCUCCUCAAACCGCCACCGUCUUCUCUCCAUUCGACAUUUACUCGGCCACACAGUCACCGUUUCUCAUUCUCUUCCACUCGACCACAAAAUUUGAACACACAAUUUGACUAUACUCGACCGGUUACUCGACCGUGAACUUGAUUGGUUUAGUGUUUGUGUUUAUUUGGACUAACAUAUUGAUAUUUGGUUUUAAGUUACAUUAUUUUUCAGGAAAUCAAUAUGAGUAACUACAGUGGCGAAUCCUCCAUGGAUGCAGAUUACAACGUCGAUGAAGCUGAAUCUUGGUCAACUGGACCAGAGAGAGAGCGACAGGCUUAUGAGAGCUUUAGAGCUGAGACCCAACGCUCAGUAGCUCGACGCAAUGAGAAGAGAGCUGAGAUUGCUAGAGAAAGAGAGCAAUGACCAGCAGAUAUGAGUUGAUCGACGAAGAUAUUGACGUCGAGUAUGAGCCUGAGUCAUGGCACAGAGAAACGAAGCUGUUGAACAAGCCUGAUGAACGACUUCUGGGGAACGAGGUACCCCUGUUAUGAGACUUUAGCAUAGCUGGGGCUACUGGAGGACGUACAUCACUUAUUCGAGAAGUGCCAUCUGGAGACGCUGAUGUCUUACCCGUACGUCGCUUACAAGAAGGAAACAAUAGAGUUUCUCUUCACUCUGCAAGUGGAGAUGUAUCAGGGACUUACAGCAGAUGAGCUGGAGAGUGAAGGGUUGGGGUUCUUGACUUUUUCAGUGAACGAGCAGCGUUACCAGCUAUCUAUCAAGAGCUUGGAAGGAUUAUUUGGUUUUCCCAGUGGAAAGGGAACUAAACCCAAGUUCGAGAGGGAAGAGUUGAAGGAUUUGUGGUUAACCAUUGGGAACGAUUUGGCGCUCAACUUUGCAAGGUCUAAGAGCAACCAGAUUCGUAGCCCUGUGAUCCGCUACUAUCAGCGCUCAGUAGCGAAUGUUCUGUACCCCAGGGAAUCUACAGGCACCGUGUUUAACACAGACAUGGAGAUGAUUGAUUCUCCACUCAAGGGCAUUCUCCGGAGAACAAAGGGGAAGAAGGUCCUAAAGGGCGACCUUAAUGAUGCACCACCGGUUAUGCUUCUGUUGAUCCACCUAUGUGGAUACAGGAAGUGGGCGCACACCAACGGGAAGAAGAAGGUGCGAGGAGCCCUUUGUGUAGGUGGCGUUGUGACACCGAUUCUGAUUGCAUGUGGUGUACCUCUCACGUCUCCAAGGUUUGAUCCGAGGAUGAUGGAUUUAGAUCACUUGCGUUGUUGUGAGUUUCUGGAGUAUGAUAUGGUUGGCGAUUUCUAUCGCUACAAAUUCGAGCACUCCCUGAUCCGAACAGCCAACAUUUUGCUUCCCUGCAUCGAGGCCACGACCAUACUUCAGGGUAGGAACAUUGACUUCAAACCUGCACGUGAUUACCUCUACUUUGAGAGCGCUCCACCGACUGAUGAUAAUGUCCCUACGACGGAAGCUAUAGAGGAUGAUAUUGCUGAGACGGAUGAGGAUAGGGAGGAGGAGUACGAUACGAGCAUGUAUCAUUUCAGAGAGCACGUACCUCCAGCGCGGGAGAGCAAGAGCUUGAGUGAAGCUCACAGAAACAACAGUAAGUUGCAGAGGUGGUGCAAGAAACAAGAUAGGCUACUCAUCAAGUGCUUCAAAGCCAUCACGUUUCUGACAGACAAGCUUAGCUGCUUCUCUUCUACCACAGCUAUUCCGCAGGGAGAGCGUCCUCAGGACAUGCCUUCGAGGAGAUAUGACGCGCCAGGGCCAAGUCAUCACAGGCCUGAGCCAAGUCACCACAAGCCUGAGCCUAGUGACCGAGUAGUCCCACCAGUCCCUGCAAGGCAUUCAUCAUUCGAGCCUCGGGAGCUCGGGAGAAAGAAGAAGGCUGCACUCGCUCGGUCUGGCAGCAGGAGUACACGACUUCUCCAGUCCCGUAGCUUACGCGACCGCGGUGCUGGCCGCAGCAGAAGAAGAGAGGUCGAGUAUCAUCAGAGCGGUGCUGGCCGCGACGAAGGAGCAGAGGUCGAGUACCCCCAGGGGGAAGCUGAGACACAGCAGGGAGAUUCUUCGAUGGCCUGGGAGCAAUCACAGGCAGCUAUUGGCGACCAACUUCGCUCCUUCUUCCACUGAGGUAUGCACCUCACUCCACCAUUGUAAUAUACCAUCUCUUGUUUUUAUUUUGUUUUUGUGAUGUGUUUUGUCCUAAGUACUCUCUUCCAAAUUUGGUCACACAGUGGACUGUGUGAUUUAAGUUUGGGGGAGGGCUCAGAAAGUGUGUAUUGCAUUGUAUAUAAUCUUGAGUCUGCAUUCAUCUAAGGCAUAGAAAAGAACCAAAAAAAUUGAAAAAUUUCAGAAAAUGAUUUCACAAAAAUAGAGUGUUCAUGUAGUUGCAUUGCAUUUAGGAUCGAGUCUAGAGUGUUUCGUUUAGGAUUGUUGCAUAUGCAUAGGGGAUAAUGAUGAGAUAGCCUUGUAAGCAUUUUGGUUCACCAGAUAAGCUCAGUGCCCUCGUUGUUAGUUGUUUGAUGCGUUGUCAUUGAAAUUGAAGUAAAACUGCACCAUGCCUAGAUUGCUCUACUCGACCACACUGUUAGGAUCUGAUAUCAUUCCCUAUCAAUUUGAACUUGAAUCUGAUUUAGAAUUAUCAUGUCUUGGCAUCGAAUUUGAACUCAUGGAUACCCUAAAAUACUUGGAUUUUCUUACUCCUUUUAACCACUCUUGUUGAUCCAAAUAGCUGACUCUCCUUAUUAGAGCAGUUAACCCGAACCCAAACAUGAACUUUCUUUCAAGCCCUAUAUCACUUGUGAGUGUUUGUGAGGUCUUAUUUCGAUUGAGCUUGGUAAAAAGUGUUAGCUUCGUAACGACAGAGAUAGUGUCUCAUGUAGUUCUAGUUCGCGUUCUUCGGACUGGAUAGGACUAGGUGGGCGCUUAUAUCAUGGGUUGGGAUGUCUUUAAAAGAAAAGGGUGAAUUUAUUGUUGAUAAGGAAAGGGAAAGAAUUCUAGGGGAAGUAAGCUAAAGAAGUUAGAAAAAAAUCUAGUAAAGGUUUUGGGAAUGUUAAAGAAAAGAAUGAGGUUCUUGUUAGCUAAAGAAGAAGGGUUAAAAGCCUUUGGUUUUAAAGAUUUAAAACAGGAACCUUAGUUGUUAAAGAAAUCCAAAUCCGCUAGAUGUAUCAGAGUGUUGAGAAAGCUUCUCCUAGAGUUAAGAGAAAAUAAAAGAAUGAUAUGAAAAAGAGUUUGAAAGAUUCAUGAGUGCAAAUGGUAGAGUUAAGUUGGGACAGGAGUUGGGAUUACCAUUAGAACUUCAUUGCUAUACUCUGGGUAGAUGGGAUCUUAUCUCUGUAUGCAUAACUUGGGACUUACCUUUAGCAUUCUACUAAAGCUCAAUCAUUCUUGAGGGAUCCCCUGUUACUUAAGCCUAUUCUGUAAGGGACCAUCUUUGUCUCUUGACCUUCACCUUAGCCAAAUGAGUUCAUUGAUGAUGCAUUGCUUGAUUCACGUUCCAGAACUAAUGAAUGUUAAAGGGAUUGGUAGAUUUGAAAGCAUGUGUAGGUCGAGUAUAAGAGACGGAUUGAUUGAUAACAAGGCAUGGCUAACGUUUUUGAGUAAAAUUCAAUCAUAUCGCAUCUUAGAACUACCAAUUUGGACAUUGAUUUUAUUUGCUCUAACAUAUGCUUUGGUUCUGAGUCCCCGCCUUCAAACCUCUCCUUCAACUAUGUCUUCUUAUUUGCUUGAGGGCAAGCAAAGACUAAGUUUGGGGGAGUUGAUAUGUCUAUAAUUUGCAUGUUUUCAGUGUCCAUUCAUCAUCGUUUUGAGUCCAGUUUCGUAUCAUUCAUCACUAUUUUAUAUCAUUUCUCAUCAUUCUUGCAUACUUUGCAUGAUUAGGAUAACUUUGCAUACAUAUUGCAUUUCUGAGUUGUUUUCAGGUGAUUUGGAGCUGUUUGCGAGCAAAUUGGAAGAAACGAGCCAGAACCAGAAGACAUACUCGACCCCCAGGUCGAGUGACUUUGGAGUCAUUCUUCCCACCUACUCGACCACUUGGUCGAGUAUCCUCAGCUCAGGCUACUCAAUGACACUACUCGAUCCCCUGGUCGAGUAUCACUUCGCCACACCACCUGACAACACUCGACCGUUCACUCUACCACAUCACUCGACCCCAUGGUCGAGUAUCACUUCGCCACACCACCUGACAACACUCGACCGUUCACUCUACCACAUCACUCGACCCCAUGGUCGAGUAUCACUUCGCCACACCAUCACCAUCACUCGACCGGACACUCGAUCACGUCUUCACAGUCUACUCAAAUCCGCACUCAACCAGACAAGCUGAGCACAAGGAAGAGAAGAGGAGAAGACAAAGUGUUUAGAAGCGGCUUGGACCUCCAUCGGAUCACGAAGCCCAUCUCGGCCCAUUAUCUUUCUAUGGGCCGGGUAAUUAGGUUAUUGGCCUGUUUACCAUCAUUUUAUUUUGUUUUGUAUUAAUAGAUGUCUUAGGGUUCUGUCCUGAGACAUCCAGUCGACAUUGAGUUUUUGCUUCAGUUUUAUUUCUGUUUUACUUUGCUGCGCCGCUUUUGCUUCUACAACCUGUAAUUCGAGACUUUUCCAAGUUAUUCAGAUUCCGCUUUUGAUUUCAUCUGUCAUCUUGUUUCUAUACUCUUUAUCUCUUUACUUAUGCAAUAUUAUCGUUUACCUGCGUUUAUGUCUUUAAGCAUGUUGUCUGAGUAGUGACUUAGAAUUAUUAGGGAUGGGAUAGAGUAGUUGUGGAAUCCGUAGUCUGUAGAAUGGUUAAGUUUUAGAAUUGAUUGUAUCCCUUUAGAACUAGUUGUGUUUACUGCUUAUUUUUUUCUGAUCAACUGGAAUUCGAUCCCAAGCAUUCCCGCACCCAGAAGGUGUUCGAUGGAAUGCUUGAUCCACUAGUUCCUGAGAUAUGCGUCUCUAUCCCAAGGGAUUGGCCGUUUAGAGCGUUUAUUGACUUUAUCAGUCUGUUCUUAUUGCUUGCAUAGUUAGAUUCCGUUAAUGGGAAUUAGUCUAGGCUAGCUUUGCUUGAGGAUUUCUAUCACGGGAGUGAAUUAAUCUGUUGUUGAACCUGUUGUCUAGGGAUAGCUUGAUUGCGCUUGUUAACCAUUCUAAUAGGCUAGGAUACCACUCUACUCGAUUACCCCAUCCUUAGGAGUUUCUUGUCUAUCUUAUUUCUCUGUUUUAUCGUUAUCGCUUAAUCGUUCUCAUUGCCUGUUUCUUAGUUUUUGUAAUUACUCGACCAACAUACUCGACCACACCCAGUGUCUGGCAACAGACUGUGCAGUGGAGUGCAGUUGUUUCAUUUCCUGUUUGUUACUCGACCAGUAUACUCGACCACACCUAGUGUCUGGCAACAGACUGUGCAGUCGAGUAUAUCUGUUUCAUAUCCUGCCUGUUACUCGACCACAUCCUACUCCUGGCAUCAGCCUGUUGUGGUCGAGUGAUUUUAGUAAUUCUGUUAUUGUUUCUGUUUUCUACAUGUUCACUUAGGACUGUUAGAAACCCCAAAACCGUUAUUGAUUGGCUUGACUUAGUGACUUCUCAUCACAUCUCAUUUGUCUGCAUCACACCCAUUUGGAUUGACACCUAAAAUACUACAAUGACAUGAUUGGUGUUUUAGGAUAAUUGACCAUAAAAACCUAUUAUCAGAAACUUAUCCCAAAAUUUAAAGUAGUGUUUCCAUGCUAGAAGAUACAAAGCAAAAGAUUCAUAAGGACUUCGACAUCACCAUCAAAGCCUUAGGAAGCAUGAAGAAGCUUGGUUAUUGUUUUGGAGACAAAUAUGACUAGAUGACAUGUGUAUGAUUGAGUAUAAGAACUCGAACCGCAACCGGAUCUUGAAAGUCCAAGUAGUGUUUCCUUAUUAGAAGGUACAAAGACAAAGACUCAUACGGACUUUGGGUACACCAUCAAAACUUUGGGAAGCAAGAAGAAGCCUGGUUAUUGUUUUGGAGUCAAAUAUGACUUGAUGUCAUGUGUAUGAUGGAGUAUCAGGACAAGAAUUGCAAUCGGAUCUUUAAAGCCUAAGUAGUGUUUCCUUGUUAGAAGAUACAAGCCAAUGAAUCAUACGGACUUUAGCUACACCAUCAAAGCUUUGUGAAGCAAGAAGAAGCUUAGUUAGUGUUUUAGAGUCAAAUAUGACUUGAUGUCAUGUGUAUGAUUGAGUAUACGAACUAGAACCACAACCGGAUCUUAAAACCCAAAUUAGUGUUUCCUUGUUAGAAGAUACAAAGCUAAAGACUCAUGUGGACUUUGGUAAUACUAUUAAAGCGUUGAGAAUCAAUAAGAAGCUUGGUUAGUGUUUUGGAGUCAAAUAUGACUAGAUGUCAUGUGUAUGAUUGAGUAUAAAAACUGGAACUGCAACCCGAUCUUAAAACCUAGUUAGUGUUUCCCUUUUAGAAGAUACAAAGCCAAAGACUCAUACGGACUUCAGCUACACCAACAAAGCUUUGAGAAGCAAGAAGAAACUUGGUUAGUGUUUUCGAGUCAAAUAUGACUUGAUGUCAUGUGUAUGAUUGGGUAUAAGAACUAGAACCGCAACCGGAUCUUAAAAGCCUAAGUAGUAUUUAGAAGAUACAAAGCCAAACAUUCAUACGGACUUUGGUUACACCAUUAAAGCUUUGUGAAGCAAGAAGAAGCUUUGUUAGUGUUUUGGAGUCAAAUAUGACUAGAUGUCAUGUGUAUGAUUGAGUAUAAAAACUGGAACUGCAACCCGAUCUUAAAAGCCUAGUUAGUGUUUCCUUGUUAGAAGAUACAAAUCCAAAAACUCAUACGGACUUCAGCUACACCAACAAAGCUUUGCGAAGCAAGAAGAAACUUGGUUAGUGUUUUCGAGUCAAAUAUGACUUGAUGUCAUGUGUAUGAUUGGGUAUAAGAACUAGAACCGCAACCGGAUCUUAAAAGCCUAAGUAGUAUUUGUUUUUUAGAAGAUACAAAGCCAAACAUUCAUACGGACUUUGGUUACACCAUUAAAGCUUUGAGAAGCAAGAAAAAGCUUGGUUAUUGUUUUGGAGUCAAAUAUGCCUAGAUGUCAUGUGUAUGAUUGAGUACAAGAACUCGAACCGCAACUGGAUCUUGAAAGCCCAAGUAGUGUUUCCUUGUUAGAAGAUACAACGCCAAUGACUCAUACGGAUUUCGGCUACACCAUCAAAUCUUUGAGAAGGAACAAGAAUCUUGGUUUGUGUUUUGGAGUUAGAUAUAAAUUGAUGUCAUGUCUAUGGUUGAGUAUUAGAACUUGAACCGCAAACGGAUCCGAAAAGGAAAAGUAGAGUUUCCAUGCGAGAAGAUACAAAGCCAAAGACUCAUACGGACUUCGACAUCACCAUCAACGCCUUAGGAAGCCAGAAGAAGCUUGGUUAGCUUUUUGGAGUCAAAUAUGACUAGAUGACAUGUGUAUGAUUGAGUAUAAAAACUCAAAUCGCAACCGGAUCUUGAAAGCCCAACUAGUGUUUGUUUGUUAGAAGAUACAAAGCCAAAUACUCAUACGGACUUUGGCUACACUAUCAAAGCUUUGAAAAGCAAGAAGAGGCUUAGUUAGUGUUUUAGAGUCAAAUAUGACUUGAUGUCAUGUGUAUUAUUGAGUAUAAGAACUAGAACCACAACCGGAUCUUAAAAGCCUAAGUAGUGUUUCCUUGUUAGAAGAUACAAAGCCAAUAAAUCAUGCGGACUUUAGCUACACCAUCAAAGCUUUGUGAAGCAAGAAGAAGCUUAGUUAGUGUUUUAGAGUCAAAUAUGACUUGAUGUCAUGUGUAUGAUUGAGUAUAACUAGAACCACAACCGGAUCUUAAAACCCAAAGUAGUGUUUCUUUGUUAGAAGAUACAAAGCUAAAGAUUGUUGUGGACUUUGGUAACACUAUUAAAGCGUUGGGAAUCAAGAAGAAGCUUGGUUAGUGUUUUGGAGUCAAAUAUGACUAGAUUUCAUGUGUAUGAUUGAGUAUAAAAACUAGAACUGUAACCCGAUCUUAAAAUCCUAAGUAGUGUUUCCUUGUUAGAAGAUACAAAGCCAAAGACUCAUACGGACUUCAGCUACACCAACAAUGCUUUGAGAAGAAAGAAGAAGCUUGGUUAGUUUUUUGGAAUCAAAUAUGACUUGAUUUCAUGUUUUUGAUUGGGUAUAAGAAGUAGAACCGCAACCGGAUCUUAAAAGCCUAAGUAGUAUUUCUUUUUUAGAAGAUACUCUAGUUUAGAGAUGUGUUUCUAGUUUAGAGAUGUGUUUAAGAACUCAAAGUAAAGAAUAACUCUCUUUAAUCUCUUUAGGAAAAUUACUCAAAACCUAAAGCUAUUGAUCUCUUCACAAUCUCUAAAAACCCAUAAGGUUAACCACAACUUGGUAACUCUUAUAUAGAGAUCAAUAGAUAAUUCUAGAAUAAACAUUUAGAUUAAUAUUAGAUAACUCCUAAUAAUAUCUUUAGGUAAUGAUAUGUCUAUAAUUUGCAUGUUUUACACAUCUUUUUAUCACCAUUUUGAGUCUAGUUUCAUCCAUCUUUCAUAGCAUUUGAUAAUAGGUUUUUAAUUAAUUAAACCUAAAGCACUAUCAUGUCGUUGUAAUACUGAAGGUUGUCAAUCCAAAUGGGUGUGAUGCUAACAAUCAAGAUGUGAUCAGAAGUCACUAAGUCAAGCCAAGCAAUAACAGGUUGUGGUGUGUUCUAGCAGUUCUAAGUGAACAUGGAGAAAAUAGAAAUUCAAGCAGAAACAGUAAAACACUCGACCAACACAGCUCUUUGCAGAGCACUGGGUGAGGUCGAGUGACAGGUCGAGUAACAGACAGAAAAUAAAAUACAGAUACUCGACUGCACAGUCUGUUACCAGACAAUUGGGUGGUCGAGUAACAAGAAAGAACUGCAGAAAUUACGCGACAGAUAACAAGAUGCAGUAAAUAACAGUGGAGUAAACACAGAAUUCAAUCAGAUAAAGAAUUCCUGAGGAUGGGGUAAUUGAGUAGUUUCGUUUCCUCAGUUUACAGGUGAUUGACAUGCUCAAUAAAUUAACCCUAGACAACAAGUUCAUUAACCAAAUCUAAGUGCCACCGCAACAGAGACUCUCAAGUUAACCUAGUCCCAGACUCAAUCACCAUUGACGAGAGAUAACCUAACAGGCAUUACGAAUCAACAAGUUAAAGCCAAAACGCUCCUUGCAACCAAUACCUUGGUACAGGGUCACGAAACUCUGGAAUUAGUGGUUCAGACAUUUCAUCGAACACCUUUUGGGCGCGGAAAUGUCUGGGCUCAAAUUCCAGUUGAUCAGAAAGCAAUAGGGAUUAAGAACAACUAAUCCAGAAGGGAUAUAUCAACCAAUACUCAAUCACCUAGCAUAUUGAGAAUUCUACACUACUCUAACCCAUCCUCAGAAACCUAUUCACUACUCAGACAUCAUAACAGUAAGCAUAAACGUUGAACAAGUUGAAAACAUGAUAACAACUGUGUAACAACAAGAUGAUAACAGAAUGAACAACAGUAAACGAAAUCAAGAACAAAAGCUGAAUACUGAAUACUAAAUAGAUAAAGAGAAAUCUGGAUUACAAAAGGUCUAGAACACAAGGUCUACGGAAUAAAACUAGAUAAAAACUUGUCUGCCAAAAUGUGAAGUACAUGCUACUUACAGCCAAAUAUUCCGAAACCCUAAUACUUAAAACGACGCAGUAUUGGGACGGAUUAAGAACUGUACUCGACCCAUGUGGUCGAGUGGGAGGUCGAGUGAAUAGCUGGAGUCUUCUUUUCUUCCUUGUGCUCGAGUGUCUGGUUGAGUGCGGAAUGAAGAAGGCUCUGAAGCUUGUCAUCGAGUAUGUAGUCGAGUGGUGGUGAUGGUGAUACUCGACUUCCACGUAGAGUGAAGAGGUCAAGUAGUGGUCUGGCAAUGAAGGUGAAGACACUCGGCCUCAGGGUCGAGUGACGUGAUCGAGUGAUGGUCAGGUGAUGGGAUGAAGACACUCGACCUCGUGGUCGAGUGAUGUGGUGAAGUAGUGAUGUCCUCUACUCGACCAGGGGGUCGAGUGAUCUGUUGAGAUCUUGAAGCUCCUAAUCGACCUCGGGGUCAAGUCGUUUGAUAUGAUCAGGCCCGCUUCUUCCAGAUAGCUUGUCAACAGCUCCAAAUCACCUGAAAUCAACGCAAAUAUGCAACAUGCAUGCAAAUCUAUCCAAAAAUUGUAAAGUGAUGACAAAUGAUGAGAAAUUGUAUAAAACAGUGAUGAUAUGAUGCUAAAGUGAUGACAAAUGGAUGCUCAAAACAUGCAAAAUACACACUUAUCAGCAUUCACCAUCAUUUUCAUACAUUUUGCAUCUUAAGUCGAGUCUAGGACUAGUCUUGCAUACAUUCUGCAUUCUGGAGUUGUUUCAGGUGUUUUGGAGCUAUUGGUGCUCAGAAAGAGGGAAAACAAAACAGAAAGUCACACUUCCACCAAACAUACUCGAUCACCAGUAGCAGAGAGGGAAGCAGUCAGCUCAGUAGUCCAUCCAGACACUUCUACUCGAUCACAGAGGAGACCAGGCAGUCCAUUCUGCCAGAUAUACUCGACCGUAGAGGAGAGGAGGCAGUCCAUUCUGCAAUUCUACUCUAUCGCAGAGGCAACCAUGCAGUCCACUUUGCCAGUCCACCAGUUAUACUCGAUCGCAGAGGAGAAGAACCAGUACAUCCUGACAGCUGACACACUUACUCGAUCACAGAGGCCAAGAAGCAGCCCAGAUCAUUCUGUCAACCAACCUACUCGACCACCACCUCGACCCUCUGAUCAAUCCGCACUCAACCAGAUAACCUGAGCAUCGGAAAGAGAAGAGAAGAGAAGAGAAGGCCCAUUCGAAACCCAUUCAAAGCCCAUCAGGAAGCCCACUUUGAGCCGACACUCUUGAUCACGCCGUCCAUGGGCCGUUAAGUGGGCUCGAAGCCGAGUUAACAUCUACAGGUCACCAAGUUUACUCGACCAUGGAGGCAUCCCAACUGCCCGUUUUCACUCGAUCACCAAGGCGACACUUUAGACCAUUUCUCAGACCAAUAUACUCGACCGUCGGACCAAACGUCAUGUGAACCCUGCGAUCGAGUAUCAUGCACCAGAGGAGGAGGAACAACAACAAGGUCCCAGUAUUCCAUGGGAUUACACCAGAGAGGAGAUGGCACACACAACCAUCAUUGUAUAUACCAUUUUCUGUUUUCGUUUUGUUUUAGUGUCUCUUGAACUCUUCUUUAGACUUCUAUUACACAAGGGACUGUAUAGUUUAAGUUUGGGGGAGGAUUCAAGAAGUAUUUAACAUGUUUGCUAGUGAGUCUUAUUUGCAUCAUUUGAGUCUUAACUUCAUCUAAGACAUAGAAAAAAAAUAAAAAAAAAAUGAAAACAUUUCUGAAAAUGUAUUCCACAAAAACAGAGUGUUCAUAUAGUUGCAUCACAUUUAGGAUUGAGUCUAGGAUGUUUCAUAUAGGAUUGUCGCAUAUGCAUUGGGGAUUAUGAUGAGAUAGCCUUGUAAGCAUUUUUGUUCAUCGUUUCUAGUUGUCUGAUGUGUAGUCAAUGAAAUUGAAGUAAAACUGCACCAUGUCUUGAAUGCUCUACUCGAUCACACUGUUAUUAUCUGAUACCAUUCCCUAUCAAUUUGAACCUGAAUCUGACUUGCAAUUAUCAUGUCUUAGCAUCGAAUUUGAACUCAUGGAUACCAUAUACAUACUUGGGUUUUCUUUAAACUUUUCACCACCCUUGCUAACCCAAGUAGCUGCUUCCAUCAUUGAAGUAGUUUCCCUUGCCCUUAACCAAACCUUUCUUUCGAGCCCUGUUAUAUAUCGUGUGCGAUUGUGAGGCCUGUUUCAGGAUUGAGCUUGGAAGAAAGUGUUAGGUUUGAGCCGACAAGAGUAGUGUCUCAUGUAGUUCUAGUCCACGUUUUCUGGGCUAGAUAGGACAAGGUGGGUGUCUAUUCUUGAAGUGGGGAUCGAGUAUAUGAGAAAAUAAGAGAGAAAGGAAAUGUUGAUGUUCUUAGGAGAAGGAAGUUGAGAAACAAGUUAGUCUAGUAAUGGAUUUUGGGGAACUAAAAAAAAAAUAGGCUCACAACAAAAGAAAAAAAGUCUAGAAAAGUCUUGAUCACAAGAAGAUAACAUGAGCCAUAGUUGUCAAAGAAAACCAAAGUCCACUAGAUCCAACAAAGUAAAAGAAACUUCUCCUUAGAAUAAGAGUCAAAGAAAAGAAAGAGUGGUUUGAUCCAAGAUAAGAAUGAGAAAAAAAUGCCUUGAGUGCAAAGGGUAGAACUAGGAUCAUAUUCUGGGCUUAAGGGUAGUACCAUCUGCUGGUGUAUACACUGUGUAUGUUUUUGGGUAGAUGGGAUACUAUUCUUGUAUGCAUAGGUUGGCUCUUACCUUUAGCAUUCUCCUAAAGCUCAGUCCAUUUCUUUUCAGAGUCCCCUGUUACUAAACUUGAACCACCAGAAAGGGACCAUCUGUGUCUCUUGACCUUCACCUUAGCCAAAUGAGUUCAUUGAUGAUGCAUAGCUUGAUUCACGUUCCUAAUCUAAUGAAUGUUAAAGGGAUUGGUAGAUUUGAAAGCAUGUGUAGGUCGAGUAUAAGAGUGGGAUUGAACUAUAAUAAGGCAUGGCUAACGUUUUUGAGUAGAGUUCGAUAAUAUGGCAUCCUAGAACUGCCAACUUGGACAUUGAUUCUAUCUGAUUUAUUUGAUGCUUUGGUUCUGAAUCCCCACCUUCAAACCUCUCCUUCAGCUUAUGUCUACUUGUUUGCUUGAGGGCAAGCAAAGACUAAGUUUGGAGGAGUUGAUAUGUGUAUAAUUUGCAUGUUUUACACAUCCUUUAAUCACCAUUUUGAGUCUAGUUUCAUCCAUCUUUCAUAGCAUUCACCAUCAUUUUCGUACAUUUUGCAUCUUUAGUCGAGUCUAGGACUAAUCUUGCAUACAUUCUACAUUCUGGAGUUGUUUCAGGUGUUUUGGAGCUAUUGGUGCUCAGAAAGAGGGAAAACAGAACAGAAAGUCACACUUCCACCAAACAUACUCGAUCACCAGUAGCUGAGAGGGAAGUAGUCAGCUAAGCAGUCCAUCCAGACACUUCUACUCGAUCAUAGAGGAGACUAGGCAGUCCAUUCUGCCAGAUAUACUCGACCGCAGAGGAGAGGAGGCAAUCCAUUCUACAAUUCUACUCUAUCGCAGAGGCGACCAUGCAGUCCACUUUGCCAGUCCACCAGUUAUACUCGAUCGUAGAGGUGAAGAACCAGUACAUCCUGACUGCUGACACACUUACUCGAUCACAGAGGCCAAGAAGCAGCCCAGAUCAUUCUGUCAACCAACCUACUCGACCACCACCUUGACCCUCUUAUCAAUCCGCACUCAACCAGACAACCUGAGCAUCGAAAAGAGAAGAGAAGAGAAGGCCCAUUCGAAGCCCAUUCGAAACCCAUUCGAAGCCCAUCAAGAAGCCCACUUUGAGCCGACACUCUUGAUCACGCCGUUCAUGGGCCGUUAAGUGGGCUCGAAGCCCGCUUUCUUAUUUUAGUAUAAAUAAGUCUCUAAGGGUUUCGCCCUGGGACAUGCACUUUUAGAGACACGAAUUUUGCACUAUUAUUCAGCAGCCGCUUUUCAUUCCUGCAAUUUUAUAUUUCGAUUUUUCUUCUAAGUCAUUCAGAUUUUGCUUUCAUUUGCUUGUUCAUCUUUCGUUUCUAUGUUAUUGUCUUUAAGCAUGUUGUCAGAGUAGUGACUCAGAAUUCUUAAGGAUGGGUUAGAGUAGUUGUGGAAUCCGUAGUCUGUAGAAUGGUUAAGUCUUAGAAUUGAUUGAAUCCCUUCAGGACUAGUUGUGUUUACUGCUUAUUUCUUUCUAAUCAACUGGAAUUCGAUCCCAAGCAUUCCCGCACCCAGAAGGUGUUCUAUGGAAUGCUUGAUCCACUAGUUCCUGAGAUAUUCGUCUCUAUCCCAAGGGAUUGGCCGUUUAGAGCGUUUAUUGACUUUAUCAGUCUGUUCUUAUUGCCUGCAUAAUUAGAUUCCGUUAAUGGGAAUUAGUCUGGGCUAGCUUUGCUUGAGGAUUUCUAUCAAGGGAGUGAAUUGAUCUGUUGUUGAACCUGUUGUCUAGGGAUACCUUGAUUGCGCUUGUUAACCAUUCGGAUAGGCUAGGAUACCACUCUAUUCGAUUACCCCAUCCUUAGGAAUUUCUCGUCUAUCUGAUUUCUCUGUUUUAUCGUUAUCGCUUAUUCGUUCUCAUUGCCUGUUUCUUCGUUUUUGCAAUUACUCGAUCAACUUACUUGACCACACCCAGUGUCUGGUAACAGACUGUGCAGUCGAGUACAGUUGUCUCAUUUCCUGUCUGUUACUCGACCAGAAUACUCGACCACACCCAGUGUCUGGCAACAGACUAUGCAGUCAAGUAUAUCUGUUUCAUAUCCUGUCUGUUACUCGACCACAUCCUACUUCUGGCAUCAGCCUGUUGUGGUCGAGUGAUUUUAGUAAUUCUAUUAUUGUUUCUGUUUUCUGCAUGUUCGCUUAGGACUGUUAGAAACCCCAAAACUGUUAUUGCUUGGCUUGACUUAGUGACUUUUGAUCACAUCUCAUCUGUUUGCAUCACACCCAUUUGGAUUGACACCUAAAAUACUACAACGACAUGAUUGGUGUUUUAGGAUAAUUGACCAUAAAAAACUACUAUCAGAUAACUCCCAAAGAUUUAAUCUAAUCCUUCUCAAAACUAAAUAACUUAUUUCUUAAGUAAUACUCAAGCUUACUCCAACAAUCUCCCCUUUAAGCUUGAGAUCACUCCUCUUCACUUCUUGAACACCCAUAAGAUCUCUCAUCUCUUUAAACUUCAUUCUCCCAAGUGCUUUAGUUAGGAUGUCUGCCUUUUGCUCAUUCCCCGGAACAUGCUCUACUUCCACUUGUCCAUUUUCGACGCAUUCUCUUAUGAAGUGGUAACGCCUAUGAAUGUGCUUGCUUCAGCCAUGGAAGACCGGAUUCUUGGUAAGGGCGAUUGCUGAUUUGUUGUCGAUUCUUAUGAGCACCUUCUCGCUUGGUUCUCCUAUAACUUCACUAAGCAAGUCUUGAAGCCAAAUUGCUUGCCUAGCUGCUUCUGUUCCUGCCAUAAACUCUGCUUCACAUGAGGACAUUGCCAUUGUUUCUUGUUUCUGUGAACACCACGAGAUGGGACUCUCUCCAAGGUAGGAAAUGUGACCGGCUGUACUCUUGCCAUCAUCAGGAUCAACAUUGUGGUUGCUGUCACUAUAGCCUACUAGCUUUGGUAUCUUUUCACUUGAUCGUUUAAAUACCAAACCGAGUGUAGUCGUACCUUUCAAGUACCUCAAACAUUGUCUCAUUGCAGCACCAUGUGAUUCAUUUGGAUCUUGCAUGUAUCGACUUAACACUCCCACGCAAAAGGACAGAUCCGGUCUUGUAUGAAUUAAAUAGCGAAGGCAACCAACUUUUUUCCUGUAUCCGGUAGCAUCAAUUCCUUCUUCAUGAUGUGAUUUGGACAAUUGCAAACCAGAUUCCAUUGGUAUGUGCAUCAAGUUACAGUCCUUCAUCCCAGCGUCUUCUAAAAUCUUCAUUGCAUAUCGGUGUUGACUUAGUGUGAUUCCUUGCUCUUGUUGACAGACUUCUAUUCCAAGAUAGUACGUCAAUUUUCCAAGAUCACUCAUCUCGAACUUAGAAGCCAUCUCUCUCUUGAAUCCACUAAUACUUCUUUCAUCUGUUCCGGUUAUGAAAAGGUCAUCUACGUACACUACCACAAGAAGAAAAAUAUUCCCACUUACAGUUUUACGAUAUACUGAUGGUUCUUUGGAACACUUCUCGAAUUGUAGUUCUGUAAGAAUCUGAUUCAGCUUAUGGUUCCAUGCUCUCGGUGCUUGUCGUAAUCCAUACAAAGCUUUGUGAAGCCUAUAGACUUUCCCUUCCUAUCCUCUUUCUUCGAAUCCUUCUGGUUGUGUCACAUACACGGUUUCUCUUAGUUCUCCAAGGAGAAAUGCUGUCUUGACAUCAAGAUGGUGUAUCUCCCAACCAUUUGAUGCUGCAAGGUUCACAAGUAGUCGUUUGGUUUCAAGGCGAGCUACGGGAGCGAACACUUCUUCAAAGUCCACUCCAUAGCGCCAAAACGUAACCUUUCGCGACCAAUCGAGCCUUGUAUUUGUUGAUGCUCCCGUCCGAGUUGCGUUUGAGUUUAAAAACCCACUUUAGACCUAUACGUUUAACUCCAUGCGGCAGAUCUUCAAGACUCCAUGUCUUAUUCUUUGUUAUUGAAAACAUCUCUUCUUCACACGCAAGUGUCCACUCUCUGGACUCCUUAGCCUCACUGAAACUGCUCGGUUCGUUAUUCAAUAUUAGAAGUAGCCUUUCUCCUUCUUCUUCUACAAGUAAUGCAUAGUCUUCAAGGUACUUUGGUCUUAUGGUUUGUCUUUGCGAUCUUCUUAGAUUAGGUUGUUGACUUUCUGUUCCAAGAUCAGCAGAGACUUCUUCAUUUUCUGCAAAGGUUUCAUGAUCAUGUUGUUCUUCAUUCACGUGAAUAGGCUGUGUUUGCUCUGUCUCACCAUAUUCGUUGUCUUCUUCUUGUAGACCAUGAUUCCCGAAUUCUCCAAGUGUGACACUGAAGCUUCCAUCUUGUUUAGGUUCGUUGUGAUUCCAAUCCCAUCCUUUUUCUUCAUCGAAUACAACAUCUCUACUCACCACAAUUUUCCGAUUUACUGGGUCAAGUAGACGAUAUGCCUUUGAACCCGGCUCAGUACCUAGAUGAACUAGCUUUCUCGACCUGUCAUCUAGUUUCCUCAAGUGUGGUGUCUCCACUUCUGCGUAUCCAAUGCAGCCAAAUACUGUGAGAUGAUUCACGUUUGGUUUCUUUUGGUAGAAAGCUUCAUAUGGAGUGUUGUCAUUCAACGAUCUUGUAGCUAUCCGGUUCAGCAGGUAGGUGGCGUGUCAUACUGUUUCUCCCCAUAAGUAACUAGGUAUAUGCAUGUGUUUCAUGACACUCCUUGUCAUUUCCAUUAGAGUUCUGUUUCUUCUUUCAAAUACACCAUUCUGUUGUGGUGUAUAUGGAGCAGUAAGAUGUCUUUUAAUACCCGAUUCUUCACAAAACUUAGUGAACUCAUGUGAUACAAACUCUCCUCCUCUGUCUAUUCUGAAAGUCUGAAUUUUGCUUCCAGAUUCUUGUUCAACUAAGACCUUGAAGCGCUUGAAUUUAUUGAGAGCAUCACUUUUCUCCUUAAGUAGAGUUGUCCACAUGUAUCUAGAAUGAUCAUCAAUAAUGACAAAGAUGUACCUGUUUCCUGCAGCUGUGCUUGGUGUUAUAGGACCACAUAAGUCUCCAUGAACGAGUUCAAGUAUCUUGGUGGCUCUGUAUGAGGUUGCUUGCGGGAAAAAUUGCCUUGAUUGCUUCCCAAACAAACAUGAAUCACAAACUUCUUUUUCGAUCUUAACGUGUGGGAUCCCUCUUACUAGCUCCUUUUGUAUCAUUGACUUGAUUGUGUCGAGAUUUAUGUGUCCCAAUCUUGAAUGCCAUCUACUUGAUUCGCUGAGGUUUGUUAGAUAUAGACACAUUGUUCCUCUUUUUGCCAUCCGAACCUUAUUAAGUCGAUUCUUUGAUCUUGUUGCUUUGACAAGUAAUUUUCCCUCUCGGUCAUGCAUUGUUAGAAUGUCAUCCUUCAUUCUUAUGUCACAGCCUGAUUCUCUAGCUUGUCCCAAGCUAAUGAUGUUGCUUUUUAAAUCUGGAAUGAAAUAGACAUCUGACAUUUUUCUUUGUUCGCCAUUCCUGUCAAAAAACGAGAUCGUUCCUUUCCCUUUGAUAUCAAUCCGUGAAUCAUCGCCAAAGCGUACUUUCCCGGUGAUAGAAUUAUCUAUACUAGUGAAGUAUCUUUGAUCUCCUGUCAUGUGGUUACUUGCUCCGUUAUCGAGAUACCAAACAUCAUUCUCUCCAUUGUUAGUUUCAUAGUUGCUUGGAAUACAAUUCUUCUCAUUUAGAUACACAACUUCGUGAACCAUGAGUUCAUCUGCAGUUUGUGUAUCGUCUUUCUCGUUCUCUUGGGCUUCCUGCAACUUGAAAAGACGAUUCGGGCAGUCAGAGGCGUAGUGACCUAAUUUGUCACAUCUAUAGCAAGUUACUUUGGAUGUAUCUCUUCCACCAUUCGACCUUCCUUGUCCUCUUCCUCUGUAAUAAGAGCGUCCUCCUCGACCUCUUCCUCUGUAGCAGUUGUUGUACUCUUGAUUUGUUUGGUAAUCUUGAUUAGUAUACAACAACUUGCUUUGAUCUUCUUGUGGUUCUUCAUCAUCUACCACUCGUUCUUCAUAUACUUUCAUUCGUCCUACAAUGUCUUCAAAUCCGUUUGUGUUAAGAUCAAGAACUUGUUCGAGUGAUGCAACUAUGUGAAUGAAUUUCUUUCGAGGCAGACUUGAGAGAAACUUCUUCACUAGUUUUGGUUCUUCGAUUUGAACUCCUAAAGCUGCAGAUUUGGAUGCAAUUUCUGCUAACUUUCCUACAAAAUCAUCAAUCUUCUCAAUAUCCUUCAUCUUCAAGCGAUCAAAGUCAUUCAUUAGAGUCUGUAGUCUCGCUUCUCUAACUCGUUCUGCUCCCACGUUCCUCGACCGAAUAGCUUCCCAAACCUUCUUUGCUACUUUAAAUUCUCCAAUUUGCAAAGCUAGGGAUUCGGGUAUGGAUUGAAUCAUUAAAGCUAUAGCCAUGAUGUUCUUGUCUGCAUCAACGGGUUCUGUUGACUCUGUUUCAAUAGCUUCCCAGACUUUGUGUACUUGAAGAGCAAUCUCCAUCUUCAUAGCCCAUGCCGUGUAAUUUGUUUGAGUUAGCAUAGGGCAUUGGAUCGAAGAAGUUCCUCCUCCUUCUUUUGGUUUCGUUCCCGACGUAACUAUUUUGCUCAUAUCUUCUCCUUACAAAUUCUUCUUUAUGGUCUCAAGAUUUGUAAGCUCUGAUACCAAUUGUAGUUUAGAGAUGUGUUUAAGAACUCAAAGUAAAGAAUAACUCUCUUUAAUCUCUUUAGGAAAAUUACUCAAAACCUAAAGCUAUUGAUCUCUUCACAAUCUCUAAAAAACGAUAAGGUUAACCACAACUUUGGUAACUCUUAUAUAGAGAUCAAUAGAUAAUUCUAGAAUAAACAUUUAGAUUAAUAUUAGAUAACUCCUAAUAAUAUCUUUAGAUAACUCCCAAAGAUUUAAUCUAAUCCUUCUCAAAACUAAAUAACUUAUUUCUUAAGUAAUACUCAAGCUUACUCCAACAGAUACAAAGCCAGACAUUCAUACGGACUUUGGUUACACCAUUAAAGCUUUGAGAGGCAAGAAGAAGCUUGGUUAGUUUUGGAGUCAAAUAUGCCUAGAUGGCAUGUGUAUGAUUGAGUACAAGAACUCGAACCGCAACUGGAUCUUGAAAGCCCAAGUAGUGUUUCUUUGUUAGAAGAUACAACGCCAAUGACUCAUACGGACUUCGGCUACACCAUCAAAGCUUUGAAAAAUCUUGGUUUAUGUUUUGGAGUUAAAUAUAAAUUGAUGUCCUGUCUGUGGUUGAAUAUUAGAACUUGAACCGCAAACGGAUCUGAAAAGGAAAAGUAGUGUUUCCAUGCUAGAAGAUACAAAGCCAAAGACUCAUACGAACUUCGACAUCCCCAUCAAAGCCUUAGGAAGCCAAAAGAAGCUUAGUUAGUUUUUUGGAGUCCAAUAUGACUAGAUUGCAUGUGUAUGAUUGAGUAUAAAAACUCAAACCGUAACCAGAUCUUGAAAGCCCAAGUAGUGUUUCUUUGUUAGAAGAUACAAAGCCAAAUACUCAUACGGACUUCGGCUACACCAUCAAGAAGCAAGAUGAAGCUUGGUUAGUGUUUUGGAGUCAAAUAUGAAUUGAUGUCCUGUGUAUGAUUUAGUAUAAGAACUAGAUUGGCAACCGGAUAUUGAAAGCCCAAAUAGUGUUUUCUUGUUAGAACAGACAAAGCUAAUGACUCAUACGGACUUCGGCUUCACUAUCAAAGCUUUGAGAAACAAGAAGGGGCUUAGUUAGUGUUUUAGAGUCAAAUAUGACUUGAUGUAAUCUGUAUGAUUGAGUAUAAGAACUAGAACCACAACCGGAUCUUAAAAGUCUAAGUAGUGUUUCCUUGUUAGAAGAUACAAACCAAAGACUCAUACAGAUUUUCGAUUACACCAUUAAAACUUUGAGAAGCAAGAAGAAUCUUGGUUAGUGUUUUGGAGUCAAAUAUGACCAGACGACAUUUGUAUGAUUUAGUAUAAGAACUCGAACUACAACCUAAUCCCGAAAGCCCAAAUAGUGUUUCCUUGUUAGAACAUACAAAGCCAAUGACUAAUACAGAUUUUGAUUACACCAUUAAAACUUUGAGAAGCAAGAAGAAUCUUGGUUAGUGUUUUGGAGUCAAAUAUGACAAGAUGGCAUGUCUAUGAUUUAGUAUAAAAACUCGAACUACAACCAGAUCUUGAAAGCCCAAGUAGUGUUUCCUUGUUAGAAGAUACAAAGCCAAAUUCUCAUACGGACUUUGGUUAAACCAUCAAAGCUUUGAGAAGCAAGAAGAAGCUUGGUUAGUGUUUUGGAUCAAAUAUCACUUGAUGUCAUGUGUAUGGUUAAGUAUUUGGACUAGAUCUUGAAACUUAUCCCAAAAGCAAAAGUAGUGUUUCCAUGCUAGAAGAUACAAAACAAAAGAUUCAUACGGACUUUGACAUCACCAUCAAAGCCUUAGGAAGCAUGAAGAAGCUUGGUUAUUGUUUUGGAGUCAAAUAUGACUAGAUGACAUGUGUAUGAUUGAGUAUAAAUACUCAAACCGCAAUCGGAUCUUGAAUGCCCAAGUAGUGUUUCCUUGUUAGAAGAUACAAAUCCAAAGACUCAUAUGGACUUCGGCUACACCAUCAAAACUUUGAGAAUCAAGAAGAAGUUCUGUUAGUGUUUUGGAGUCAAAUAUGACUGGAUGUCAUGUUUAUGAUGGCGUGUAAAACUAGAACCACAACGCGAUAUUAAAAGCCUAAGUAGUGUUUCGAUGUUAGAAGAUACAAAGCCAAUGACUCAAACGAACUUCAGCUAGACCAUCAAAGCUUUGAGAAGCAAGAAGAAGCUUAGUUAGUGUUUCUGAGUUAAAUAUGACUUAAUGUAAUAUGUAUAAUUGAGAAUAAGAACUAGAACCACAACUAUAUCUUAAAAGCCUGAGUAGUGUUUGCUUAUUAGAAGAUACAAAGCUAAAGACUCAUGUGGACUUUGGUUACACUAUUAAAGCUUUGAGAAGCAAGAAUAAGCUUGGUUAGUGUUUUGGAGUAAAAUAUGACUACAGGUCAUGUGUAUGAUUGAGUAUAAAAACUCGAACCGCAACCUCAUCUUGAAAGCCCAAGUUGUAUUUCCUUGUUGGAAGAUACAAAGCCAUAGAGUCUUACGGACUUCGGCUACACCAUAAAGACCUUGAGAAGCAUGAAUAAGCUUGGUUAGUGUUUUGGAGUCAAAUAUGACUUGAUGUGAUGUGUAUGAUGGAGUAUAAGUACAAGAACCACAACCUGAUCUUAAAAAUCUAAGUAGUGUUUCGUUGUUUGAAGAUAUAAACCCAAAGACUCAUACGGACUUCGACAUCACCAUCAAAGUUUUAGGAAGCAUGAAGAAGCUUGGUUAGUGUUUUGGAGUCAAAUAUGACUAGAUGGCAUGUGUAUGAUUGAAUAUAAAAACUAAAACCGCAAUCGGAUCUUGAAAGCCCAAGUAGUGUUUCCUUAUUAGAAGAUACAAAGCCAAAUACUCAUACAGACUUCGGCUACACCAUCGAGAAGCAAGAAGAAGCUUGAUUAGUGUUUUGGAGUCAAAUAUUAAUUGAUGUCCUGUGUAUGAUUGAGUAUAAGAACUAGAUUGGCAACCGGAUCUUGAAAGCCCAAAUAGUGUUUCCUUGUUAGAAGAUACAAAGCCAAUGACUCAUACGGACUUCAGCUACACUAUCAAAGCUUUCAGAAGCAAGAAGAGGCUUAGUUAGUGUUUUAGAGUCAAAUAUGACUUGAUGUCAUGUGUAUGAUUGCGUAUAAGAACUAUGAUAAUAGGUUCUUACUCAAUUAAUCCUAAAACACUAAUCUUGUCGUUGUAGUAUUUUAGGUGUCAAUCCAAAUGGGUGUGAUGCAGACAUAUGAGAUAUAAUCAGAAGUUUCUAAGUCAUGCCAAGCACAAUUUGGUUGGUUUUCUAACAGUCCUAGUGUUGAUGCAGUAAACAGUAAAAAGUCGCAGAAAUGACUGAUAUACUCGAUUGCAGGGUCGACUCCCAGAAAGGACCCUGUGAUCGAGUACAAUAGAAUGACAGAGAGUAAAAAUGCAGAAAUGGACCAGUUUACUCUAUCACACAGUCUCACUGUCAGUAGCAGGGUGUGAUCGAGUAGGAUGGUUGAAAACACGAAAAUACUAAAAUUCAAUAGCAAGUGAAUGAAGUAGGUAAGUAAACAAAGAAAUCAAUUGGAUGAGAAACUCAUAAGGAUGGGGUAAUCGAAUAGUGUGGUCUCCCUAAUCAAUUCAGUUGGUUAACAAAUCUCAAUUAAGCUAUCCCUAGACAACAGGUUCAACAACAGAUUAAUACACUCCCGUGAUAUAAAUUCUCAAGCAUAGCUAGACACUGACCUAAUUCCCAUUAGCGAUCUCUAACUAAGCAGGCAAUAAGAACCGACUGUUAAAGCCAAUAACCGCUCUAAACGGCCAAUCCCUUGGGAUAGAGACGAUUAUCACUGGAAUUAGUAGAUGCAACGUUCUAUAAAACGCCUUCUAAGCGCUGGAACGUCUGGGAUCGGAUUCCAGUUGAUCAUAAAGGAAUAAACAGUAAACACAACUAAUCCAGAAGGGAUUCAAUAAAUCUACACUUAACCAACAGAUUCGACCAGGGGUUCCACAGCUACCCUAUCCCAUCCUUAGAAACUCUAAUCACUACUCAGACAACAUGCUUAAAGACAACAACAUAGAAACGAUUGAAUAUUGCAUACUAAAAAUAUUAAAGGGAAUGAAACAAAGAUGAACAAGCAAAUGAAAUCAAAAUCUGAAUAACUUAGAAGAAAAAUCGAAAUACAAAGUUGCAGGAAUGAAAAGUGGCUGCUGAAUACUAGUGCAAAAUUCGUGUCUCUCAAAGUGUAUGUCUCAAGGCGAAACCCUUUGAGACUUAUUUAUACUAAGAUAAGAAAGCGGGUUUCGAGCCCACUUAACGGCCCAUGGACGAUGUGAUCAAGAGUGUCGACUCAAAGUGGGCUUCCUGAUGGACUUCGAAUGGGCUUCGAAUGGGCCUUCUCUUCUCUUCUCUUUCCGUUGCUCAGGUUGUCUGGUUGAGUGCGGAUUGAUCAAAGGGUCGAGGUGGUGGUUGAGUAGGUUGGUUGACAGAAUGGUCUGGGCUGCUUCUUGGCCUCUGUGACCGAGUAUGUGUGUUAGCUGUCAGGAUGGAUUGGUUCUUCUCCUCUGCGAUCGAGUAGAAUUGGUGGACUGGCAAAGUGGACUGCAUGGUCGCCUCUGCGAUUGAGUAGAAUUUUCAGGAUGGACUCCUUCAACUCUGUGAUCGAGUAGAACUGCAGUUGGGAUUGACUCCUCUCCUCUGCGAUCGAGUAUAAGUGUCUGGAUGGACUGUUGAGCUAACUGCUUCCCUCUCUCCUACUGGUGAUUGAGUAUGUUGGUGGAAAUGUGACUUUCUGUUCUGUUUUUCCUCUUUCUGAGCACCAAUAGACGCAAGACUAGUCCUAGACUCGACUAAAGACGCAAAAUGUACAAGAAUGAUGAUGAAUGCUAUGAAAGAUGGAUGAAACUAGACUCAAAGUGGUGAAAACAGGAUGUGUAAAACAUGCAAAUUAUAGACAUAUCAACUCCCCCAAACUUAGUCUUUGCUUGCCCUCAAGCAAACAAGUAGACAUAAGCUGAAGGAGAGGUUUGAAGGUGGGGAUCCAGAACCAAAUCAUCAAAUAAAUCAGAUAAAAUCAAUGUCCAAAAUGACAGUUCUAGGAUACGAUAUGAUGGAAUUCUACUCAAAAACGUUAGCCAUGCCUUAUUAUAGUUAAAUCUCACUCUUAUACUCGACCUACACAUGAUUUCAAAUCUACCAAUCCCUUUAACAUUCAUUAGUUUAGGAACGUGAAUCAGGCAAUGCACCAUCAAUGAACUCAUUUGGCUAAGGUGAAGGUCAGGAGACAAAGAUGAUCCCUUUCUGGUUGUUCAAGUUUAGUAACAGGGGACUCUCAAAAGAAAUGGACUGAGGUUUUGGAGAAUGCUAAAGGUAAGAGCCAACCUAUGCAUACAAAAAUAGUAUCCCAUCUACCCAAUAACAUAGACAGUGUAUACACCAGCAGAUGGUACUACCAUCAAGCCCAAAAUAUGAUCCUAGUUCUACCCUUUGCACUCAAGGUAUUUUUUUUUCUCAUUCUUAUCUUGGAUCAAACCACUCUUUCUUUUCUUUGACUCUUAUUCUAAGGAGAAGUUUCUUUUACUUUGAUGGAUCUAGUGGACUUUUGGUUUUCUUUGACAACUCUGACUCUUGUCCUAACACUUUCUUCCAAGCUCAAUCCUGAAACAGGCCUCACAAUCGUGAUCUUUACUAUAUUACGGUGAGAAAAUUAUAGGUUCGGACAUUGUUUUCAAAUAUUUUGCAUGUAUCAAAGCUCUUAUAAACAAGAUAGGAUAUUCCUACAUAGCUGGUGGGACCCCAACAAAUGGAUCAUGAAGUCUUCAAAAAAGAAUAGAUACGAUUGCAUUGCAUGUAGUAACAGAUGCGAUCAUACCAGCACUAAUGCACCAGAUACCAUCAGAAAUCCGCAGUUAAGCGUGCUUGGGCGAGAGUAGUACUACGACGUGUGACCUCCAGGAAAGUCCUUGUGUUGCAUAACUCUUUUGUUUUCGAUUUUUCUCAUAUUUUUUGUUAAAAAUGUAUUACUCUAUAACUUUUAGACCGUGAGGCCAAACUUGGCAUGUGAUACCUUUUCGGAAAGCCGAAAGAGUGCUCUCAAACGAAUGAGGAAUGGGUUGUUUUUCUACUCCAAAUUUUGACCUAAAUGUACUUUUUAUGGCCUUUUCUUGAUCUUUGCUAUAUUACGGGACAAAAAUUAUAUGUUCGGACAUUGUUUUUGAAUAUUUUGCAUGUAUCAAAGCUCUUAUAAACAAGAUAGGGUAUUCCUACAUAUCUGGUGGGACCUGAUAAUAUGUUUUUAGUCAAUUAUUCUAAAACACCAAGCAUGUCGUUGUAGUAUUUUAGGUGUCAAUCCAAAUGAGUGUGAUGCAAACAGAUGAGAUGUGAUCAGAAGUUACUAAGUCAAGCCAAGCAAUAACAGUUUUGGGGUUUCUACAGUCCUAAGUGAACAUGCAGAAAACAGAAACAAUAACAAAAUUACUAAAAUCACUCGACCACAACAGGCUGAUGCCAGAAGUAGGAUGUGGUCGAGUAACAGGUAGGAUAUGAAACAGAUAUACUCAACUGCACAGUCUGUUGCCAGACACUGGGUGUGGUCGAGUAUACUGGUCGAGUAACAGACAGGAAAUGAGACAACUGUACUCGACUGCACAGUCUGUUGCCAGACACUGGGUGUGGUCGAGUAAGUUGGUCGAGUAAUUGUAAAAACUAAGAAACAGGCAAUGAGAACGAUUAAGCGAUAACGAUAAAACAGAGAAAUAGUAUAGACGAGAAAUUCCUAAGGAUGGGGUAAUCGAGUAGAGUGGUAUCCUGAUAGGUUACGGGUGACGUUGGCUGGUGUGAGAAGAAGGGCGAGAUCAAAUGGAAGGAAAGGCAGAGCUCGUGAGAAGUUCCUGAGGAAGCUUCUAUUUAAAAGUGGCUAAGGCACAAAAAGACAGCUCGCCAGCUCGGCACAGAAAGACAGCUCGCCAGCUCGCCAACUGUGUCGUUUUACUUUUGGGUUAUCGAAAUGCUGCGUUUUGUAUUGAGUCUCAGUAGAUGCUAUUUAAGGAACCUUCCCUUUUAGGGUUUUGUUAUCAAAAUAAACAAUCAACAACAUUAAUCUUGAAAUUCUCUCUCUCAUCUACACUCUCCGCCGUUCAAGGUGCAUUUCCUAUUGUCUUGUUAUUUUAUCAGUCUUAGUCUUUUUCUUGUCUUCGAUAGGGUCAGACCUUAUCAUUGGUGCUUCUUCAUUGGAGAGACCGAUGGCUCCACCGUUACCUAAAGCCACCGCAUCUGAUACCGCCGUCGAGUCACCUGAACUCGGCUCGACAACAACACCACCACCUGAGGAACCUCCGCCAGCUCCACAUUUGGACACACGAGUAGACAAAGUGGAGAAAGAGAUGACUUAUGUCAGAGAGGCUCUAACCCAGAUCCUUAGAAAUCAGAUCUUUGGGGUUACGCGUGAGGGAAGUGCAGCUCCGAUAGGGUUCUCCACUCCGACACCGGCACUGCCUUUACAAGCUUCAUACCCACAACAUCUGGAAGGACCGAAUAGAGGAGUCCGUUUUUCUUCUCCAGCUCCGGCGUUACCAGUCUACACCUCUCAUCCUCAACACUUGGAGGUACAGAACAGAGAGACUCUGUUUUCCGGCACAAAUCAACGGGACACACACCCUCGGCCCUUACUCUUUGACCAGUCGCGAUACCAGGCGUCGACUUCAGAGAUACCUCGACUUCCAGCUUCACCCUUCGAACCGCGUCGCUUUCACUCGUCACCAUUAGAACCACCAGGGUUUCAGCUGAAUGCCUCCACGGGUCUUCCAUCAUCUUCAGGUUUUCCAUCUAAUCCUUCCACGGGGUUUCAGACUACUCCAACCUUCCAAACACAAACGUUUCCGCCUCAAUCUGCGCCACAUCAACCUCGGUUUGAAGCAGCCCCGCGUAGGACUGUGGAUUAUCCGGCUUAUGAAGGAGGCAAUGCCGACGAUUGGUUGUUCCGGCUAGAACAGUGCUUCUUAUCCAAUCGCACCCUAGAGGAAGAAAAACUGGAAAAGGCUGUGUCUUGUUUAACAGGAGCAUCAGUUACAUGGUGGCGCUGCUCUAAGGACAGAGAACAAAUCUAUACCUGGAGGGAAUUUCAAGAAAAGUUCAUGUUACGUUUUCGACCAAGCAGAGGCAGUUCUGCUGUGGAUCAUCUCCUCAACGUGAGACAAACAGGAACCGUGGAGGAAUACAGAGAACGUUUUGAAGAGCUCACAGUCGACUUACCCCAUGUCACAUCUGACAUAUUGGAAUCUGCAUUCCUCAAUGGACUGAGAAGAAGUCUUCGAGACCAGGUAGUUCGCUGUAGGCCAGUGAAUCUUGCAGAUAUUGUUGAGAUAGCUAAACUCAUUGAGUCACAAGAGCGGAAUGCUGUUAGUUACCAAGUGCGAAAUCAAGCUAGAACCAACACAGCUCCAUUCAACAAUCAGGUCUCCACAGGAUCUAGAGUGGUAGACCGUGCUCCAACGAGACAACCCUUCAUUCCUAGUAGGGAUACAACUCGUGCUUCAGGCAGUGGGGAAGCCAGGAACUCAAACCCGUGCCGCUACUGUGGAGAUAGAUGGUUUCAAGGCCAUAAAUGCAAACCACAAAAGCUCAAGGGUCUAGCCAUAACAGAAGAGGUUGAAGAGGAGAGUCCUCUAAUUGAAGAGUUGAAUGAACCACUGACAGAAGAAGAAGGGGAUCCAGAACCUGCAGAAGGUUUCAAGGUAAUGACACUCAGCUCCUUGAAUGAUGAGUCUCAAGAGCAGUCAAUGAAAAUGAGGGGAUACAUUGGCAACACCAAAGUGGUGUUAUUGGUUGAUUCAGGAGCAACUUGCAACUUCAUUAGUGAGGCUUUGGUAAGAGAGAAAGGAUGGUUAGUGACUCAAACUCGCAGUUUUGGAGUUAAAGUUGGUGGAGGCAGAAUCAUCAAAAGUAGUGGGAAGUGUGUCGAUAUACCACUAGAGGUCCAAGGAAUUGAGUUUGUACAAGACUACUACUUAUUUGACUUGGGAGAUUUGGAUUUGGUUCUGGGAUUUUCUUGGUUGGCAGGACUAGGAGAAACAAGAGCCAACUGGAGAGAUUUGAGGAUCAGUUGGCAGAUAGGUCGCACAUGGGUAUCCUUAUACGGCGACCCGGAUCUAUGUAGAGGACAAAUUUCGAUGAGGUCUAUGGAAAGAGUUAUCAAAUACACUGGAACUGCAUAUCUCUUGGAACUAGCAUCUUUGUUUGAAAGCAAGAAACAGGAAGAGCAAACAGCCUUGCAGCCUGCAAUCCAGAGGCUUUUGGAUCAGUACCAAGGGGUUUUUCAAACUCCACAGCUAUUGCCACCAGUUCGCAACAGAGAACACGCCAUUACCUUACAAGAAGGGUCUUCACCAGUCAAUAUCCGACCAUACAGGUAUUCUUUUGCUCAAAAGAAUGAGAUAGAGAAGCUUGUGCGUGAAAUGUUGAAUGCUCAGAUUAUAAGACCUAGCGUGAGUCCAUAUUCAAGUCCAGUUCUCCUAGUGAAAAAGAAAGAUGGAGGAUGGCGCUUCUGCGUUGAUUAUCGAGCAUUGAAUGAAGCUACAAUACCCGAUAAGUAUCCGAUUCCUGUUAUAGAAGAGCUAUUGGAUGAACUGAAAGGAGCCACAGUGUUUUCAAAGUUGGAUCUUAAAUCAGGCUAUUUCCAGAUAAGGAUGAAACUGAGUGAUGUGGAGAAGACUGCCUUCAAGACACAUGAGGGCCAUUAUGAAUUUCUGGUAAUGCCAUUUGGCUUGACCAACGCCCCCUCCACCUUUCAAAGCGUCAUGAAUGACCUAUUCAGGCCAUACUUGCGAAAGUUCGUCUUGGUUUUCUUCGAUGAUAUACUAGUUUAUAGUCCUGAUAUGAAGACACAUUUGAAGCAUUUGGAAACCGUCUUACAGCUACUGCAUCUUCAUCAGUUCUAUGCCAAUUUUAAAAAGUGCACAUUUGGAAGCACUAGGAUCUCAUAUUUGGGACACAUUAUCUCUGAGCAAGGAGUCGCAACAGAUCCAGAAAAGGUGGAAGCAAUGCUCCAGUGGCCUUUACCUAAAUCUGUGACUGAGUUAAGAGGCUUCCUAGGAUUCACUGGCUACUAUCGCCGAUUUGUCAAGAAUUACGGCCAAAUCGCCAGACCACUCAGAGAUCAGUUAAAAAAGAACAGUUUUGAUUGGAAUGAGGCAGCUACUUCUGCAUUUCAGGCUCUCAAAGCAGCUGUUUCAGCACUACCUGUGCUAGUGUUACCAGAUUUCCAGCAGGAGUUUACUGUGGAAACGGAUGCAUCAGGGAUGGGGAUUGGAGCAGUACUGUCACAGAAUAAGAGGCUUAUUGCAUUUCUCAGCCAAGCCUUCUCCAGUCAAGGCAGAAUAAGGUCAGUUUAUGAACGUGAACUGUUAGCCAUAGUGAAAGCUGUCACAAAGUGGAAGCAUUACCUAUCAAGUAAAGAAUUCAUUAUCAAGACAGAUCAACGCAGCCUCAGACAUUUGUUGGAACAGAAGUCGGUGUCCACAAUACAGCAGAGAUGGGCGUCUAAGUUGAGUGGACUGAAGUAUAGGAUCGAAUAUAAACCAGGAGUUGACAAUAAGGUAGCUGAUGCACUCUCAAGGAGACCUCCAACUGAGGCUCUCUCACAGCUCACUAUAACUGGUCCUCCUACUAUCGACUUGACUGCACUAAAGGCAGAAAUUCAGCAGGAUCAUGAGUUGAGCCAGAUACUUAAGAACUGGGCACAAGGGGACCACCAUGAUUCUGACUUCACUGUGGCAGAUGGCUUGAUUUACAGAAAAGGCUGUUUGGUAAUUCCUGUAGGAUCUCCCUUCAUUCCAAAGAUGCUAGAGAAGUUCCACACCAGUCCUAUUGGAGGUCAUGAAGGUGCCCUUAAGACAUUCAAACGACUCACAAGUGAAGUAUACUGGAGAGGGUUGCGGAAAGACGUGGUUAACUACAUCAAGGGAUGCCAAAUCUGUCAAGAGAAUAAAUACUCUACCCUCUCUCCAGCCGGUUUACUAUCACCUCUCCCUAUUCCACAACAGAUUUGGAGUGAUGUCAGCUUGGACUUUGUAGAAGGGUUGCCAAGCUCUAACAGGUUUAACUGUAUAUUGGUAGUGGUGGAUAGAUUAAGUAAGUAUAGUCAUUUCAUUCCACUUAAACAUCCAUUCACUGCCAAGACUGUAGUUGAGGCCUUCAUAAGAGAUGUAGUCAAGCUACAUGGCUUCCCAAACACACUGGUUUCGGACAGGGACAGGAUUUUCCUGAGCGGAUUCUGGUCUGAGUUGUUUAAGCUGCAGGGCACGGGGCUACAGAAGAGUACAGCCUAUCACCCACAAACUGAUGGGCAGACCGAGGUUGUUAACAGAUGUCUUGAGUCUUAUUUGCGAUGCUUUGCAGGGAGGAGGCCUACAUCGUGGUUUCAGUGGUUACCUUGGGCAGAAUACUGGUACAACACCUCGUACCAUUCAGCCACCAAAACCACUCCCUUUCAAGCAGUCUAUGGUAGAGAACCACCAGUUCUGCUCAGGUAUGGCGAUAUUCCAACCAAUAAUGCGAAUGUAGAGGAGUUACUUAAGGAUAGGGAUGGAAUGCUGGUUGAAUUAAGAGAGAACUUGGAGAUAGCUCAAGCUCAAAUGAAAAAGGCUGCUGAUAAAAGUCGACGUGAUGUAGCGUUUGAAAUUGAUGAAUGGGUUUACUUGAAGCUGCGUCCUUAUAGGCAAAGUUCUGUGGCUCAUAGGAAGAAUGAAAAGCUGUCCCAGCGCUACUUCGGUCCAUUUAAAGUGCUGCACCGCAUAGGUCAGGUCGCUUACAAGCUCCAACUACCCGAACACAGCACAAUUCACCCGGUGUUCCAUGUCUCUCAACUGAAAAGGGCUGUACCUCCGUCAUUCACCCCGCAGGAACUUCCCAAGAUACUAUCACCCACACUGGAAUGGAACACAGGACCUGAGAAGCUGCUAGAUAUCCGACAGAGCAACACAAAUUCAGGACCAGAGGUGCUGGUACAGUGGUCUGGAUUAUCAACCUUGGAAUCAACUUGGGAGCCGCUCCUCACUUUGGUGCAGCAGUACCCGGACUUCGACCUUGAGGACAAGGUCAGUCUUCUGCGCGGGAGCAUUGAUAGGUUACAGGUGACGUUGGCUGGUGUGAGAAGAAGGGCGAAAUCAAAUGGAAGGAAAGGCAGAGCUCGUGAGAAGUUCCUGAGGAAGCUUCUAUUUAAAAGUGGCUAAGGCACAGAAAGACAGCUCGCCAGCUCGGCACAGAAAGACAGCUCGCCAACUGUGUCGUUUUACUUUUGGGUUAUCGAAAUGCUGCGUUUUGUAUUGAGUCUCAGUAGAUGCUAUUUAAGGAACCUUCCCUUUUAGGGUUUUGUUAUCAAAAUAAACAAUCAACAACAUUAAUCUUGAAAUUCUCUCUCUCAUCUACACUCUCCGCCGUUCAAGGUGCAUUUCCUAUUAUCUUGUUAUUUUAUCACUCUUAGUCUUUUUCUUGUCUUCGAUAGGGUCAGACCUUAUCAUAUCCUAGCAUAUUCGAAUGGUUAACAAGCGCAAUCAAGCUAUCCCUAGACAAUAGGUUCAACAACAAAUCAAUUCACUUCUGUGAUAGAAAUCCUCAAGCAAAGCUAGCCCAGACUAAUUCCCAUUAACGCAAUCUAACUAUGCAGGCAAUAAGAACAGACUGAUAAAGUCAAUAAACGCUCUAAACGCCCAAUCCCUUGGGAUAGAGACGAAUAUCUCAGGAACUAGUGGAUCAAGCAUUCCAUCGAACACCUUCUGGGUGCGAGAAUGCUUGGGAUCGAAUUCCAGUUGAUCAGAAAGAAAUAAGCAGUAAACGCAACUAGUCCUGAAGGGAUUCAAUCAAUUCUAAAACUUAACCAUUCUACAGACUACGGAUUCCACAACUACUCUAUCCCAUCCCUAAGAAUUCUAUGUCACUACUCAGACAACAUGCUCAAAGACAUAAACGCAGAUAAAUGAUAAUAUUGCAUAAGUAAAGAGAUAAAGAGUAGAGAAACAGGAUGAUAGAUAAAAUCAAAUGCAGAAUCUGAAUAACUUGGAAAAAUCUCGAAUUAUAGGUUGUAGAAGCAAAAGCGGCGCAGAAGAGUAAAAUAGAAAAUAAAACUGAAACAAAAACUCAAUGUCGACUAGAUGUCUCAGGAAAGAACCCUAAGACAUCUAUUUAUACAAAACAAAAUGAUAGUAGACGGGCCAAUAACCUAAUCGCCCGACCAAUAGAGUGAUAAUGGGCCGAGAUGGGCUUUGUGAUCCGAUGGAGGUCCAGGCCGCUUCCAAACACUUUGUCUUCUCCUCUUCUCUUCCUUGUGCUCAGCUUGUCUGGUUGAGUGCGGAUUUGAGUAGACUGUGAAGACGUGAUCGAGUGUCCGGUCGAGUGAUGGUGAUGGUGGUGAGUGAUGAUACUCGACCAGGGGGUCGACUAACUUGGUAGAGUGAAUGGCCGAGUGUGGUCAGGUGGUGUGGCGAAGUGAUACUCGACCAGGGGGUCGAUGGCGUCAUCGAGUAGCCUGAGCUGAGGAUACUCGACUAGGGGGUCGAGUAGAUGGGAAGAAUGGCUCCAAAGUCACUCGACCAGGGGGUCGAGUAUGGUGCUGGAUGCACACGACCUGGUGGUCGAGUAUGUCUUCUGGUUCUGGCUCGUUUCUUCCAAUUUGCUCGCAAACAGCUCCAAAUCACCUGAAAACAACUUAGAAAUGCAAUAUGUAUGCAAAACUAUCCUAAUCAUGCAAAGUAUGCAAGAAUGAUGAGAAAUGAUAUAAAACAGCGAUGAAUGAUACAAAACUGGACUCAAAACGGUGAUGAAUGGACACUGAAAAGAUGUAAAUUAUAGACAUAUCAGGACCCACAGCAAAUGGAUCAUAAAGUCUUCAAAAAAGAAUAGAUACGAUUGCAUUGCAUGUAGUAACGGAUGCGAUCAUAGCAGCACUAAUGCACCAGAUCCCAUAAGAACUCCGCAGUUAAGUGUGCUUGGGCGAGAGUAGUACUAGGAUGGGUGACCUCCCGGAAAGUCCUCGUGUUUCAUCCCUCUUUUUUUUUUUGGUUUUUCUCUAUUUUUUUUUUUAAAAUGAAUGACUCUAUAACUUUUAGACCGUGAGGCCAAACUUGGCAUGUGAUACCUUUUCAAAAAGCCAAAAGAGAGCUCUCUGGUGAAUGAUGAAGGAAAAUGGAAUUCUUCUAUUGGGUUUUUUUUCUACUCCAAAUUUUGACCUUAAUGUACUCUUUUGGCGUUUUCGCGAUCUUUGCUAUAUUACGGGGCGAAAAUUAUAUGUUCGGACAUUGUUUUUGAAUAUUUUGCAUGUAUCAAAGCUCUUAUAAACAAGAUAGGGUAUUCCUACAUAGCUGGUGGGACCCACGACAAAUGGAUCAUAAAGUCUUCAAGAAGAAAAGAUAUUAUUGCAUUGCAUGUAGUAACGGAUGCGAUCAUACCAUCACUAAUGCACUGGAUCCCAUCAGAACUCCACAGUUAAGCGCGCUUGGGUGAGAGUAGUACUAGAAUGGGUGACCUCCCGGAAAGUCCUUGUGUUCCAUCCCUCUUUUUUCGGUUUUUCUCUUUUUUUUUUGUUAAAAAUGUAUGACUCUAUAAAUUUUAGACCGUGAGGCCAAACUUGGCAUGUGAUACCUUUUCGGAAAGCCCAAAGAGAACUCUCCGAUGAAUGAGGAAGGACAAUGGAAUUUUUCUAUUGUUUUUUUUUCUACUCAAAAUUUUGACCUUAAUGUACUUUUUCUGGCCUUUUCAUGAUCUAUGCUAUAUUACGGGGCAAAAAGCAUACGUUCUGACAUUGUUUUCGAAUAUUUUGCAUGUAUCAAAGCUCUUAUAAACAAGAUAGGGUAUUCUUACAUAGUUGGUGGGACCCACGACAAAUGGAUCAUAAAGUCUUCAAAAAAGAAUAGAUACGAUUGCAUUGCAUGUAGUAACAGAUGCGAUCAUACCAGCACUAAUGCACCGGAUCCCAUCAAAACUCUGCAGUUAAGCGUGAUUGGGCGAGAGUAGUACUAGGAUGGUUGACCUCAUGGAAAGUCCUUGUGUUGCAUUCUUCUUUUUUUCGGUUUUUCUCUUUUUUUUUUGUUAAGAAUGUAUGAUUCUAUAAGUUUUAGACCGUGAGGCCAAACUUGGCAUGUGAUACCUUUUCGGAAAGCCCAAAGAGAACUCUCCGAUGAAUGAGGAAGGACAAUGGAAUUUUUCUAUUGUUUUUUUUUCUACUCAAAAUUUUGACCUUAAUGUACUUUUUCUGGCCUUUUCAUGAUCUAUGCUAUAUUACGGGGCAAAAAGCAUACGUUCUGACAUUGUUUUCGAAUAUUUUGCAUGUAUCAAAGCUCUUACAAACAAGAUAGGGUAUUCCUACAUAGCUGGUGAGACCCACGGCAAAUGGAUCAUAAAGUCUUCAAAAAAAAUAUAUACGAUUGCAUUGCAUGUAGUAACGGAUGUGAUCAUACCCGCACUAAUGCACUGGAUCCUAUCAGAACUCCGCAGUUAAGUGUGCUUGGGCGAGAGUAGUAAUAGGAUGAGUGACCUCCCAGAAAGUCCUCGUGUUGAAUCCCUCUUUUUUUUGGUAAAAAUGUAUACCUCUAUAACUUUUAGACCGCGAGGCCAAACUUUGCAUGUGAUACCUUUUCGGAAAGCCCAAAGAGAGCUAUAUGAAUGAGGAAGGAAAUUGGAAUCCUUCUAUUGAUUUUUUUUCUACUCAAAAUUUUGACCUUAAUGUACUUUUUCUAUCCUUUUCGUGAUCUUUGCUAUAUUACGGGACAAAAAUUAUAUGUUCAGACAUUGUUUUCCAAUUUUUUGCAUGUAUCAAAGCUCUUAUAAACAAGAUAGGGUAUUCCUACAUAGCUGGUGGGACCCACGGCAAAUGGAUCAUAAAGUCUUCAAAAACGAAUAGAUACGAUUGCAUUGCUUGUAGUAACGGAUGCGAUCAUAUCAGCCCUUAUGCAUCAGAUCCCAUCAAUACUCUGCAGUUAAGCUUGCUUGGGCGAGAAUAGUAUUAGGAUGGGUGACCUCCGGGAAAGUCCUUGUGUUGGAUCAUUCUUUUUUUCGGUUUUUCUCUAUUUGUUUUGUUAAAAAUGUAUGACUAUAUAACUUUUAGAUUGUGAGGCCAAACUUCGCAUGUGAUACCUUUUCGGAAAGCCCAAAGAGAGCUCUCCAAUGAAUGAGGAAGGAAAUUGGAAUUCUUCUAUUGGUUUUUAUUUCUACUCCAAAUUUUGACCUUAAUGUACUUUUUCGGGCCUUUUCGUGAUCUUCGCUAUAUUACGGGGCGAAACUUAUACGUUUAGACAUUGUAUUCGAAUAUUUUGCAUGUAUCAAAGCUCUUAUAAACAAGAUAGGGUAUUCCUACAUAGCUGGUGGGACCCACGGCAAAUGGAUCAUAAAGUCUUCAAAAAAGAAUAGAUACGAUUGCAUUGCAUGUAGUAACAGAUACGAUUGCAUUGCAUGUAGUAACAGAUACGAUUGCAUUGCAUGUAGUAACAGAUGCGAUCAUACCAGCACUAAUGCACCGGAUCCCAUCAGAACUCUGCAGUUAAGCGUGAUUGGGCGAGAGUACUACUAGGAUGGUUGACCUCCUGGAAAGUCCUUGUGUUAAAUUCUUCUUUUUUUCGGUUUUUCUCUUUUUUUUUUGUUAAGAAUGUAUGAUUCUAUAAGUUUUAGACCGUGAGGCCAAACUUGGCAUGUGAUACCUUUUCGGAAAGCCCAAAGAGAACUCUCCGAUGAAUGAGGAAGGACAAUGGAAUUUUUCUAUUGUUUAUUUUUCUACUCAAAAUUUUGAUCUUAAUGUACUUUUUCUAGCCUUUUAGUGAUCUUUGCUAUAUUACGGGACGAAGAUUAUACGUUCGGACAUUGUUUUCAAAUAUUUUGCAUGUAUCAAAGCUCUUAUAAACAAGAUAGGGUAUUCCUAUAUAGCUGGUGAGACCCACGGCAAAUGGAUCAUAAAGUCUUCAAAAAAAAUAUAUACGAUUGCAUUGCAUGUAGUAACGGAUGUGAUCAUACCCGCACUAAUGCACUGGAUCCUAUCAGAACUCCGCAGUUAAGCGUGCUUGGGCGAGAGUAGUAAUAGGAUG
Molecule: long non-coding RNA, 91437 nt
Filed under: Arabidopsis thaliana (thale cress)
Lineage: Eukaryota; Viridiplantae; Streptophyta; Magnoliopsida; Brassicales; Brassicaceae
Description: long non-coding RNA (ATHA_LNC000152)
Source: RNAcentral